This 140561-nucleotide long non-coding RNA is filed under the name Gossypium raimondii (Peruvian cotton). RNAcentral describes it as "long non-coding RNA (GRAI_LNC003441)". The stretch from base 117469 to 117542 matches the Rfam family "tRNA". Lineage: Eukaryota; Viridiplantae; Streptophyta; Magnoliopsida; Malvales; Malvaceae. The record is from RNAcentral.
UUUGGUGGUGCAUAAACUGGUGGCUUAGGUGGUUUGGGCUCAUAUAUUGGUGGGUUGUUGGGAGGUUGAUACAUUGGUGGUUUUAGUGGCUUAGGUUCGUACAUUGGAGGCUUUUUUGGAGGUUCAUACAUUGGUGGUUUGGGUUCAUCAGGUUUCUUUUUCUUUGGAGGUGUAUAAACCGGUGGCUUUGGUGGCUUAGGUUCGUACAUUGGAGGCUUUUUUGGAGGUUCAUACAUUGGUGGUUUGGGUUCAGGUUUCUCUUUCUUUGGAGGUGUAUAAACCGGUGGCUUUGGCUCGGGCUUCUCCUUCUUUGGAGGUUCAUAUACGGGUGGUUUGGGUUCAGGUUUCUCUUUCUUUGGAGGUGUAUAAACCGGUGAUUUUGGCUCAGGUUUCUCCUUCUUUGGAGGUUCAUAUACUGGUGGUUUAGGUUCAGGCUUCUCCUUCUUUGGAGGUUCAUACACUGGUGGUUUGGGUUCAGGCUUCUCUUUUUUUGGAGGUGUAUAAACCGGUGGCUUAGGUUCAUAUGGUGGUGGUUUCACCUUGGGAGGCUUGUAUACUGGAGUAGGGGGUUUCCCAUAAUUUGGUGACUCGUAGGUACCAAAAGUGGGAGCGGUGAGAGUCACCACUCCAAGUAGCAAUACUAGCAAGUGUGUUGUAGACAUCAUUGAGUCUUGGCUUUCUAUGGUGCCAUGAGAAGAGUUCUUCUUAUAGUAGUUUUGGAGCGCUGUUGUUAGCGCAUGUGUCAAAAAUUUUUAUUGUUUAUGUACCUUUGUAAAUAGUCAGCUAGAUGUUAUCAAAUCUUUUAAAUUAUUCAUGAAUGUAAUAGGGCCCAUGUAGGUACAAGUUAGUUGAAAUUUUGGACUAUGGAUACGCAAGACUGAGUCAUGAUUGAAGAAAAUUAAAAAAUAUAUCAUAGGUCCCUAUAUUUUUCAAAAUUUAGAAUUUGAUGCUUAUAUUUUUAUUUUCAAAUUUUAAGUCCUGUUUUCAUUUUUUUAUUAAAUUUGUUGAUGUGAUCUUUUAAAAUAAAAUAAAAAUAUCACUUGGUAGUAACGUAACUAUAACAGGCCAAUUUUGUCCAGCCCACUAUAAACUAAAAAUAAUAAAAUAAAUAAAACUAAAUGAAUAAAAGUCCAUUUACAAAUUGGGCCCGAUAUAUUACAAGCCCUGUUGACACCAUUUUUUUGUGAAAACGGGAUCGACUUGGAUUUUGAAAAUGAAAACGAAAAUGGGAGUCGCUACCAAUCCUUUUUGAUAAGGUGUGAUCGGGCCACCUUGAAAAGUGGUUGUUUUUAAUAAACAAUUUAAUUUUAUUAAAACAACGAUUUUGGUCCACGAAAUUCAGGAAAACGGGUUCGGAAGUCGGUUACCUACGAGGAAGGAUUAGCACCCUCGUAACGCCCAAAAUUGGUACCUAAUUGAUUAAUUAAUGUCUUAGUGUCGAAGAUUGAAAACUUUAAAGAGAUUUAAAAUACAAUCCUUUAUUGAAAUGUUGAAAAUUUUAGGGAAAAGAGCAUAUUUCACGUUAAUCGAGAAAGAGAAUUAUAUCCAGUAAGUUAGGACACAAUGUCUUGAAUUCCCAAUGCGCGAAUGAAUGCCAAAAAUUUACUUAUUUAAAAGAUAUUUAGCUAUUUCGGAUUUUAAAAAGGGAUCAUGCUCAGUAAGUUAGGACGCGAUCUUUUCUUCAUUCCUGAGAUCGUUUAAAACUUGAGAAAAAAAAAGGGAUCAUGCCCAAUAAGUUAGGACACGAUUUCUUCUUAAUUCCCGAGAUCGUUUAUAACUUGAGUUUGAAAAGAUCCAUGUAUUUAGAUUUAUUGUGAAAAUUGAAACCCCGUAAGUUAGGGUAUGACCUUCUCGAAUCUAAACACGAGAUUUUGCUUAUUCAAAAAUCAUAAUUUAUGCAUUGAAUAAAAUUAAUCUAACACGAAAUGGUAGAAAUGAAACUAGGUGUUAAUAUGUGUAACAAAACGAUAUUGAAUGCAAUGGUGUAAAAAUAAUACGAGCAAUAGCAACAAAAUAAGAUAAAUAGAAAGACAAAUCAAUAACAUACAAAAUAACAAGUACAUAAGUAAAUAAAAUUAAAACAUUCUUUCAAAAUAAUAAUGGAAACAUAAAUAAAUAAAGAAAAUGAAUAAAAUUAUAAAAAUGUAAAAAGAUAUAUAUGUAUGUAUAUAUAUGUAUAUAAAAAUUAUAAAAUGUAAAAAAUAUAUAUAAGUAUGUAUAUAUAUAUUCAUGAAAAUAAAUAAAUAAAUAAAUGUAUAUAGAUAUAUAUAGAUCUAUAGAUAUGUAUAUAAAUUAAAAUAUAUAUAUACGAGUAUGUAUGUAUAUAUAAAUAAGUUGUAAAAAAUAUAUACGUGUACAUUGAUAUAUAUUAUGAAAAUGUAUGUAUGUAAAUAUAUAACUAAAUUUGAAAUUAAAAGAGGUAUGAAUGAGUAAAUAAUUAUAAUAAUACUAAGGUAAGUAAUAAUAAUAAAUAUAAUAAUAAAUUAAUUAGUUUAAUAAUAAUAAUAAAAUAACAAUAACGGGACUAAAUUGAAAAUAAAAUAAAAUUUGAGGGGAGAAAUUGGAAAUAAAAUAAGGCAAAGGAUUAAAUUUGUGACGAGCGCGAAAUGAAGGGGACCAAAAAGGAAAUUUAUCCAGGCCUCGAAAACGGGCAGCUUCGAUGGGGACCAAAUUGAAAGCGCAAUAAAUUAUAGGGCUAAAUUAAAAAAAUAGAAAAUACUUAAUUAAAAAAACAUUAAAAAAGCAGAAGGCUAAAGUUGCAAUUAACCGGCCAGCCUCCAACGAGGGCUCCGACCAUCGGUCGCCGGUCACCGGCGCUUAUGCCGCCGUACGCGGCGGCGAGGAGCCAAAAAAAUUCCUUUUUCUUCUGACGCGCUCCCUCGGCUUCCCGAGCACUCCGGCACCGAUGAACAGAGGUAAAAACUCCUCCCUUUUUUCUUUUAUUUCGAAAAUAAAUAAUAAUAAUAAGUGAAAAACAAGAGCAAAAAAUAAAAGCAAUCACCUUAAAAAAACGAUUUCUAUUUUUUUUAUUUCUCAAAAUGUUCUCUUUUUUCUCUCAAUGUUCGUAAGAAAGAAAAAAAAAACCCCUUUUACAAUGGUUGCUAUGGCUUUAUAGCCAUUUUUACAAUAUUUUUAAUCUAUUUUUGCUUGUCAUUUCUCUGCAGGCAAGUGGGUGAAGCAGGUGCGGUGGUGGCAGAGGCAGAGAGCAGGUGCGGAUGGGACGGUGGCAACUGUGCCACUUGCACUGACGUGACGGUGGCAGUGCUAGGGUUUCAGAAAAGCUGAAACCUUAGUUUGACUAACUGUUGAGUCCGAUGGAGGUUUGGGUAUUUGGGCCUUAAUUUUGGGCUGGGGACCUUGGGCUUGUUUAGGCUGCUGUAGCUGGGUUAAAUUUUUUGUAAAUUAUUUGGUUCCUUUGGUGCGGGCCCAGGCAUAAAUUGGGCCUUACAAGCCUAAAUGGCCCAAAAGAAAAAAAACCUAAAGCCCACAACAUUAAUUUUUCAGAAAACUAAAUAGAAACCCUAGCCUCUGCGUCUCACCCCACGUUAGCAUGCUCGCCGACUGAGGCCUGACGCGCCCUUGUUGCCCUUGCACCAAAAUGGCAAGGCUCAAGUCCCGUCAUCAUCGUUGACCCUCCACCGUCGCCUGCAAAAGAAAAACAAGGACAUCAAACGCAAAAACAACAAAAGCAAACAGUAAAAAAUGAAGAAGCAUAAACGAUGUUGUAAAUCAACUAUAAAAGUCACAACAACCACCAUGUAUUUUUUGGACAGAGAAAUACAAAAAAAAAAGCAUCAAGUUUCAAAAAGGUAGGAUUUUUUUUUCAAAGCCCAAAAAAAAGAUAAAAUACUUACUUAAAAUUAUCGUCGUCACCGCCGUCAUAGGUCCUUUUCCUCUGACUUAAGGAGCCUAGGAACCCUUUAGGGUUCCGUCGAAGGCCUCGUCAAAAAAGGGUGAAACCUUUCGGUUUCUUUUCCUUUGGCUGAGCGUCGGUUAGGUUUCUGGGAAUUUAAAUCCCAGAUCUGUGUUCUAUUCGAAGAGGGGGGGAUCUAAAAGGCUUUCUUUUGGGAGUUUUCAGCCAUUGGAGGUUACAGGGCGGCCCUUGGUUGGAUAUGAGAGAGAUUGGAAGGAAAAAAAAAAGGAAUAGGAAACCUUUUUUUUUUAAACGGAUGGAAAUGAGUUUUUUUUUUUAAUAUUUUUUUAACUUAUAUAGAUUGAGAUAAACGAUGUCGUUUCGAAGGAGUCUAGAAUGCCAAAAAAACGAUGCCAUUUUGGGGCCAAAUCGCCAACCCGACCUGAAUCACCCUUAGGAUCCAUUUGUUUUUUAGGGGGAUUUUUGCAACUUUAGUCCUUCCGCCUUUUGAGUUACCUUAAUUUGGACCUAAUUUCACUGUUCUUUCUUUUUAGAAAUUAGGCCAUUUUAUUUGGGUUCAUUUUCAAUUUGGUCCUCAGACCGCUGACCCUUCGGGGAAGAACGCGUGUAUUUUUUUUGGAUUAAUUUCUUCGAAGCCCUUGAAACUUUGCAUCGCGUUUUAAUUUAGUCAUUUACGUUUCAAUUUAGUCCUUAUUUUCCCUUUUUCUUUAAUUAUUUUGCGAUUUAUAAUUUAAUUUUUACUUAAAUUUCAAUUUAAUCCUUAGUUUUGUUAAUUUUGCCGUUUUAUUUACUAUGCCAUUUAUUUUAGCAUUUAGAUUUAUAUUAUUUACGUUUCCUUUUCGUUUAUACACUUUUAUUUUUAUUUUUCCUUCAUCAUUAUUAUUAUCAUUAUUUUAUUUAUUUAUAUUAUUAAUAUAACAAUAACUAUGUUGUGCUAUUACUAUUAUUAUUACAAAAUUGAUAUUCUCAUUGUUAAUGUAGUUGCAAUACUAUCAUCAUUUAUCAACACGUUUUUUUAUUUAUUAUGUAUUAUAUCACAACAUAUUCAUUAGUUUUUGUUAAAAAAAAUAUAUAUCGUUUUCAGAAAAGGGUUAUCUUCGUAUAAAAUAUUCAAAACCGAGGUAAUGUUCAUUAUUUUUGAGAUUCGAAGAAGUCAUGCUCGUAAUUUACGGAAUAUGACAUUUUCUUAGAACUGAAAUAAUCGAAUAUCCUAUUUAAAAUAACAAAAAAAUUUAAGUAACGAUCAAAACGACGAUUAUUCUGGUUUUCGAAAGCUAAAGGUGUCAUGUCCUAACUCAUGGGGCAUGAUCCUUUUUCUCGAUUAAUUCGGAAUAAAGCCUUUUCUAUUAAAUAUAAUUAGGUAAUGUCUUAAUACAAAAAGGGAUCGUGUUUUAAAUUCUCUUCAAAUUUUCAAUUUUCGACACUAAGACAUCGAGUAAUCAAUUAGGUACCAAUUUUGGGCGUCACGAGGGUGUUAAUCCUUCCUCGUGCGUAAUCGACUCCCAAACCUAUCUCUUGGAUUUUUGUAGACUGAAAAUCAUUUUAAUAAAUCAAACCUUUUAUUAAAAUUAUGAGGUGAUCCGAUCACACCUCAUAAAAAUGAUUGAUGGCGAUCCCAUUUUCUUUUGUUUUAAAAUAAAAAGUCGAUUUUAAAAAAGGUUUUGACAGUAACUAAACCUGAUCAAGGGCUGGGUAGCCCAAUAGGCUUAGUCCGACUUAAGUCGAGCUUGGACAAAUAUUUUUGCACCUCAAACCGGCUCAACCUGGUCAUAAUUCAAUUUAAAUAAGAAAAAAAUAUUUAUAUUAUUUAAAUUUAAUUAUAAAACUAUAUAAAUAUCAAUUAAAAAUAUUUUUAAAUAUUUUAUUAAUUUUUGAAUAGUGAAACAAAUUUUUUGGAUGGGCCAGCCCAAAAAUGGGUUUGGGCUUGAAUUUUUUUGGAAUCGGGCCUUGGCUUGGCCCAUGGACGGCUCAAAAUGUUACUAAAAGAUGAUGUUGUAAUGAACCCGAAUUUAACAAAAUAAUAUUAACAAUGUUAAUAGUUGAACCUGAAUUUUGAAAUCUAAAAAGUAGAGAGACUAAAGUAAAAAUACAAAAAUUAAAUUCUAAAUUUAUAAAGAGUACAAAAACUUAUGACAUAUUCUAACUUUGAAGAAAAACUUAUGGUCAUAUUUGUGUUCUUUUUUAUACAAUGCUUAGAACUAUCCAUAGUUUCUCCGAACCCAUAAAUAGGAGGAUAAUGCGCUUUAACACAUUCAAACCCACAUCCUCCUGUAUUGGCAAUAAUGUCUAUACCAAUUGAAUAAAGACUCAAUCGGUAGGAUUAAAUCAUGACUUAAAUCUUUACCUUAUGUAUACAUAUUUAUAUUUACUUCUCUUUCCAUGAGGUAGUUAUAUUUACUUUCUUUAUAAGAAGAUUGGGACAUGAACAACAGAUAAAUUGACGCAUAAAAACUAAAAUGUCGCUAAAUUGACUGUAGAAAACAUUGUCGGUAAAUUUAGUGUUUCAUCCGGCCAUUUUAUUUAAUCUCAAUUGGUAAACUUUAACUACUCAUAAAUUUUUUUAAGACAAGAAAUCAAAUUUACUUAAAAGAAAGUAAAGAGAGUUGAAUGCUCUUAUUUUUUUCUUUAAAUUACUUAGUUUUUAUUUAUUUCAAUUUAAGAAAAAAAUUAGGAAAAAAAAAGUAAUUAUUUUUUUAAGAUGCGAAAUAUCAUUUCUAUCUUUCUAUAAAUUGUUUUAGAAAUCGGAUUUGAUUUGAAAUAAAUCAGUAUAAUCAUUUGUUUUAUUAUUUUCCAUAGUUUAACCACACACAAAAUUUGGGAUAUGAUGGAUUUUUAAAGGUUCGGAAGGAUAUCGUAUUAAAAGAAGGUAAUGUAGUCUCUUUCAAUUUUGAAAUUGAGUAAAUUAGGUUUUUUUUUUUAAAUUGAAGUAAUUUAAUUCUUGUCAAUUUUGAAAGCGAACAAUUAAGGACAAUUAAUCACCGCGCUAAUUUUGUUUUCAAUUGUAAAUAAUUUUGAUUGAUAUAAUAACAAAUUUAACCACAUUUUGUCAAUUUAAUAACGAUUUAACAAAUUUAGCUAGCAACAUAUACAUAAAUGUUGAUGCUAAAUUUGUUGAAUCUUUUAAAAUUUAGAUCAAAUUAAUAAAACAUGUAAACAUUGAAAGUUAAAAUUAAUGUUAUCUCAAUUAAAAUUAUGUUGAGGAUGGUGUUUUUACAAAUAAAAUAAAAUAUGAAAACAAAACAGCCUUAAAAUAAGAUUAGCAACAUAUGGUCAAAGGUACCCCAACUUGUGAAUAAGAUAAAAACAAGUUGUUAAAAACCUUUAAAUUUUUAUGCUUUCAAUCUCACCAAAGUCAUCUUUUCUCAUUACUGUAAUCAUCAAUUUGUUAUUAUUAUUAUCAUCAUAAUUUUUAUUUAAUUUAAACUUUGAAAAAUGAUCAGAAUUGGUAGUUUUCUAUGGACCUAAUUGUGUCUGUCGGUGUAAAAAAUACAUAAACUAAUUUACGAUUUUGAAUCUCAAAUUUAAUAAUAUGUGUAUUUGUAUUUGUUUUUCUGUAAAUGUACUUGUUGAGAAGUCACAAUCGUAAUUGAUAGUUACAUUUAUAUAUUAGAAAUUGGGAUCUCAAAAUUCUAAAGUCUCCUCUUUAUUAUUAAACUAAGCUCUCAUUGGUACCACCAAAAUUUCAUUGGCAUCCUAUUGUGAUUAAUAUUUACUUGAUUUCGAGUAUAAUUUUUUUUACAAAACAAAUCGUAAAUUAAAAAUAAUAUAAAAAAUUAUAGAUAUUAUAUUUCAACACUAGUUUUUGAUUUCAUUGGUUUUUAACAAUAAUUAAUUAAAAAUUCAUAAAAUUAAUAAAAAUAUUAAAAAUUCAACGGCUAAUUUUUUAUUUACCAAUUUAAUCUUGUACAAUGGAAUGCACUAGAAAACGUGAGCUUAAAACAAGGAUCAUGAGCAGGUAAAAUUUGCUUUAGGUAUUGAAAACAGUGGAAAGCAAGUCAAAGUGGAAUGCUGGUUUCAAAGAUUUGACAUUUUUAGCUACAUAACUCCUGCAGCUGACAUCGACACCAAAUCCUAGUUUCAACCUCUAAUUAUGUAAUAAGCUGCAAAUUUUCCGCUUCUCAAACAUAUGGCGGGGCAGUGGGGACCUUUCAUUGGUAAGGUUAGGUAAACACAUGAUAGCAAUUGAAAGUUCCCGACGUAGUACUAUAUGAAAUUAAUUAAAAUGUUACAUAAAAUAUAAUAUCAUGCAGAUAAAAGAUAUUUAAAAAUAUAUAUGCUAAGAUGUCAAAAUGUAUAUAAUAAAUUAAUAUUUGAGACAUUAUGACAUAUAUUCUAAAAAUAAUGCAAUAUUUAUUUUUGAAAAAAGUCAUAAUAUUUUUUUUAUGUCUUAACUUUGUCUUUACUUGGUUGGCAAAACUAAAGGAGAAUAAAAUUAGUCAGAUAACAAUAAAAGCGAUUUUUCUUUAAGGUGAUGCAUUUUUUCCCUCCUUUUUAGUUCAUCUGAAUGACAUUGUAAUUAGCAUUUUGGAGGGAUAUUGCAUUUGGCAUCAUCUAUGGUAUUUGAAUUUGAAUUUGGUUGUUAUUGCUUGACAGGAGUAUGAUUUAAAUAUUAAUACGUUAAUUUUUCUUUUUAAAGUUAGAGAAUUGUUGAAGGAUAAUAUCUCAUAUCCAUAUCUAAAAAUGUGUCAUAUAGAGUGUCAAACAUGCAUGAAACAUGAAGGGUCAGAGUAACAUACAGCAUUGCCUUACAUUUAUUUGUGUUAUGUUAGGCCAAUAUAAUUGCCACCGUUUCUCCAUGCAUGUAGUGGAACUUAAGUAAUGUUGUGUUGGUCUGGACCUAUUUUGGAUGAACAAAAGGCAUGCACAUGCUUGAGAAUACAAGAAUGUCUAUGAUAAGUAAUCCUGCAGUUGGCAUUUGAAAUAUAUGUGUCGAAAUCAGGAUAUUGCUCAUUGAGAAACAAGAAGACAUAAAAUAAGCAUUCCAAUGACUACUGCCAUCGGCAUUCUCGCAGGUAAAAGAAAACAUUACUACAUGACAUACAAGAAAAUAGAACAUGAGUAGGAAGAAACUCUUAUUGUAUAGAUACUAAUUUAUCUAUAUAGCCAUAGUAGCUCAGUUCUUGGGAUGGCUAGCCGAUGGGAUCUCUCUAUUGAGGCUUCCCCAAUGGAGGGUGUCCUGGAUAGUGACCAUACGGUGGUUUCUUUGGAUGUUCAUAAACUGGUGGCUUGGGUCCUGGUUUCUCUUUCUUUGGUGGUACAUAAACUGGUGGUUUUGGUGGUUUAGGCUCAUAAACUGGUGGCUUCUUCGGAGGUUGAUAAACUGGUGGUUUGGGUUCUGGUUUUUCUUUCUUUGGUGGUGUAUAAACCGGUGGCUUAGGCUUAGGCUUUUCCUUCUUUGGUGGUUCAUACACUGGUGGCUUGGGUUCAGGCUUCUCUUUCUUUGGUGGGGUAUAAACUGGUGGCUUAGGCUCAGGCUUUUCCUUCUUUGGUGGUUCAUAUACUGGUGGUUUGUGUUCAGGCUUCUCUUUCUUUGGAGGUGUAUAAACUGGUGGCUUUGGUUCGGGCUUUUCCUUUUUUGGUGAUUCAUAUACUGGUGGCUUGGGUUCUGGCUUCUCUUUCUUUGGUGGUGUAUAAACUGGUGGUUUAGGUUCAGGUUUUUCCUUCUUUGGAGGUUCAUAGACAGGUGGCUUAUGUUCAUAAGGUGGGGGUUUCACCGUAGGAGGCUUAUAAACAGGAGUAGGGGGCUUCCCAUAGUUGGGAGACUCAUAGGUACCAAAAGAGGGAGUGGCUAGAGCGGCCAGUCCAAGUAGAAAUAUUAGCAAGUGUGUGGUAGACAUCAUUGAGCUGUUUGCUUUCCAUGAUGCUAUGAGAAGAGCCCUUUUUAUAAUGGUAAAGGAGCCUUAUUGACAGCCCAAGUGUUGAACAAUUUUCUUGUUUUCAUGCCUUCGGAAUAGUCAGCUAGAUGUUAGUAAAUCUUUUAAAUAAUUCAUAAAUGAAAUAGGGUCCAUUGAGGUCCCACUUAGUAGAAAUUUUGGACUACGGAUACACAAGGCUUACUACGGAUACACAAGGCUUAGUCAUGAUUAAGGAAAAGUAUAGAAAUGUUGUCGUAGGUAUCGUAGUGAAACAAAAAAAAAAAUCAAAUACAUAAAUAAAUCUAGUUAUGGUAAAAUACUUAAUUUUUGAAAUAUAUUUAAGUAUUUUUUUCUCAUACCUAAACUAUCAUUUUGAUAUCAUUUUAUCCAAAAAUUAUUCGAUAAGAAUGUGCCACCUGUUAUGUUUUUAUUGACAAUUUUUAAUUUUUUUAUUAAAUUGAGACAAUAAUGAUAAUUUAAGUGACAAAAAAAAAGAUAAAAAAUUAAAUACCAAAAAACAGAUAUAAUUUAAGGAUUAAAUGGUGAAUUAAACUUUUGCAUUAUGUAUCCAAAUUUAUAUUUACUUCUAUUUCAAUGAGGUAUUACUUUCUUUAAAAAGCUAAGAAGCUUGAGACAUGAACAAUAGAUUAAAUUGGUACAUAAAACUAAAACAUUGAUAAAUUUAGCAUUGUAGUGUUUUAUAGCGACAUUGUAUUUAUCGGGGAACCAAAGAUUAGACUGUGAUUAAAGGUGUUUCAUGGAGGGCUUUAUCCUCAUCGCUUCACUCCUCGCCUAUUGUGUUUGAUUAGAAUCGCUAGAAAGAUGUAGAGUUUCGAAUUUUCCCUUUGAAAUCGGUAUAUUUCGCUGAAAGGAAGAUUCAAGGUUUCUCUUUUAAAAAAAUAUGAAUGGCGACAAGAAUGAAUGAAAGUGACUAAGAAUUUUUUUUUAAAAUUAGCUUAGGGUAAUUGGCUAAUUGAUCCUUGUCCAUUUUAGUACUAAGAAUUUUUUUUUCAAUUUAGCUUAGGGUAAUUGGCUAAUUGAUCCUUGUCCAUUUUAGUCUCUCAACCUUUAACCACUCGAUUUUCUUUUCUUUUCUUUCAAUUUAAUCUUUAGCUCAAACAAAAGAAAAAAAACUCAAAAUUACCAAAUUACCACUAACUUAAUAAUUUAGAAUUUGAAUCUCCAAUAUAAAUUUCGCAUUAAUAGAAGUUUUCUAGGUAGUUAUAGUACUAUUAAUUCUCAAUAAACAUUACGAUAAUUUUAUCAGAAUUUCGUGAAAUUCGACACUCAAAAUUUCGAGACAUUAUAAUUUUAUAAUUAUUUAUGUCUUGGGUCUUUUUUAGGAGCACUCACCUCCGUUAUAUGUCAAUCUUGAUUAUUUAUUUUCUUUUACGAAAAUUUUCAUUUUUGGAACUAAUUGAUCCACUAUAUUUCAAACUUGCGUUUCUUUAAAUUUUUUUAAACAGAUUGAUCUACCGAUACUUUGAUUUAAAUUAAAGCAUUUCCAGCUAAUUUGUGAGACUUGAUUCCUCUUAUUAGGUUAGCAAAUACAUUUGACAGUUGAUUUGCAAUAAAAUAAAGAUUGUUGAAGAAAGCCCUUUUGAAUCAUCUUAUGAAUCAAAGACUAAAUAUGAUUCGAGCUUUGAUGAAGAUGCUCUCUUAAAGAAAGCUUUUUUUGGUAAAGCUAGGAUCAAGCGUCCCAAUGUUCCACUCUCCACUUAGUAAAGAAAUAAAAAGAUGAAGCGAGCAGGUGUGCCCACAAUGCUUGUUGAAGCUACAAAAGAAGCAAUGAAGGAAGAAGUAGCUUUUGAUUAUUAAUGAGAAUUUUACACAAAGCAUUAAUGGUUAAUAUGCUUAAUUAUGUUCUAAUUUGAGUAAGUUGGAUUGAGGGAAUUAUGCUAAGGGGGAGUUGUAAUUGGUUUGGUUGAUUAGCUUCAUGUCUUGUUUGGUUUUGUUCUAAAAAUUUUAAAAGGGGAGAUUGUUGAGCAAGUAUUUGAAGUGGCUACUAUGUGUCAAUGGAAGUGCCCACUUCCAACACCACUGUGAUAGAAUCUUAUUUGUCGUAUUUGAUGUUGGCAAAUGAUUGAAAUAAAAUCUUUGGACUAUGUUGAUUUUGUGGAAUUAUUCAAGCUUAUCCAAGAAGAUCAGUCCGUUUGGAGGAACAUGUAUUAAGGAUUGGAUUGGAUCAAAUCAAUCACACAAAAUCCCUUAGAUCAAGGAUGUUGGAUUGGGACAAAACUUGAAGGUUUAUCUUCCAACAGUCCACCUUACUUUGGUCAUUAUUAUAUUGUAUUCAGCUAUAUUAGUUGUUGUUUAGAAGGGAUUGUAAUUGAUCCUUAGUAUAUUAGCAAGUCUUGAAAACUUCUAUAUAUUUGAGAAACUUGUAUAAAUUUAUUUACUAAGUAUUAAGAGCAUUUAUCAGUUCCAAGAGUAACGUUAUUGUGAGAAUGCAUUUGAGAUAGUAAAACCUAUUGUUAUUAGUUUUACAAAUUAAAUUCUCAAGGAGGAAAUUUCGUAGUGAGAGAUUUAGUCUUUGAGUACAAAAGCAAGGACUCUAUACUGGGAGAGAUAGAACUAGGAUCACUUGUUUUAUUGAGUUCAAAGAUAGUGGAUUAAUCUUAUUGAACUAAGCUCUGCAAACAUAAGGAAACUAAUGCGUAAACAAUUUCUUGUUCCCUAUUAUUCUUCUUUUUUUGGUAAUGUCAUCAAAAGUGCCCGCUCCUAUUUGUACUCCGUUUCUUGGCAUGAUAACAAUCGGUUGAGAUCAACACUUUAUAAUUUGUCUACCUAAACAUAAUAUUAAUAAUAUCUUGUUAUUAAACAUUAAAAAAAUUUAUGUUAUUUAAAAAUCUUUAUUUUUUUAAAGUUUACAUAAUAUUACAAUCGAAGUACAAAUACAAAUCCAGAACCAAUAGAAUUGAACUAUUACAACAUAGUCAGAUACAAAGAUAUUCGAACAACUAUAAUCAAAUUAUUACAAUACAAAUAGAUUAGUAACUAAAAAAAUCCAAACAAAAACUGACUGACUUGAACUAAAAUCCACCUAUAAUACCAACAUAUAAUUAAAAUUUGAAAUUUACAUACAUGAUAAUUUCCAGCCUAAGUGUUAGUACAAAACUUCGGUGAGGAAAUCUCGAACACACGAACGGAACUUGAACAGAAAAAGAAGAAAUAGGACGAGGCUCCAAGGCGUGUAUCAAGCCACUAUCUUUAAGGUUAUAUUCACCCCUACCUAUCUUCGGUGUGCAAAUGAGUUCCAAGCAAAUUAACCUCGAGGAUACAAUGAAGCCAAUGACUAUUUACGUGUUGCACUGACAAUAAUAGUCCACUACGCACUGAGCAAUGUAUAACAAAAACUCAAUUUCUACAAAGGAUUUCUGCAGUAAUACUUUAUAGAAUAAUCUAAUAAUAUUAGAAAAUGAAGGAAGGAAAUAAAGAAUAUUUAGAAUUUUGUUUUGUAUGUUUUCCAAAUGAAAUCUCAUUCCUAUUUAUAGGAAUUUUCAUGUCUCUUCAUAGAGACAUCUUUCAUCAAUAGGUGUCUUUCUGAAUAAUAAUGUCUUUAAAAUAAAUACAUAAUUAUUCAUUUAAUAUUAUAACUAUUCAAAUAAUAUUAUUUAAAUAGUUAUAAUUCUUUUUUAAAAAAUCAAAUAAUAAAAUCUUUUGAUUAAUUACACUCAUUCAUUUAUAGUUAUUGGAACACUAUAAAUAUUUGAAAAUAUUCCAACAAUCUCCCCCCAUUUUCAAAAUAUUUUAGAUUUUGAUAUUAUUUGGAAAUCAAUUUGCAUAAAUGAAGGUAUCUUACGAUUGAACCUUCACUUAGUGAAUAUAUGUUAAAGUUAAUCGAAAUUGCAUGGUAGAGCUUUGAACCAACUAUUCCAUUUGAUUAACCGAACACAUCUCACACAAUGAUUUCAACAUCAGUCAAUGCAUAGUAUCUAAGGACACUAUUAUGGCCAUGUGUCUGUGUCCUCUUUUCAUGAGUGCUGUCAGAGCCAAGCCCUUGAGCUCCUAGAAACAGCCACACUUCCACUCACAUAGGUAGAUCUCAUCAAGAGUGUUCCCGUAAUUAUAACACUAUAACAUAUUUAUGUUAUGGGUCCAUUAAGAGUACAUUACUCAUCAUUCCCUUAUCAUUACGGGUACCUAGCAAUUUAAUCUUAGGAUGGAUUUAUUUAUAGUGCUAACAGUCACAAACUAAUUAUGUACUUUGUCUCAUUGAACUCAAGACUUGACGUUAUACCAAGCGCUGAGUCGAGUUUCCAUCAUGGGUGACUCUAAUUAAUGGGCUUGAGUCCCAUCCCUUUUGAGGUCCUUUUUACUGCAUCUCUAGCAAGACUUUUUGUCAAAGGAUCCGCCAAAUUUUCACUUGACCUCGCAUAAUUAAUAGUGAUCACUCCAUCAGAGAUUAAUUGUCAGACAUAACUAUGUCUUAAUCCAAUGUGUCUAGACUUUCCAUUAUAUACUUGGCUACAUGCCUUUGCUAGAGUAGCCUCACUAUCACAACAGAUAGAAAUAGAUGAAAUUGGCUUAGGCCAUAAAGGUACAUCAUAAAGCAAAUUUCUUAACCAUUAUGCUUCUUUAGAUGCAGCGGCUAAUACAAUAAAUUCUGCUGCCAUGGUGGAAUCAGUAAUACAUGUUUGUUUCUUGGAACCCCAAGAAAUGGCUCAUCCACCAAGAAUGAAGAUCCAUCCACUAGUAGAUGCAUGAUCUUCCAAACUUGUAAUCCAACUAGCAUCCAAAUACCCUUCUAAAACUGGAGGAUAUCCAUUAUAACACAAUCCAUAGUUAAUAUUUUUCUUUAAGUACCUAAGUACUCUAUUCAAAGCUUGCCAAUGCAAACUACUUAGAUUACUUGUGUACCUACUCAAUUUUCUAACAGCAUAUGCAAUAUCUGGUCUUUUACGAAUCAUUAUGUACAUAAGACAACCAAUUAGACUUGCAUAUUUCAAUUGAUCAAUUUUCCUACCAGCAUUAGGUACUAAUUUUAUUUGAGGAUCCAUGGGUGUAGAUGCUGGUAUACAGUUGAAAAGAUCAAACUUUUUAAGCACAUUUUCAAUGUAAUGUGAUUGUGAAAAAGCUAUAGUGCUUUCAUCUCGGGUUAUUUUUAAUCCCAAGAAUAACAUCUGCUGCACCCAUAACCUUCAUAGCAAAGUUGUUUGACAAGAAUUUCUUUGUGUUUUCUAUUUGAUCCAAAUCCGUGCCAAAAAUGAGCAUGUCAUCUACAUAUAAGCAAAUUAUGACACCUUUUUCAUUUUCAAAAUUGCUAUAUAUGCACUUAUCGGAUUCAUUUAUUUUAUAGCCAUUAGCUAAAACAACCUUGUCAAACUUUUGGUGCCAUUGUUUUGGUGCUUGUUUAAGCCCAUAUAAGAUUUAACAAGCUUACAUACCUUAUGCUCUUGUCCUGGAACAACAAAUCCUUCUGGUUGCUCCAUGUACACUUCUUCUUCCAAUUCACCAUUUAAAAAUGCAGUUUUAACAUCCAUUUGGUGAACAACCAAAUUAUAUAUAGAGGUAAGUGAUACUAAGAGUCUAAUUGUAGCAAUUCUUACUACUGGAGCAUAGGUAUCAAAGUAAUCAAUACCUGUUUUUGUGUAAAACCUUUAGCUACCAACCUUACUUUAAAUUUAUCAAUGGUUCCAUCGACCUUCAUUUUCUUUUUGAAGAUCCAUUUACAACCUAAUGGUUUGGAACCCGGUGGAAGAUCAACUAAGAUCCAAGUUUGAUUUCCAAUUAUUGAAUCCAUCUCAUCAUUUAUUGCUUCUUUCCAAAAAGCAGAGUCUUGAGAUUUCAUUGUCUCUUCAAAUGUAAAAGGAUAAGAUUCAGUAUUAUAACAAUAAGGUAUAUUAUUGCAUAUACUUUCACCCUUUCCUUCUACAAGAAACAUAAUGAAAUCUGGUCCAAAAUCUUUAACCUUUUUAAUCCUCUUACUUCUCCUUAAUUCUUGACAAGAUUCAUCAUUACUAUCAGUUUGUUCCAGUGGAAUCUCAUUCUCAUUUGAAGAAUGAAUCAAUUGUUGUGGCUGUAAUUAUCUUGAUAUAGAAUUAAAUAUAUUUUCAUCAAAAAUAGCAUCUCUUGAUUCAAUAACAGUAUUAAUUGAAAUUGAAUCAUUUGGUUCAAUUACCAUGAACCUAUAUGCCUUGCUAUUAUGUGCAUAUCCUAUAAAUAUGCAUUCAAUUCCUCUUUCACCUAACUUUUUACGUUUAGGUGUUAAAACUUUGACAAUAGCUCUACAACCAUAAACCUACAAAUAAUUAAGGUUUGGUUUCCUUUUCUUCCAUUUUUCAUAGGGGGUUAUUUUAGUUUCCUUAUUAGGAACUCUAUUCAGUAUAUGACAAGCUAUUAGAACAACUUCUCCCCAAAAACCUUGUCCAAGACCUGAAUAUGAUAACAUUGAAUUUACCAUUUCAGUCAAGACUCUAUUUUUCCUUUCAGCUACACCAUUUUGUUGUGGUGUGUAAGGGGCUGAAACUUGAUGGACAAUUCCAGUGGAUUCAAAAUAACUUGGAUUAUAGUAUUCUCCACCUCUAUCUGAUCUUAAGCACUUAAUAAAUGAUUCACAAUGAAGUUCAACUUCAGAUUUAUGAACAUUAAAUUUAUCAAGCGCUUCAUCUUUUGAAUGCAAUAAAUAUACAUAACAAUAACUAGAACAAUCAUCAAUAAAAGUAACGAAAUAUUUAUUUCCACCUAAUGUAGGAGUAUUAUGCAUGUCACAUAAACCACUAUGUAUCAAAUCAAGCAAUUUUGUUUUCCUUCUAACCUUAGGGAAAGGGUUUUUUUAUAAUUUUAGUCAACAUACAUGUAUUGCAUUUUUCAAUAUUAUUAUUAAAAACAUGAAUUAAAUCUAACUUAUACAUUUCAUUCAAUUUUCUAUAAGUCAAAUGACCUAAUCUAUAAUGCCAAACAAAAAGAUUCAACCAUAUAAGCAGAAAUAGUAUUUUUAUUCUUAUUAAUAAUAUUGAGUUUGAACAUACUCUCAUACAUAUACCAUUUCCCUACAAAAAUUCCUCCCUUAGAAAAAAUAAACUUAUCUACGUCAAAAACAAGUUUGAAACCAAACUUAUUCAACAGACUUCUAGACACUAAAUUCUUCCUACCUUCUGGUACAUAAUAUACAUUAUUUAAGGUUAAAACCUUUCCAGAAGUGAAUUGUAGUUCAACAGACCCUUUGCCUUUGAUUGCUGCGGUGGAAGAAUUUCCCAUGUAUAAGACAUUGUCAUUUUCACAUUGCGGGAACUUUGUAAACAUGCUUUUGUCUUUGCACACAUGUUUGGUUGCUUCGGUAUCAAUCCACCAUGUACUAUCAUCUUGUGCCAUAUUAAUUUCAGAUAUCAUUGCAACGAACUUUUCGUUAUUAUCAGCCUUAGAAGAUGAUUUCUUCUUUAGAAAUCAACAUUCAUUCUUGAAAUGUCCCGGCUUUCCACAAUGAUAGCAUGAGCCCUUUUGUUUCUUUUUGAACUUAGGUGCUCUAUCAGUCUGUUUGAACUUUCUCUUGAAUGGUUUAGUAGUCUGUAUUUCCUCCGUAACAUGCACUUUGGCAUUUUUAGAAUUUUGGUUCUGAUCUUGUUUUCGAUAUUCUUCUUUAAUACAAAGAUGAUUUGCCAAAGUCUCAAGAGAUAUUUUCUCUUUCUUAUGUUUUAGACUUCUUUUAAAGUCUUUCCAAGAUGGAAGAAAUUUGUCUAUUAUGGAGGAUACAAUAAUUAUUUCAUCCAUUUUCAUAUCAUAUUGCUUAAAUUGAUUCAGCAUCUUUUCUAUAUCACGGAAUUGUUCCAUAACAAAACAACCAUCAACCAUUUGAUAAUUAUUAAAACGACUGACAAGAAACUUCUUACUUGUAACAUCUUCGGUCAUGUAUCUUGCCUCCAAUUUAUCCCAUAAUUCUUUAGCGGUGACCUCGUUUUGGUAGGUGUCAAACAAACUAUCAGAUAAACCAUUCAAUAUGUGGUUCAUGCACAUGUAGUCAGCAUUGUCCCAUUUUUAUCUUUCUCGGGUUGCAACAACAGAUUUGUUUUCAUUCUUUUCAGGUCUUGGAGUAUCCAAAACAUAAGGAAUCUUCAAAGUUGAUAAUAAGAAGUACAUCUUUUUCUGCCAUCGUCGAAAAUUGCCACCAUCAAACCGAUCAAGUUUGACAAAGUUGGAAGCCAACUCCCUUAGUGUUCCACUAUCUUGUGUUGUGGUAGUCAUAAUGAAAUAUAACCUUAAAUUGUUAGUACAAAACUCCGAUGAGGAAAAUCUCGAACACACAAACGGAACUUGAACAGAAAAAGAAGAAAUAGGACAAGGCUCCAAGGCGUGUAUCAAGCCACUACAUUUAAGGUUAUAUUCACCCCCACCUAUCUUCGGUGUGCAAAUGAGUUCCAAGCAAAUUAACCUCGAGGAUACAAUGAAGCCAAUGACUAUUUGCGUUUUGCACUGACGAGAAUAGUCCACUACGCAUUGAGCAAUGUAUAACAAAAACUCAAUUUCUACAAAGAAUUUCCGCAAUAAUACUUUAUAGAAUAAUCUAAUAAUAUUAGAAAAUGAAGGAAGGAAAGAAAUAAUAUUUAGAAUUUGUUGGUAUGUUUUCCAAAUGAAAUUUCAUUCCUAUUUAUAGGAAUUUUCAUGUCUCUUUAUAGAGACAUCUUUCAUCAAACAGAUGUCUUUCUGAAUAAUAAUGUCUUUAAAAUAAACCCAUAAUUAUUCAUUUAAUAUUAUAACUAUUCAAAUAAUAUUAUUUAAAUAGUUAUAAUUCUUUUUCAAAAAAUCAAAUAAUAUAAUCUUUUGAUUAAUUACACCCAUUCAUUUAUAGUUAUUGAAACACCUAAGUAAUCAAUUAAAAAAAUUUGAUAUUCAAAAGUUAGAAUUCGGUUAAUAUAAUAUAUGGAUAAAAUGAACGUAACGUGGAUUUGGCCCUCAAGGAACAAAUGGUCAACAUUCAUGGUUUCUUGAUUUCAAACACUUAGGUAAUGGCUAUUUCCACCAACAAAAUCUCCAUGCACGAAACGACAACAAGAUCUCUUUCAACAUGUCGGUUUUCUUUAAGUAAAUAAAAUAAAAAAGAAAUCGGUUAUUUUCUUCUCGUGCUUUUUCUUAUCAUUUCCAUAUGGGUGAAAUGAAUUCACCCUACAUACUUAAAUUAUGAUUCAAUUCUUUUUAAUUCAUACGAAAAUUUUAAAAUAUAUAUUCUAAAUUUAAAAAUUUACUAAUUAAAUUUUAACUAUAAAUUUAAACGUGUUUAAACAUAUUUCUUUUCUCAUUUAAAGGUUUGAAAGAUUAAAAUAGGUGCAAAUAUUUUAUAAUAUUUUAAAAAUAACUUAGCCUACAAGUGGAAUCAUACGAGUGAGUGCUCAACACUUCAUUCCAAAAGCAGCCGUAAAAAAAAAAGGACUAGAAACAUAUGGUCAAAGCUACCCACUUGUGAAUGCUUUUAAUCUUUCUUUUCUAAUUAAAGUUAAAACUUUGAAAAACGAAAAAAAACAAAAGGUUCUUCAUCACUUUUGAACGUAUGAAAGCAAGAAAUGGAUGCCUAGGUAUGUAUGUCGGUGUUAAUAUAUAUAAAGUAAUUUAUGAAUUUGAAUCUCAAAUUUAAUAAUUCUUGUAUUUAUUUUUAUUUGAGUAAAUAAUACGUGGAGAAGUUACAAUCAUAUUUCAUAAUUACGUGUAUAUAUUAUUGAAUAAUUAAUUAAAAUCCCAAUAUAAAUACUAAAUUUACUUAUAAUGAGGCUAGAAUUUGAAACUUUAAAGUUCUACAACAUCUUUUAAGUUUUUAAACUUAGUAAUUAGGUAGGUUUUGGUAUUUGUAAUUUUUUUUCUAAUUUACUUUGAUAUUUAAAUUUAACAAUUAGGGGACUAAAAGUUAUAUUAACCAAUUGAAUACACUAGAAAACGUGAGCUAAAAACAAGGGUAUUGAGCAGGUAAAAUUAUCUUUAGGUAUUGAAAAUAGGGAAGGGAACAAAACACAGUGAAGGGAAGUCAACUUUGAAUGCUGGUUUCGAAGAUUUGACAUUUUAAGCUACAUAAUUCCUGCAGCUUACAUCGUCACCAAUCAUAAUUUAAACCUCUAACUAUGUAAUAAGCUGCAAAUUUUCCACUUCUCAAACAGCUGGUGGGGGCAGUGGGGGCCUUGCAUUGAUAAGGUUAGGUAACCACAUAAUAGCAAUUGAAAGUUUACGAAGUUGUACUACAGAAAAUUAAUUAAAAUGUUACAUAAAGUAUAAUAUCAUGCAUAUAAAAGGUUUUAAAAAAAUAUGUUAAGAGGUCAAAUUUUAUAUAAUAAUAAAUUCAUAUUUGAGACAUUAUGACAUAUAUUUUAAGAAUAAUGCAAUUUUUAUUUUUGAAAAAAAAUCAUUUUUUUUAUUGCUUAACUUUGUCUUUACUUGUCUGGCAAAACUAAAGGAGAAUAAAAUUAGUCAGAUAACAAUAAAUUUGAAAAACAUUCACAGAGAUAAAAUUGCAUAGUUUUCUAGCAAAUUUUCCUUAACGUGAUGCAUUUUUUUCCCACCUUUUUUGUUCAUAUGAAGGACAUUGUAAUUAGCAUUUUUGGGGACUAUAUUGAAUUUGGCAUCAUCUAUGUUAUUCGGAUUUUAUUGUUAUUGUUUGAUAAGAGUAUGCUUCAAAUAUAGGUAUAUUAAUUUUUCUUUUUUUAAGUUUGAGAAUCGUUGAAGCAUCAUUUCUCGUAACCAUAUCUAAAUAUAUGUCACAAGAAGUGUCAAACAUGCAUAAAACAUGAAGGGUCGGAAUAAUUUUCAUCACGGAAUAAUAUUCAUCAUUGCCUUAGAUUUAUUUGUGUAAUGUUAGGUCAACAUAAUUGCCAUCAUUCCUCCAUGCAUGUAGUGGAACUUAAGUAAUGUUGUGUUGAUCUGGGCCUAUUUUGGAUGAACAAAAGGCAUGCACAUGCAUGAGAAUCCAAGAAUGUCUAUGAUAAGUAAUCCCGCAGUUGUCAGUUGGAAUAUUUGUGUUGAAAGAUAUUGCUCAUUGAGAAAUAAGAAGACAUAAAAUAGGCAUUCCAAUGAGUACUGCCAUAAGCACUCUCGCUAGUAAAAGAAAACAUUAAUACAUAACAUACAAGAAAACAGAACAUGAGUAUUAAGCAGCUCUUAUUGCAUGGAUACUAAUUUAUCUAUUUAGCUAGUCAUAACAGCUCGGUUCUUGGGAUUGCUAGCCGAUGGAAUCUCUCUAUUGAGGCUUCCCCAAUGGAGGGUGUCCUGGAUAGUGACCAUACGGUGGUUUCUUGGGAGACUCAUGUACUGGUGGUUUAGGUUCGGGCUUCUCUUUCUUUGGUGGCGUGUAAACCGGUGGCUUUGGUGGCUUAGGCUCAUACACUGGUGGUUUCUUUGGAGGCUUAUAAGCCGGUGGCUUCUCCUUCUUUGGUGGUCCAUACACUGGUGGUUUGGGCUCAGGCUGCUCUUUCUUUGGUGGUGUAUAAACUGGUGGCUUAGGCUCAGGCUUUUCCUUCUUUGGGGGUUCAUAUACUGGUGGUUUGGGCUCAGGCUUCUCUUUCUUUGGUGGUGUAUAAACUGGUGGCUUAGGUUCAGGCUUUUCCUUCUUUGGAGGUUCAUAUACUGGUGGUUUGGGCUCAGGCUUCUCUUUCUUUGGUGGUGUAUAAACUGGUGGCUUAGGUUCAGGCUUUUCCUUCUUUGGAGGUUCAUAUACUGGUGGUUGGUCAGGCUUCUCUUUCUUUGGAGGUGUAUAAACUGGUGGCUUAGGCUCAGGCUUUUCCUUCUUUGGUGGUUCAUAGACAGGGGGCUUAUGUUCAUAAGGUGGGGGUUUCACCUUAGGAGGUUUAUAAACAGGAGUAGGGGGCUUCCCAUAGUUGGGAGACUCAUAGGUACCAAAAGAGGGAGUGGCGAGAGCCACAACUCCAAGUAGCAAUAUUAGCAAGUGUGUGGUAGACAUUAUUGAAGUGUUUGCUUUCCAUGGUGCUAUAAGAUGAGCCCUUUUUAUAGUGGCAAAGGAGCCUUACUGUUAGCCUAAUUGACAAACAAUUUUAUUGUUUUCAAACCUUUGGAAUAGUCAGCUAGAUGGUAAUUAAUCUUUUAAAUGGUUCAUAAAUGAAAUAGGGUCCAUUUAGGUCCCCACUUAGUUGAAAUUUUGGACUAUGGAUACACAAGUCUCUGUCAUGAUUGAAUAAAAUUAUACGAGUGUUGCCGUACAGAUCGUAGUGAAAUAACAAAAUAUCAAAUGCAUAAAAUCAAUCUAGUUAUCAUAAAAUACUUAAUUAAUUAUUUUAUUUUGGAAUUAUAUUUUUUCAAUUUAGUAUUUAGGCAUAUUUUUAUCUAUUUUAGCAAUAUGUUACAUUUUUAUUAUCAAUAUUUUAUCUUAAGAUAAAUUGAAGCGAAAAUAAUAAUCUAAGUAUCAAUUUGGAAUAAAAAAAAAAACAAAUCUCUUUAAAAAGAGUCAGAGCUUUGAAUUUUUAGAUGUGAAGAUAAGGUUUUUCUCUUGAAAAAUAUGAACGACGGAAAGAUAGGAGUGAAGGGACGUGAACUUACUCUUCAAAAUAGCAUAGGGUAAUUGGCUAAUUGAUCCUUGGGCUAAUUCAAUAUAAAAUCUUCUAACUUCAUCCCUUGUCAUUUUAGUCCCUCAACCUUUUUAUAGGUAUCUUUGUAUCUUUUAUUUAUUUUUUAAUAUUCUUCAUUUCCGUUUUAUGGUCCAAGUUCAAGGUUUGUGAUUGCCCCUUCCAAUAAUGUGGUUUCCAAGAUUCGAACUUGAGUCCUUCCCUUAGAAAAACAAUUUAUCUUACAAUUGCACCCAACUACUUGUUAAUUCAUAUAUUUUAUUUAUUGACCUUCAAUCAUCAUAGAUUACAAAUAAAUAAAUAAGAAAAUUAAAAUACUUUAUAUAUCCUUUAGAUACAACAAAAACUUGGAGGUUUUGAAAUUUAUAUGAAGAACCAUAUUAUCAAGGAUUUACAUCAAUUAUAUUAUUUUCUUAUUUCUUCAUAUCAUUUCAAUACGAAUGAAUUCACACUCCAUACUUAAAUUCGGAUUUAAUUCUAUUUAAUCCAUAUAAGUCUAUAUAAAAGUAAAUCCUUUGUUUACACAUGCACCACCAUGGUGCUUUCCUUUUCUUUUCUUUUUUUUUUCUUUUUUUUUUGCAUUUUAAAAAAUGUUAAAUUUUAAUUUUGACCUCUCUAUUAUGUCUAAAUUAGGAUUUACAUCAAUUAUAUUAUUUUCUUAUUUCUUCUUAUCAUUUCAAUACGAAUGAAUUCACACUCCAUACUUAAAUUCGGAUUUAAUUCUAUUUAAUCCAUAUAAGUCUAUAUAAAAGUAAGUCCUUUGUUUACACAUGCACCACCAUGGUGCUUUCCUUUUCUUUUCUUUUUUUUUCUUUUUUUUUUUGCAUUUUAAAAAAUGUUAAAUUUUAAUUUUGACCUCUCUAUUAUGUCUAAAUUAGGAUUUACAUCAAUUAUAUUAUUUUCUUAUUUCUUCUUAUCAUUUCAAUACGAAUGAAUUCACACUCCAUACUUAAAUUCGGAUUUAAUUCUAUUUAAUCCAUAUAAGUCUAUAUAAAAGUAAGUCCUUUGUUUACACAUGCACCACCAUGGUGCUUUCCUUUUCUUUUCUUUUUUUUUCUUUUUUUUUUUUGCAUUUUAAAAAAUGUUAAAUUUUAAUUUUGACCUCUCUAUUAUGUCUAAAUUAGGAUUUACAUCAAUUAUAUUAUUUUCUUAUUUCUUCUUAUCAUUUCGAAUGAAUUCACACUCCAUACUUAAAUUCGGAUUUAAUUCUAUUUAAUCCAUAUAAGUCUAUAUAAAAGUAAGUCCUUUGUUUACACAUGCACCACCAUGGUGCUUUCCUUUUCUUUUUUUCUUUUUUUUUGCAUUUUAAAAAAUGUUAAAUUUUAAUUUUGACCUCUCUAUUAUGUCUAAAUUAGGAUUUAGCCUCUAUACUUUAAUUUCUAAUGUAAAUUUAUCUUUAUCUUUUUUAUAAUGAUAUCAAUUAGUACAAAUAGUUAAUAUCGCUAACUUUUCAAUUAAAAUGUGGCUUAGAGAUGAAUAUGUGGCUUUCCAUUUAUUUUUCGAGUUUGUCUUGCUUUUUUUUCUGGCAUUAAUGAUAUUAAUUAAUCAUAUACGGUGUUGAAACUUGAGAUUCAAUAUGUAUAUAUAUUAAUUAAUGACAUAAUUUGUAACGCCUCAAAUCCGGCCUAGGAGAUAUGGCUGUAUCUGGUGUGUCACAUUGAAGUGUUUUUCGAAAACCAUGUUUUCAUUGAAAACUCUUCUUGAAAUUUCAAACUUCUUGCCAUUUCAAACUUGUACAAAACCUUAGUUUGCGUUUGCUUAUUUUCAAUCGAGGUUUAUUAAAGAAACGUUGUUACCUUCAAAACCUUAUUGUUGCGGAAGCUUAAUUUAAAACAAAUGAUUUGCGAAAACGUGUUAUUUAAAAUUUGAGUUGCGGAAACGUAGCGUUUGAAAAUAGUUAUUGUUUUGGAAAAUCGGAAUCUCCUUCUAGCAGAUAAGAAUCACAAUCAAUAAAAUCUCGAAUUUAAAAUCCAGAAUUUUAAAGGCCUUGUUACAACCAGAAUCAAAAUCAAAGUGCUUUAGUAAAUGAGCAAAACAGAAUAAAACUUGUGCAGUUGUGUGGCCCUCUCCGAGUCCCUCGCAGCUCUGAACCGUCUAACGCUGAGGAUUACCUGAAAGUAGGGGUGAGCAAAACUCGAUUCGACUCGAAAAAAUAAAAAAAAAUCGAAUUUCGAGUUAAACGAAUCAAGUUAUUCGAGUUAAUCGAGUUAUUCGAAUCAACUCGAAUUUUUUUUUUCGAAUUUCGAGUUCGAAUUGAGUUGAGUUUUCGAAUUCGAAUAACUCGAAUAACUCGAAUAAUUCGAAUAAUUCGAAUAUCAAACUAUAAUAAUUUACAUUUUUACCCCAAAACUCCCAAACCUUUUUACUUUUCCCUCAAAACUUUUACUCCUUCCUACUUUCCCCCCAAAACUUUUAUUCCCCUCCCAACCCCCUAAUCUACCCAAAAUCCAUUUCCCACCAAAAUUUUACUCUCCCAUUUAUUUUUUCUCAAAAUUUUACUCCCAAAAACCCUCAAAACAUUUUAUUUUCCCCCAAAAUUUUUACUUCCUCUCACUUUUCCCCUAAAACUUUUAUUCCCUUCCCAUCCCACCUCCCAUCUAUCCCAAACCCUCCCCCCUCCAAUUUUUUUUUAAUAUUUUCCCUCCAAACUAUUUACUUUCUCUCAAAAUUUUAUUCUCCAAAACUUUUUAUUUUUCCCCUAAACUUUUACUUCUCACCCUUUACUCUCAAAUAAAAAAUCAAAAUUAUCCAAAAAAAAUCACUAAACAUAAAUAGUAAUAAUUUUAUUUAUAUCUACUAUUUAUAUUAUUAAAUUAAAUUUCAAAUUUUAUAUUAUUUAUAUUAUUAAAUUGUUUAGUCAUAUUGAAUAUUUAUAUUAAAAUUGAAUUAUUAAUUAUGCCAUAAAAUAUUCGUGUUAAAAUUUUAUAUUGGUAUCAAUUUCACAUUUUUUUUAAAAUAACUUUUAUUAAAAAUCAUAUUUUUUACAUUUAAUAUAUUUUUUUAAUUCUAAAACACAUAGUGACAAGAAUCUGAAGAUAAUUGAAACAACUAAGCAAGCAAAGAAGCUAAUCAAUAUAUAAAAAAUUAAUAAAUAAAUUAUGAAGUGAUGAAAGUUAAUAAAAAUUUUGAUUAAGGUGGACAAAUUUUAUUACGAUGGGUGACAAUGGUUACUGUCGAAACCAUUUUUUUGAAAACAAAAAUAAGUUAUCGACUUUGAAAAUAAAAAUUGGAGUCGCCACCGAUCCUUGAUUGAGUGUGAUCGGCUCCCCUUAAAAACAUUUGGCCUGCGAAUUUGAGAAACAGGUUCGGGAGUCAGUUACGCACGANNNNNNNNNNNNNNNNNNNNNNNNNNNNNNNNNNNNNNNNNNNNNNNNNNNNNNNNNNNNNNNNNNNNNNNNNNNNNNNNNNNNNNNNNNNNNNNNNNNNNNNNNNNNNNNNNNNNNNAAAUGAUAAAACAUUCUCCGUGAAUGGAUCUAAAAUGAUAAAACAUUCUCAUUUCAAAGAAAUAAAACACCACACCCAGUAAGUUAGGGCACAAUAUUUUAUAUCUUCAAAAUACCGAAUAUUACUUUUUGUUUUAGAAAUUCUUAUUUCGAGAUAACGAAAUGUCACGACCCGAGAAUAAGGUUUUAUUUGAAAAUUGCAAAUUUAUUGUAAAAUAAAUACUUAGCUCGUUAAAUUCAUCGAAAAAAUGAUCACGAUCCAGUAAGUUAGGACACGAUCUUUCUCGAGAACCAUGAUUGCUAAAUAUUUAAAAAUUAAAAAAAAACGAUUUUAAUGCUUUGACGAAGCAAAAAUAGAUUUUUCUUUAAAAGUAUGAUAAAACGCUAAUGCGUAACAUGAAAUCAUUACUCUAAUUUAAAAUAUACCUAUAUAUGUAUACAAAAAUUAUAAAAAGAACAUAAUCAUAAAAUAUAAUGAGUUGUCAUAAAAAUAAAAACGUAAGCAUAAUAUAUUAAUAAUUAUGAAAAUAUAGGUAUAUAUGUAUAUAUAAAAAUAUAUGAAAAAUAUAUUUAUAAAAGUUUUGAAUAAUAUAUGUAUAUGCAUAUAUGUAAAAAAUAUAUAUUUUAAUUUCUUUUAAAAAAAAUGAAAAACGAUGUGAAAAUCAUAAAAUGUAAGUAUAUGUACGUAUGCAUAUAAAACUAAGAAAAGUAAAGUAAUAAUGAAGUAUAUGAUUUGUACAUAUUAUAAAAAAUGUAUAAACAUAUGAAUUAUAAAACAUGAAAACAUAAAUAAUUAUAAAAAAUAUGAAUGUAUAUAAUAUAUAUAAACUAUAUAUAUAUAAAAAAAUAUGGUAAUAAAAUAUAUACGCACUAUAUAUAUAUAUAUAUUUAAAACAUUUAGAAAUAAAAAAUAUACACAUAUAUUAUAAAGUACACAUGCGUGUAUAUAUGUAAGUAUAAUAAAUAUAAAAAUAAUAGUAAUAAUAAAAAUAAUAAUAACUAUUAUUAUAAAAUAACUAAAAAACUUAAAAUGAAAGAUUAUGGAUUAAAUUGAAAAUAAUUGAAGUUUCAGGGGCAAAUCUGAAAUAAACAAAACACCAAUGGAUCAAAUGGAACAUGCAGUUAACAGUGGAGGACCGAAAGUGAAAUUAAUCCCUCCGUCCAAAACUCCACGCAGCAAUGGAUUAAAAUAAAACAAAUUCAACAUUUCAUGGCAAAAUUUGAAAACAAACCACAAUGAUUUUGAAAUGAUGGGAUAAAAUGAAGGAUUAAAAACGCAAAUAACCCAUCAGUGUUUAAAACCCUUUUCAUCUCCAAUUAAAAGUCUACUCUGCAGCAGCAAUANNNNNNNNNNNNNNNNNNNNNNNNNNNNNNNNNNNNNNNNNNNNNNNNNNNNNNNNNNNNNNNNNNNNNNNNNNNNNNNNNNNNNNNNNNNNNNNNNNNNGCCACGCCAGCCGUUCAAGCUUCGCCGCCGACUCCGAUUCAGGUAAGUUUCGUCCUUUUCUUUUUGCUUUUUCUUUUGCACCAAAAAUAGAGAAGCAAAGAAAAAAAAAGUAGAUAAAUAAAUAAAGCACAAAGAAAAUUACCUUCAAAAAUUGUUUUUGAUUCUUUGUUUGUAUUUCAGUAUUUUUCCAAUACAAGAUUUUUCUCUUUUUAGUACAAAAUUUUUCUAACCAAGUUACAGAAAAUCAUUGGCCUUUAUAUAGCCCUCCCUAAAUCCUUUUACAACUGUUUUGCUGUGUGUAUAUCCUAUUAGUGUUGUCUGUGGCUUACAUAUGUGUGAGCGUUGUGCGAGUGGACGUGCCAGCGAAGAUGUGGGACAGUUUGGGAGGCUGCCGAACGUGGGGCAUGCACGGCACUGGAGGUUGCUGCGACGUGGGGUGGCUACUGCUAACUGCUACUUAGGGUUAGGCUAGGGUUAGCACACUUGGGCCUUAUUGGGCCAAAUGUAAUUGGGUCAGGAUUGGCCCAAGUUUUAUUGGAUUUGAUUGGUUAAUUUGGGCCCCGGGUUAAAAUUGGCUAUUACAGUUACAAGGAUCCAAAAUUAUUUUUUAAAAUUUAACUCGAACAAAUAUAUUCGAUUCGAUUCGAUUCGAAUUCCAUCUCACUCGACUCGAUUCGAGAAAACUUCAAAUAAAGUUAGGAUGAUAAAAUGAGAUUCGAAAACUCGAUUAACUCAAAAAUUUCCGAUUCAAUUCGAUUCGAUCGAAUGCUCACCCCUACCUGAAAGGUUAAAAACAGGGUGAGUUUACAAAAACUCAGUGUGUAAUCCCCUAUCAUUCAGUCAGUAAUAUAAGCAGUAAUAGUCUAGGCCUGAGCCCUUUUCAAUAACAAAACAACGUGGCUUUAGCCCAAAUCAGUAAAAGUGUAGUGUGGGCCUUAGCCCAUUACAGUAUCAGAAUUAGAAACAAAAUACAUGUGGGCCUAAGCCCAAUACAGUGACAGAAUCAAUAAUAGAAAUGCAACAAUGCAAUCAUGCAACCCAUCCCAAUCCAGCCAACACACUACCCGUACCAACUAACACACCAUGUAGGGAUAAAAUAGACCCACCCAGCCAAUACACCAAUAUCAGCCAACACACCAAAAUGGCUAAGAGAAGUAAACAGGAUAGCUAUAAGCUAUAAACAGAAUGGCUACAAGCCAUAAGUACAUAAUAUGAUUGACACAAAGCCAUCAGUAGCAGUGAUAUGAUUGGCACACAUCUAUCAGUAACGAUAAUAUCAUCGGCACAAAGCCAUCAGUAACAGUCAUAUAAUCGGCACAAAGCCAUCAAUAGCAUUGCAACAAAGCUGCCAACAACAGUAUCGCAGCAAAAAUGCCAGUAAUAGUAUAUGUGGCCAAGCUACCAGUAACAGUGAUUGUGGCAGAGCCACCAGUACAGUACUUCUUCCAUAACUGUAUCCCAACCCCAUGCAGUAUGUCGUGUAUGUAGAAUGCCAUACUCAGAAUCAGUCAUACAAAUCACAGACAAAUCAGUCAUACCAUUCACAGACAAAUCAAUCAUUUAAAUCACAGGCACAUCAGUCAUUUACAUCACAUACAAAUCAAUCAUUUACACUCGAGGGGCAAAAUAGUAAUUUACCCUCCAGGGGCAUUAUGGUCAUUUUACCUUACAGGGGUAUUUUGGUCAUUUAAACCUAUGGGGGUAUUACGGUCAUUUUACCUUAUGGGGGUAUUUUGGUCAUUUUAUCCUAUGGGGGUAUUUCGGUCAUUUUACCCUAUAGGGUAUUUCCGUCAUUCUACCUUAUGGGGGUAUUUCAGUCAUUUAACAACCUUUUUGAAGGUCUACAGUUACCUCAAACGACACAGAUAACCUAAAUGGUCAUAACAGUGUAAAUGGGCCCAAGGCCCAUAUUCAGCCUACGUGGGCCCACACGCACGUGUGGCCCAUUUAGCUCAAAUUCAGUCACGGCUAUGCAAACUACAUAACCCAGUCCAGUAUUUUCCACUUAACGUGGAUUUUAUCUGUGUGGAGCCUACGAGCCCAUUGGGCCAACACGACCCAUUUCAGCCCAACGAGGCCUAUAACGGCCCAAGAGCAUAAGAACGCUCGUGGUGGCCUCAAUAGUCUAGAUCCCGUAUUCGUGGGCUCGAUUCACCACAUGAACAUUCACACGGCCAUGUGGCCUCAAUCACUGUAUUUUCACCUUUUCGGCUUUUGCCGAUUCACAAAAAAGACAGUGUGAUUACACACCUGAUGCGAUUUACAGAUUCCCUUCGUUCUGAACACUCUUAUUCUGAAAAUCAAUGAUCAUCGCACCCUUGGUUCCCAAGCAAAGUGCCAGUCAACCUCGACCACCACCAGUUAGGAAUGGAAGCAAUGCAGGUUGGAGAAAACGAUGAAAACCUUGAAAACCUUGCCGAUCUCCCAUAACAAGAAACAAAUGAGGUGGAUAUAUAUAACUCUCCACAAUAACAACCUCCUCAAAUCUCAAUAUUCUCUUCUCAAAUCUCUCCCCUUAUCACUCCAUCGAUUUCUCCUCAACUCCCUCUUAGGGGUGUGCAUAAUUCGGGUAAAACUGAAAAAAUUCAGUUAACCGAUCGAAUUUGGUUAAUCGGUCGGUGAACCGAAUUUUUUUGGUCGGGGGUCGGUUAAUUUUUUAUGAUUUUUCGGUUAACGGUUAAUUCGAUUCAAAAUCGGUCAGUUAACCAAAUUUUUUCGGUUAACCGAAAAAAUUAAUAAAUAAAAUUAUCCAACUCAACCCAAUUACCCAACCCAAUUACCAACCCAACCCAACCUAAUUACCCAACCCAAUAAAACUAAAACUAAAGUUUACCCAAUUACCCAACCCAAUAAAACUAAAACUAAAGUCUACCCAAUUACCAACAUAAUAAAAAUAAAACUAAAGUCUAACUCUUAAGUAUCUACCCAAUUACACAUGUUUUUUUUUUUAGGUUUAAUGCAAAUGGAGAUUUUUUGGAGAGAAGAAAUGGAUAUAAAUGGAGAAUAUUAAAGACUUACAUUUCAACUAUGUGUUAAUUUCAAGAAUUAUGUAAUGUUUUUAAUUAUGUAGUGAUUCAAAGACUUAUGUAAUAUUUUUAAUUAUGUAGUGAUUCAAUUCGGGUAAUUCGGUUAAUUCGGUUAAUUUUUAACCAAAAAUAAAAACCAUACAAUUUUCGGUUAAUUCGGUUAACCGACCUAAUUAGCUGAAAAAAUUUUGGUUUGGUUAUAAAUUUUGGAAGGUCUGUUAAUUCAGUUAUAGCUAUUUCGGAGACCGAUUAACCGAAUGCACACCCCUACUCCCUCUAUGACCAGUUCAAACUUCCUUCGGCAGUAUUUCACUCCAACUCUGCCACUUACACGGCUCAAGCAACAAAAUAAACACCCCAUUGCACAACCCAAGACUUAAACCUCAAAUCUUACAAUUACAUAACAUGCCACCUUACCACUAAACCACAAGCUCUUUUUAUGUUAUAAAAUAGACACUAAUAUUUAUAAGGCCUAAACGCCACUGUCCAGAUUCAAUUAAGAGCAAAACCAAAAAUUCUGCAGAAGCCAAAACUUGAACCCCUAACUUCUUAGACACUUUCAAACACUCCUAAAUCACUUAACCACUGAAGCAAACAUUUAUUCAUAUCACUUUCUUGCACAACUAAAUAUUUAUGUGCAGUUUUCUAACUGUUCCCUUGUUCAAAACCUAUUUCUUCUAGGCCCAAAAUUCGGGGCAUUACAUAAUUUGUUCAUUUUACUUUUAUAAUGUCAUUAGUUUUUCAAACUACAAAAUAUUGUUAACUAUUUCAAUUAAAAUGCCGACAUCAAUUUUUCUUAAGAAAUACUAUUCCAACAACAAAAAAUAUAUUUUAUCAUGAUAAGUUCAAACAAAUGUUUUUUAAAAAAAAAAAGUCCACCAAUAUUUUCAAUGUUGUUUUAUUGUUACAUUACCACAAAGAUUUUUUUUAAAUUUCAAAAUGUCACACCAAUAAAUUUAAUAACAAAAACUUAACAAUGGUUAUAAUUGAAUCUAAAUUUUUACUAAAAAUAGAGCGAUCAAAUUUAUGAAAACAAAAAUAAAAAAUUAAAUUUCAAUUGCACGAAAUAUAUAAAGAUUUAAUAUAGUUUAAUCUUCAAAUUUUUAUUUCAUAAUUUAACACAACGAAAUAUAUCGGAUCUAUCAAUGGAAUUUUGAAAAAAAAGAAUCAUAGGAGUGAGUGCCUAACACAUCAAUCCAAAAGCAGCGUUAAAUUAAGAUUAGGCAACAUAUGGUGAAAGGCACCCCCACUUGAGAACAACGUAAAGAUAAAGUUGUUAAAAAGCUUUAAAUUUCUAUGCUUUUAAUCUCACCAAAUUCAUCUUUUCUCAUUACUGUAAUCAUUAAUUUAUAAUUAUCAUCUUUUCUAAUUACAGUUAAAACUUUGAAAAAGAUCAAAAGUAGAAUUCUUUGUCACUUCUGAAUUAACUUUUCAAAGCAAGACAUGGAUGCCUGUCGGUGCCAAAAAUAUAAAUAUAAACUAAUUUAUGAAUUUCAAAUUUAAUAUUUUGUUUGUGUAAAUAGUACGUCGGGAAGUCACCAUCGUAAUUGAUACUUACAUCUAUAUAUUAUUUAAUAAUUAACUAAAAUUUCAAAGUAUUAAUAUAAUUGAUUUUUAUUAAUUUUUACCAACAAUUUAUUGGAUACAUCAUAUUUUCAAAAUUUUAAGACAUUAUUGAAUAGAGCACAUGUAUAAUAAAACAGACAUAAAAAAAUUCAUUAGCAUCACAUUUAUAAAAUAUUGAAAUUAUAACUCAUAAAUCGAUUCAAUUGUUAAUUUUUGUUGCUAUUUUUGGAUUUUUAUCAAUUACAACGUUUUGUUUAAAAAUCGAUUCAAUAUUCGGUAAAUUUCUAACCUAAUCCACCUAAUUAACUUAACAAAUGGAUUUCAACAACCUACUAAAACGAUGGAAUACACUAGAAAACGUGGGCUUAAAACAUGGAUCUUGAAAAUGGAAAGGAGCAAAACACAGUGCAGGAAAGUCAAAGUGAAAUGAUGGUUUCAGUCUUUUCUUUAAUAAAAAUAAUAUAAGGGUAGAUAUUAUUUAUGGGAAUGAGUUAUUUACUAUUCAUUGGUGCUGCUUGAUAUAUCGACGACACCACUUUCCUUUUCAGUUAAUUAUUAUGUAACAUUUAUUUUUAAAAAAUUAUUGGUACCGUAAAUGUGUCAGGUUAAAAAAAAUUGGACUGAAAGAGAAAAAAAAUAAGUUGUCAACGUUACGGGAUCGGAUUUUGAAUUGUUGGCGGCACCAAGAAAAAUUUCCCUUUCAGUUUUUUUCUCUGACUGUACUUUUUUUUAGAAAUACCACUGGUGUCACCUAACACACUGGCGGCACCAAUUAAAAAAAAUUGUCUCAGCUUUUUUUUCUUGACAAUAUUUUUUUUACAAAAAUCACCAAUGUCGCCUGAUAGACCGGCAGCACCAUGAUUUUUUUUGUUAUUUUCCCACCCUAUAUACCCAUAUUUUCAAGAGUAUUUUGCUAAAUACAUACGAGUGCCGCCUGAUACAAUGACAGCACCAAUAAAAAAAAUUUUACAAAAAAGAUGAUUACGUGAUGAUUGACUGAAUAUGAGGUGGUGUUGCCUAUGUCACACCCCAAAAACCAUGUUAGAAUAAUCGUGUUUGUGAAAACCAAGAGUGGUCACACCUCGAUUUAUAUGGUUAUCUUUGUGCGCUUGUAAAUAAAUCGAAGGCUUGAAAUGGAUACCAAAAUUAGGGUAAUAAAUAAUUAAUUAAAGUAUUAAAAUAAUAUAAUCAAGUUUUAUUAUAUUAAUUAAUAUAAAACAAAACUUGAUUACGUGGUUUAAUUUGAAAAUAGUGUGUUUUAAUUGAGUUAGGACCUAAUUGGAAAAAAAGGAGAAACAGGUGUUGGGAAAUGUGCCCAUAUUGUAGUAAACAUGUAAUUAUUUUCUAUUUAUUUGAAUAAUGAAUAAAUAAAUAAAGUUAAUUUUACAUUUUACUAUUAUGUCUUUUGUAUUUAUGUCUUUUAUAUUUUGUACGCAUAACAAAAUUGUGACAAGCAAAUAUUAGUUCAUUGAUUGUCUAAAGUUCAAACUGAAGAUAAGUGGCAUUGUAAAGAACGUUUACAUUGCGAGAAAGACAACUUACUUCAGUAGAUAAUCUAAAUGAGUCUGUAAUCCCUUAAAAGAAUCAAGAUGAGCAUUUAACUCAAAUACUGAGAAUGACUAUUAUGUCGUUUACAAUUCUAAAUGGGGAGAUGGUUAGUCUUGGAUAUCGGAGCAGUUGACUCCACGAGUAGAGACAUAGAUGUAUUUAUUGGUAGAAUGAUACAUUGGACUGGACCCAAGAUGAAUUAAUUUUAAAUGCGUUUGUGAAUUAAUUCACUUGUGACGUUAAUGGUGUGAUUUACCUAAAUCCUGUGUUAGUCACUGACCAUGCGUAUGCAACUCGUGUGCUUUAAUAUAAGUGGAGGCUUAUGCUCUAAAGAUGAUCGAGCCCAUAGCCGACAUUUUGGGUACAUGACUUGUGUAUGGCAUGGCUUUACUAGCAACAGUGGAAUUCAUAGAUCAAUUAAAGAGUUAAUGAUAUCCUCUCAUUGGCAUUGUGUGGAUUGAUAAAUAUGGAACGUGGUCACGAGUUGCUCGUUUUUGAACGAGCAAUUUAUCACAGUCAUUUGUUGACAGUGAUCAUAUUAAUCAUUAAGAAGACACAAUGGUGACAAUGAGAUAAAAUAGGAUUGUAUUCAGUGAACGGAUUUAACUCAAAGGAAUCAAGGAUAUCAUAUGAGGGUAACACACACAUGACGAGGUCAUUGGACAAAGCAGUUGGAUGAAUUUACACACACUUGAAUUCAAGAGAAAGUUGUAGAGAGAAAAUUCUCUGAAGAGAUUAUUUCAAAAAAUUUCUAAAGAUAUUUUUCUGAUUUACAACUUAACUCAAAAGUUUAGAGAAAUUGCAAAAUUACCCCACUGGUAAUUUUUGUGAAAAUUUUUCUUAUUCGAAGGUAGCCCACACUCAGUAGACGUGAGCUUGAGGAUAACAGAGAAGACUACUCAGUUGAAGUGCUUAUCCUAGACGAAUAAAAAAUGUACAAUUUUUAUUAAGUGUUUAUUACUUUAGAUAUCACAACCAAGAUCUUGUUUUCAAAAAAAUUUUAAAACUCUGGUUUUUCCCUAAAUUUAUUUUUCACUACAUUUUUCAAACCCGUUUUUCCAACAACAGGGGGUGGCCAAAUGGGAAAAUUGCCCAAUUUUUGGGAAAUUGGUCUUCUAUUAAGAACUUUCACCGUCUUCUUCUUCCCUAUCCUAACCUAAACCCCCAUCUAAGUUCCGAGAGUAAGUCUUUCCUAUACAUGUUGCUUUUGUUGAAAAGUCACGCCUAAGAAAGUUAGGUUGUGUUGUGUGGUGCUAUUACAAUAGGUAAUAUGUGAAAAAAAAUGUGAAUGUGAUAUGUGGUAUACUAUUUUUAAUGCACACAUAUGAGAUUUGAUUUAUGAUAGCUCAAAGAGCAUUAUUGUGGCACUUAGAGUGCAAUUAAAUGUGAUUCUGAUAAGCAUAUAUUGUGUACAAGAUUGUGGUGUGAAGGGAUGAAUAUGAAAAGAGGUUAUGUGCAUUAAAACAGUAAUUAAAUAUGGGUAAUUGUGGACAUUUUAGCCUUGUGAUCUCUUAAAAUCGUAGGAUAUAAUUGACAUGCCAAUAGAGAUUAUAUGUGCCUUUUGUUUUGGAAGGGUGUGAUACGAUGCCUUAAGGCUGAGCACUUUUGUGCUCUUUGGUGUUUUAGAUGGUUACCGUGUAUCUCAGUCAUUUUAUUAGAAUUUACUGAGAGAAAUAAAUUAAAAUAUUAAUAAUGAGACUUGACUACGAGUAUUAAUUGUUAUAUAUAAACUAAAGUGGAAUGUACUAAGAACUAUAGGUUAAAUAAGUUAAUGAAAAAUUGAGUAAAUGUAAGUUAAUAAAGAAUAUGUAAGUUGAGCCCCUUCUUCCCAUUUCUUUUCUUUUAAUUUUUAGCAACUUAGGAUAAAAGCUACACUAAAAUAUAUAUAGUUAGGUUUAGAGAUAAAACAAGAAAUAGCCUUCAGGUCUAAAGGUUAAGAGUUAGCUUCCCUCCCUUGUGUUCAUAGGUUCAAGCCCUUUCCUUACCUUUUUUAUUUUGGGAAUUCGACAAGUCUCCUAAAAAGAAAGCAAUAUUCACAAUUAAGUGUCUAAAUUAGGCAAGAAAUGAGCUAUAGGCUCCAUGGUUAAAGCGCUAGAGUCCCUCCAGACCUAAGUUUGAGCCCUCUUCUUCUCUUUUUAUUUCGUAAUUUCAUCAAAAACGCCCCAAAUUAUACAUAUAUAAGAUAAAGUGUCAAAAAUAAGUAAGAAAUGAACUAUAGGCUCAACAGUUAAGUGGUUAGUGCCUCUCCCUAAAGACCUAGGUUUGAGCCUCCUCCUCCCCUUUCAUUUCAAACUCAAUUUCAAUAAAACUUGGGAAAAUUGUAUGGGACACCCCUAGGGUUUGUAAACCCUAGGAAUUUAACUAAUUCUUUCCUAAUUAGAAUUAAUAUAUUGCCCUUUUUCAAAAUUCCAAUAGAAUUAGAAUUCUACCAUUUUUACUCUUUUUUUCUAAUUAGAUUUUCAUAUUGCCCCUUUUCAAAUCAUAAUAGAAUUUGUUCUCUAUCCUUAUAUUUAUUCUCUUUUUAUUUUAUUUCCCUUUUCUUUACACCAUAUUUUCAUCCUAAUUAUUGAUAAUUAUUUUGCUUUCCAAUCAAAUAAUCUUCCAUUCAAUCAUUCUCUUUAUCGAUUUUGUAAUUGUCGUCAAUAACAUCCCUACCAAGAAUCGAUAAGUACAUCUCAUUUUCGAUGUUUAAAUCCCGAAUUUUCAUAGUAUUUUUAUCUAACGUUAAUCUUGUGUUUGAUUAAACAAUCUUUUAUGGUUCUUACCAAAUCUUUUGCAAAUCUUUCCCAAAUAUUGAUACCAAUCGUUAAUUUUGUAUAUUUGUCGUUGAAAGACCUAAUUUAGGUGAACCGAAUCAGAUUUGAUCAUAAGGAAUGUUGACCGAACCCCCAGUGAAAGGUAUGUGUUCUUUUACAAGUGAAUCUAGACAAAACGUGUGUAGGAACAGGGUCACACGCACGGCCACCACACAACCAUGUGCCACUAUUACGUUAGGGUACUUCGACUUUCACAUGGCCAAAAACCUUCCACAUGGCCUACCACACGGCCGUGUCUCUCCUAUAGGUUAAUUUUUGCAUUUGUCAAACGAAUACAAUCUGCUACACAGCCUAGGCACACGGCUGUGUAACCCUUCCACACGGCCUAUAGCUUCUCACACGGCCAUGCCAAACGGCCGUGUAACCUCUAUUUUAUAGUUUUGCCUAGAAAUUUAUGAUAUGUUCAGUUUAGUCCCUGUAUAUUCUCUGAAUUAUUUUUAGAGUUUUAUUUUAUCAAUAUAGUCUCUAAUAUAGUGUUAUUCUAGAAUUUUUGAUUUAAUAACUAAAGUGUAAUGGUUAUAUUGUAUAAGAAGUGAAUAUUUCAUGCUACUAUUAUUGUGAAACAGAUAAAUUGUUAGUGUUAACAUUGCUACCACCCUAUUGAAUACAUGUUAAGCAUGUUUACUGUUAGUGUUGAAUUGAAUACAUGUUACGGAUGCGGCAUUCGAAGGGCUCGAAAUCAUUUUUUAUAUAAAAGUAUUUUAGGCAUAUUUUUAUAUUUCCUAUUAUUUUGGAACUGUAUUGCUUUAUUUAAACUAUGUCAUGAGACUUAAGUUAGGGUUUAUUAGUAUGCAUAAAAUUUAAUUUGAAUUUAGGAUAUUGAAUCAUGGAUUUAGAAUUAAUUAUGUAUACAAUAUUUUUUUAUUUCACUUAAUUAAAACUAGGUUGAAUUUCGAAUUUCCGCUACUAGAUUAUGAAUGAAUUGAGUAAUAAAUAAACGGGAAAUUAACUAAGUUCUCAAAGUAGUCACUGUUAUAAAGAAACUGUUAAACUUAAUCGGUUUCUAUUAACUUGUGAGUUUUUUUUAAAAUAAGUCUUCUUCUAAAAUAAACAAAUGUUUUAAAAUAGCGGUUUUAUAAACUCCGAUAGCUUACUAGAUUAUUUUGGUGGCCAAUGUAAUCUUCCGAAUUCGGACCUAACGUUUAGGUCAGAUUGAGGAGGUUACAGGCUAUAUGUCAAGUGGUACCGGCGGAUACCGUAACAAACAGCCCAUUCCCGUAAAUAAUUUCUCCCCAACCUAUUUUUGUAAUUUUUUAUUUUUAUAUUAUUUUUAUAAUAAUAAUAAAAACCCUGGUUUCAAGGAUUUGACAACUGUAGGUACAUAACUCUUGCAGCUGACAUGAACGCCAAUCUUUUCUCUAAUCAAUUUAAACCUUUAAUUAUUUCAUAAGCCGAAAAUUUUCUGCUUUAAAAUAUGUUAUAAUUUUUUUUAUUUUUUAAAAAUUAAAAAAAUUAAUUUUUUAUAUAUUAUUUUCAAAAAUUUUAUUUUUUAUAUUUUUAAUUUUAAAAAUUCAAAUUUAAUUGUUAACAUUGUUAAAAUUAUUUUGUUCAUAUUUUAAUUGCAGGACUAUCAAGUAAGUAUUUUUUUUAAUUUCAAAAUAUCAUACCAAAAAUUUUAACCAAAAUAUUUAACAACAUUAAUAAUUAAACUUAAAUUUUAAAAUCUAAAACUUACAUAAACUCAAAUCAUAUUUUAAUAAUUCUUUCGCUUCUCGAACAAAUGGUGGGGCAGUGGGGGAAUUUCGUUGAUAAGGUUAGGUAAACACAUGAUCCCAAUUGAAAGGUUAGGUAAACACAUGAUUGAUGAUAUGAAUAUAAUUUUAUACAGAUAUGUUGAUUUUAGAAAAAUAUUAAAGUAUUAUAUUUUGUACUUGUAAUAACCCAAUUUAGCUCGGGACCAAACAAACCAAAUAAAAAUAAAAAAUAACAGUCGAAAGUCCAAUUACAAAAAAAAAAAUAGAUCCCAAAUAGCUCAAAUCUAAAAACCUAAAGGCCAGUGGCCAAAACUAUUUUACAAAAAGCCAAAAACCCUAGGGUAUCUGGUGCCGCUGUCCCCUCAAGGCGCUCCACCCGAGGCCCCCUUCGUCUCCCGAGGUCUGACACCCCUACUGCCGUUGCACCAAAAUGGCAAAGGUGCACAUCCCAUCGCCUUCUGUUGACCGCGCUAAUACCUGCAAAAAAGAAUGGAAAAGGACAGAAACAAGGACAGAAGAAACGAAAGCAGAAAUAGUAAAAACAGAAGCAAGAACAGCGACAAAAUCAAAAAAAUAUGAAUUAUAAACAGUGUAUAGUGGCUAUAAAAGCCAAAGAAUAGAUUGUAUUCGAGAGGAGAUUUUUUAAGAAGAAGAAAUCAUAUACAAAUAUUAAAAAAAAGGUGAUUUACUUUUUUAUUUUUAAGAUUAAAAGCAAAUAGAAAUUAAUAAACAAUAAUAACAUCUUUACUAGCUGUUCCGUCCGGGUGCCGCUGUCGGUGUCACUUCCGAUCCACGAAGCCAUCAAAUCCCUGGGGAUUCGGCCAAGGCCGCGACGGAGGACGUCGAGAGUUGGAGGGUCUUUUUCUUUUUCAGGAGUUUUGGCCUUAUUCUGGCAAUUUCAACUCCGAAUCGGAGUUCUACGCAAAAAAGGGGUUAAAAGGGAUUUUUUUGGGUGAUUUUUCGGCCACCAAAGACGGUGGUCACUGUCACCGGUGGCCACGACGAAAAACCGCCGUUCCUUGGCCGGAUGCUGGAAUUAUUUGAGGAAAAAAAUGAAAGAAUGUUUUUUUAAAGCGGGCGAAAAUGAAUUUUUUUUCAGAAAUUUUUAAUUUUUAAAGGGCUCCAACACAACGUCAUUUUGGCCUGGCUUCAGAAGGCCCAAAACGGCGUCGUUUUGACACAACCCGAGGCCCGACCCGAGAGCUGGCAGGAUCCGCGUGUUUUCGUGGCAAAGGGGCUUAUUGCGGCCCUAGUCCUUCCGCUUUUUAAUGAUUUUCCAAUCCAGUCCUUUUCUUUUUUUAUUAUUUAAAAUUUAUGCCAUAUAAUUUUGAUUUUGUCUCAUUUUGGUCCCUCUUGGAACGGUGUGUUUGAGGGUCUGGGAAUAAUUUCCCAACUUGUCUCUGCUCCUUUUCGCGCAUCACAUUUUAGCCCCUUUAUUAUUUAUUUUAUCCCAAUUUAUCUUUUUAAUUUCAUUUAAGUUACAAUUAAGUCCUUUUUUAUUUUAAUUCUUUUAUUCAUUGAUUUACUUAUUUAUUAUUUCUUUUAUUUUAUUCAUUUAUUUACUUAUUUAUUUAUAUAUUAUUCAUCUAUUUACUUUUUAUUUUAAUUCUUUUAUUCAUUUAUUUAUUAUUCCUUCACUUUUUUAAUAUUUAAAUUUUCUUUUCUUUUCUUUUAUCGAGUAUUUAUUUAUUUUUUCUUUUUUCUUCUUUGGUGCCUUUACUAUUAUUAUUACUAUUUUAUUAUUAUCUAUUUAUCUACUUAUUUAUUACCUUUUAUUUUUUAUACGUACUUAGGAAUUAGAUUGUAUGCAUGCUUUUAUUGGUGCAUUUUUUUGUUUAUUAUUGUCAUUAUUGUCAUUAUUAUUUUUUAUUUUUUAGUGUGUUAUUGUUAUUUUAUUAUUUCUCUUAUUAUUUUUGUAACUGUCAUGUCAUGUCCAUUUAUCUUUUUAAUCAUGCAUCUUUCAUUUUUUUUUAUCUUAAAUUACUUUAUUUAUUAAUACUAUAAUAUGAUUAUAAAUAUUAAUACUAUUAUUAUAAUUAUGUUAUUAUUACUAUAGGAUUCCUUUAUUUAUUUACUAUUUAUCAUUCUACCCACAUAGCCAUUUUAAAAUUAUUUCAUUAUCACUAUGUCAUACAUUAGGUUUAAGCAUUUAUCUAUUUGUAUAUUAUGCUCGAAUAAGUUAAAUGCACAUCACUUUGGGUGUUACAUUCGUUUUUUUCGCACGAUGCAUAAAAAAAGAAAUUUUAUAAACCAAGGCAAUGUUCAUUAUUUUUGGAAUUAAAAAAGUCGUGUUCCUAACUUACGGAAUAUGACUUCUUUCUAAAACCGAAAUAGUCGAAUAUCUAUUUCAAAAAUAUAAAAAUGAGAUUUAAGUAACAAUUAAAGCAGCGAUUAUUCUGGUUUUCGUAAACUAAAAGCUUUGUGUCCAAACUCACGGGGCAUGAUCCUUCUUUUCGAUUAAUUCGGAAUAAAGUUUUUUCCAUUAAAAUAUCUUAAUACAAAGGGAUCGCAUUUUAAAUUCUCUUCAAAUUUUUAAUUUUCGACAUUAAGACAUCAAGUAAUCAAUUAGGUACCAAUUUGGGGCGUAACAAGGGUGCUAAUCCUUCCUCGUGCGUAACCGACUCCCAAACCCAUUUUCUGGAUUUUGUAGACCGAAAAACAUUGUUUUAGUAAAUCAAACCUUUUAUUAAAACAAUCAAAUUACAAGGUGACCCAAUCACACCUCCUGAAAGUGAUUGGUGGCGACUCCCAUUUUCGUUUUUAUUUAAAAUAAAAAGUCGAUUACCAAAAAAAGGGUUUCGACAUCUUAGCGACUCCGCUAGGGAUAAAAUAAGAGAGUCAAGCCGCAAGUUGAUUACUUUUGGUCUUUUUUGUCGAAAAUUGAUAAUUUGGUUUAAAUUUAUGAUCCCUUCGUUGCAUUUCAUUCUUCAUUUUUGUGGUCUUCAUCAUUUUACAUAAUGGUAUGUUUGCUUCGAGUCUCUUGGUAUAUUUCUGCAUAUUGCAUUGCAUAAUCAUUCAAUUUUACCCUUCUUAAGUGGGAGUGAGAAGCUAUUCCUUCGUGAGGUUUUCGCCUCCGUAUAGGAUAGUGGAUCGCUUUCGGGAUACAUUUGUACCUAUGUCUUCGUGAGAUCUUCAUCUCUGUAUAGCCAUAAGGAAAUGUAUUCUCCUGAACCGAACUCGGUCCGUAUGAGCCUAUAAUGGGUGAGGAUUGAGGAAUCUGUUGGUUCAGGUACCCUUACUUUGGAACCGAACCGCAUAUAAUGAGCCCUAAGAACCUACCCUAGGUAGAACCAUACUGAACCUCUAGUGGUCACCCGAAUAGGUGUUCUAUUUAUUAUUUCUUGUUUUGUAUUCUAGUUUUAUAUGAAAUGUACUGACUUGUUUCGUUUUGGUUGUGAUUGCAUUGUAUUUUCAUCAUAGAAAAUGGUGUUAAUUCAUGUUCAGUUGCUAAAUAGAGAGUUUGUCAUAGAAAAAUGAUUUCUUGAUAAAAUGAAAGAUAAUAUGGCUGUCCAGAUAUGGUAUGAGAAGACACAACAGGAGAAGGGCAACAGCCUGACGGAGAGGUGCAUGUCAGAGGAUUUCACACGCAUAAGUGUGACUCAGAAUAAUUUCCAAGAAUUAAAAGAGGUAUGGGACCAAUGGAAUGAUGAAACCAAACAGUUAUUCUAUUGUAACUAAGGUAAUUUGCCCUAUUUACUCGAUGUCAAAGUGGAUAAGCACUUAUUCCGAGCUAUUGCCCAAUAUUGGAAUCCCGCCUAUAGCUGAUUUACUUUUGGGAAGGUAGAUUUGGUCCCCAACUCUUCUACGGUGGAAGGUAGAAGACAAAACUUAUUCUAGAGCCGCCAGCAUCUCGACUUUCUUAAAAAAAGCUAAUGAGUAUAACUAGGAUGAGCGAGCAAUAAGUCACAGCCCGAAUGAAACAAAAGGGAGAUAGCAAAUGCGUCCCUUAAAAAAGUUUACAAUAUUUGAUCUUGGCAUAUCUGGAUAAGAAGAAAAGAGUCGACCUCUUCACCUUGAGUAUUUACGGGUUCGUCAUCUUCUCCAAAGCCCUAGGGCAUAUCGAUGAGGCAGUUUUAAAUCUAUUUGACCAACUUGACAAAAGGGUCACACCCGUCCUAAUAAUUUUGGCUGAAAUUUUUAAAUCUUUGAGUGCAUAUCAGAGAGUGGGUGAAGGAAGAUUUAUCGGGUGUGCCCAACUCUUGUUAGCAUGGUUACAUAGCCACUUUUGGAAGGUAGAAAAGGUCUCUUAUCGAGUAUUCUCUGAGAACUAUCCUUUGUUGAAAGAGUUCGUGGCUACCUCAAGGCGAGACAACAUUUCUGAAGAAAAAUGGAUUACGAUUCUCCAGAAUCUCCAGGACGAAGACGUUGAAUAGAAGGCCCCUUGGAUGAUCACUGAAGAGAUUUUGUAUAGAUGUGGAGACUUCGACUAGGUUCCUCUACUUGGGAUAUGGGGAGCUAUUGGAUAUGCCCCUCUACUUGUAUUGAGGCAGUAUAGGUCGAGACAAUUUAUACCUCCAACGCAAAGGUUGGCUCAGUGUGAGUUUCCGUACAAGGUUGAUAAUUACAAGAAGAAGGUUCGUGAAAUAUCAAACGCUUAGAACCAAACUCACAAAAUGAAAAGAUUUACCGUAAAUCUCAUGACGACCCCCGAAUAUGAUUGGUGGUGGGGUAAAAGAGUCAAUGACAAUGUCCCCAUGUCAAGUCAAGAAAACACUCAGCCAAUAGAAGAACACCUACAAGUGAUCUCGUCUGAGCUAGAGGUCAUAAAACAAGACUUUGAAAAGAGGAGUUUGGAGCUAAGAAAAAAGUUAGAAUAGUUGGAAGAGGAAAAGAUGCGGCUAGGCUUAGACGUCAACGUCCAAAAGUUAGAAACUGAUAAAAUGAGAAAAGAAAAGAAUGAGGCUAAGGAAGACUUAGACGGCUUAAAAACAGAUUAUAAGAAACUACGUUUGUCGAUGAAGACUACCAGAUUGGGUAAGACAUCAAAACAAUGGCGGCAAGAAAUCAAAGAAGAAAAUAUUAAAGUUGAUCAAUAGGAAAAGAAAUUCCAAGAUACUUGAGUUCGAGAAGAUGCUCUAGAAAGGGAUUUGUUAGAAAGCCAAAAUGAAAAGGUUGGAUUGAAAGCCCGGGUAACAGAAUUAGAAAGGUCAUUACAUCAAUAUCGUAGUCCCAACUCCGCAUUUGAGUUGAAAGCAAGCCUAAAUAAGAUCGAAGAGUUGAAGGGAAAGAUAGAAUAGCUCGAGACCGCACUGUAAAAUUGUAAACUUCGAGUUGAACUUCUUGAAACGAACAUCGAACACUGGAAAGACCAACUCUAACACUCUCAAGGUCAGAUUAGGGAUAAAGAUCACAUCAUUGGUGAAGCUGUGACACAAGUACGAAAAGUAGCCUAUCAUUUGCAAACCCUAGCUGUUCAAGCCAAUAUACUAAGCUUAAAGUACGCAUUAGAAUCAGAUUGGGGCUAAGAAUUAGCUUAGCUUCUUAGGAAAGUCAAGGCUUUGAGUAUUAGGGCAAUGCCGUAUAUGUAAAAUAUUCAUUUUAUGUAAAGAGAUCUGAUUUCUAGUAAAGUUGUUCUAAUAGAAUUAAAUCAGAAUCAAUGCCUCUUUUUGUAUUCAUUUUAUUUAUCAGCAUUACAUUUUAUCAUAUGCAUUAAACUUCAUAAAAAGAACCUAAUUAAUCGAAAUUAUGAUAGUUACCCUGAAAACCAACAAGAAUCUACCAACUAACUAUCGUUGUGGUACUCGCGGUAAAACCAAAGCAAUGGAUCAAAUAUUAGAGAGAUUAGAACAAAUUCAGAAAGACAUGCAAGAUCAGUUGUAAGCGUAGCUACAGGAACAAUUAGGUAAAGUACAGUAAGACAUGAGGGAUCAAAUACAAGAGUUCCAACGAAGCAUGAUAAGCCAGUUGACCCAAUUGCUAGCCUAGGGGAUUGAAAAAGGGAAAAGUAUUGUGGUUAACUCUGGGGAUGAUAAUGAAGACCCUACAUUCCCUCAAGCUUUACCUCGGUGGAUGUCUAAGCCCAACCAGACACAUAUCCACGAAGGGUACCCGUUACCAUAAGACCUCAACAAUAUCAAGCAGGCACCUCAGCAUUGGUGAACUACCUAACCGGUUUACGGAUAACCCGACUAACCCAGUUGUUCUCAAUUUGGAUGACAUGGCGGAAAUGAAUAAAGCAAGAGUAAAAUUAUCGAAACAGCUAGAAGAUUGGUGCAAGUGGUUGAAGGAGAAAUUCAGAGCUAUGGAGAAUGUUGAUUACCUUUGCAGGGUCGAUGUUAAAGAACUGAGUUUAGUCCCAAAUCUAGUACUCUCACCAAAAUUCAAGACUCUAGAAUUCAAAAAUUAUAAUGGGACUAGUUGUCCUGAAGCCCAUAUCAUAAUGUUCUACCGAAGAAUGAGGGAUACAUCAAUAACGACCAAUUAUUAAUCCACUACUUCCAGGAUAGUCUGAUAGGGUCAGCUGCCAAGUUGUAUAACCAACUAAGCCAUGUCAAAAUCAACUCAUGAAAAGACUUGGCACAAGCUUUCAUGAAACAAUACAGCCAUAUGACUAACAUGACACCCAACAGAAUUACACUGUAAAACAUGGAGAAGAAGUAAAGUGAAAGCUUUAAGCAGUAUGCUAAGAGAUGGAGAGAGGUGGCAACACAAGUCCAACCACCUUUUCUGGAGAAUGAGACAACAAUGCUUUUCAUAAACACGCUGAAAGCUCCAUUCAUUAACUAUAUGUUGGAAAGUGCUACUAAGAGCUUCUAAGAUUUAGUAAUGUUCAGAGAAAUUAUUGAAAAUGCAAUAAGGAGUGGGAAAAUAGACACAGGGGAAAACACCAAAAGAUCAGCCCCAAGAAAAAAAGAAAAUGAAGUGAACACCACGAGUUUUUAUAACAAGAACUAUUCAAAAUCGGUCACUAUGGGCCAACCAAGGACCGUAACAACCAACUAUCAAGGCCCCUCAAGGCAAGAAUCUAACUCAAGGCCAAACACAGAAAAACUCUAAUUCACACUCAUUCUGAUAACAUACAGAGAAUAAUAUUAGAAUUUGUUCGACGCGCAUAUGGUAUCUCCGUUUUACUUAAAACUCAUGCAACCUCCGUUCCCAAAAUAGUAUGAUGCAAAUGCUCAAUGCGAGUACCACACAGGAAUAACUGGACACUCAAUUGAGAACUGCACUUCAUUUAAAAAAUUGAUUGAAAAGUUUAUCAAUAUAGGGAUAGUAAGGUUCGAUAAUCCAUCGGGACCUAAUGUGGCAAGAAAUAUAUUACCCAGUCAUUCAGAUCAAGGGGUAAACGCGAUAAUUGAGAGUGAAUGAAAGAGGACCAAAACGAUGUGGCGGAAGUAAAAACCCCACUAAAGUAAGUUUGGCUAAAGAUGAUAGACGUAGGAUUAAUCAUUCAAGAUUCAGAAGAAGCACCUAAAGGGAUGAGGAGCUACUGUGAGUUCCAUGCUGGAGAAGGUCAUGAGAUCUAGAAGUCCACUAAAUUCAGAGUUGUGGUGCAAAGUUUGAUAGAUAACAAGGAGUUGGAAUUCUUUGAAGGCGUCAAAGGCUCAAAAUGAGGGGAUAUUUGCGCCUCAGAGGAAAGAUCAACGAAGAAGGUCUACAAGGUCAACCACCUGGUGGUGAUUAUUUCACGGUCAAGAAAUAAUGAAGCAGGAACACAAACUGCUCCGAGAGUCAUAAUUCAAAAACUCAUGGCUUUUCCUUAUAAGGAUAGCAAAAGUGUUCCAUGAAAUUAUGACUACAACGUAAUGAUCCCAGGAGAUGAGAAUUCAGUUAACACUUCAGAAGAGAGCCAAGAUAUUAGUUUCUUCACGCACAAUGGAAGGCGCUAUGACCCUGCAAGUCAAGAACCGAACCCAUUAAAGGAAAAACCCUGGCAGCUAAACAUAAGAAAGAAAAAACGGCUAGAAUGGAAUCCCCUAUUAACAAGCCAGUAACUGAGAACGAGGCUAAGAAAUUCUUGAAAUUCUUGAAACAUAGCGAGUAUAAUAUUGUAGAAUAGCUACACAAACAAUCAGCUCGCAUAUCGGUGCUACACUUUCUCUUGAGCUUAGAGACACAUCGUAGCACGUUGAUGAAUGUGUUAAAAGAAACUUAUGUCACUGAUGAUAUCUCUAUAAACAAGCUAGACCAUCUAAUUAACAAUCUGAAUGUCGAUAAUUUCAUAUUUUUCAAUGACAAUGAAAUACCUCCAAGGGGUAUGAGAUCCACAAAGGCUCUACAAAUCACUACCCGCUGCAAAUGAUAUACGUUGUCAGGGGUGUUAAACGAUAAUGGAUCUGCACUGAAAGUCUUACCUUUAUCCACACUGAAUAGAUUGCCAGUGGAUAGCUCUCAAAUGAAGACGUGCUAAAAUAUAGUGAGAGCAUUCGAUUGUACGGAAAAGAGGAUAAUGGGAAGGAUUGAAAUACCUCUCUUAAUUAGUCCGAACACAUACGAGGUAGACUUUUUGGUGAUGGAUAUCAAGCCCUCUUAUAAUUCAUUGUUGGGUAGGCCUACAGUUGACGGUUGGAAAAGGAGCCUUACCUAAAAGAGGACUCAACAAAUACCUUCAAGGGAAAGUUGAGGCACCAAUGCUAAUGGACAAACGAGACCAAUUUGGCUUAAGAUACAAGCCAAGUGCGAGACAAAAGAAGAAAGAGCUAGAGAAGAAACAAGGAAUAAGAAGAGUGCGACUGAGUGGGGGAGAAGUUAAAUGGGAACCGAAGACCUUUCCCCAUAUAUCCAAAAUAUUCGUGCCAGGAGAAACCAUUUAUCCUGAAUGAAGAAUGUAAAAAAACCCAGAAGGAAUAUUGGGAAACUUGAGCAUCAAUGAUAUAUCAGAAGAAGGAAUUGGGGAGAACCUAUCAGGCAUUUGUCCUUAUAUCCCCUAAAGUUUUUUGAACAAUUAGACUGUGGAAGAGAUCCCUGUAAGUUGUAGAACUAAUUCAGAGUAAUGUUUAAAACACAUUUAUUGCUCUAAGCCUAGGAGCAAAAAGAAUCUUUUUUGUCAAAAAGGCAUAUGUCCAUUAUUUUUAUUUCAAUAAAAUACAUCAUUAUGUCUCAUUUUGGGCAAAUAUUCUUUUAUUUUUUUCAUUUCAUUCAUACUCAUACCACACAGAUAAUUAUUCUUAGAUUCAUUUAUUCUUUGGAUCUUCCUUCACUUCUAUAACAGGUCUCCAGAUAUCAAUGAUAUGAGCAACACUACUACUGACUCAGAAUCUCCUUUUGAGGAAAAUAUUUGUCUAGAGGAACCUCAAGACUUUGAAGAUGAUCGAGAUUGUAACCUAUCUCCUGAUUUGUUAAGGAUGGUAGAACAAGAUGAGAAACAAAUUCUACCUUACAAAGAGUCAGUAGAAAUUGUGAGCUUAGGAGACAAACAAGAAAAGAAAGAGGUGAAGAUCGGAGCUUGCAUCACCGCAGAAACAAAGCGAGAUUUCAUUGAGUUACUCCAAGAAUUCAAAGAUAUUUUUGCAUAGUCGUAUCAAGACAUGCCUAGUCGAAGUACUGAUAUCGUGGUACAUCGGCUUCCCAUAAUAUAAGAAUGUAAGCUAGUUCAAUAGAAACUCCGAAGGAUGAGGCCCAACGUCCUGUUAAAAAUAAAAGAAGAGGUUAAGAAGCAAUUCGACGGGGGUUUCCUACAAGUGGUUAAAUACUAAGAGUGGGUAGCCAAUAUAGUCCCCGUCCCUAAGAAAGAUGGGAAAGUACAAAUGAGUGUGGAGGACAGGGAUUUAAACAAAGCCAGCUCGAAGGACAAUUUUUCAUUGCCUCACAUCAACACCUUAGUGGAUAAUACGGCAUGUUAUUCACUAUUUUCUUUCAUGAAUGGCUUCUCUGAUUACAACCAGAUAAAGAUGCAUCCUGAAGAUAGGGAAAAGACCACAUUUGUAACCAUGUAGGGGACAUUUUGCUAUAAAGUGAGGCCAUUCGGACUAAAAAAUGCAAGAACGACGUAUCAAAGAGCCAUGGUAACUUUGUUUCAUGAUAUGAUGCCAAAAAAAUCGAGGUUUAUGUAAAUAAUAUGAUUGUAAAAUCUCGAACAGAAUAGAAGCAUGUGCAAGUCUUAAGGAAACUGUUCUUGAGGUUGAAAAAAUUCCAAUUAAAGCUCAAUCCAACAAAAUAUACCUUCGGGGCUAGGUCAAGAAAAUUGUUAGGAUUCGUAGUCAGCGAAAAGGGGAUCGAGAUUGACCCAGACAAAGUCAAGGCUAUACAGGAGUUCGAGAUUUCUUAAUAAGUUCAAGGUUUCCUAGGAAGACUAAAUUACAUCGCCCAGUUUAUUUCCCAACUAACGAAGAAAUGUGCCCCCAUAUUUCGUCUCCUUAAGAAACAUAAUCCAGGUAUAUGGGAAGAGAAAUGGCAGAAGACUUUUGACAAGGUCAAACAUUACCUGUCCAAUGCCCUAGUGUUGAUGCCACAUAGCCCAGAUAAGCCGCUGAUAUUGUACUUGGCAGUAUUUGGAAAUUCUAUAGGAUACGUGCUUGGCCAGUAUGAUGAGUCAGGGAGAAAAGAAAAAGCGAUACAUUACCUCAGUAAGAAGUUUAGUAAAUGUGAGACAAGGUACUCGCCAAUUGAAAAGUUGUGUUACGCAUUAAUCUGGCUAACCCGGAGACUGAUUGUACCAUACAACUUGGUUAAUCUAAAAAAUAAACCCUCUAUAAUACAUGAUGGAGUCGACUACUCCGAAUGGAAAAAUAGCCCAAUGGAUAAUUUUGCUUUCUAAAUUUGAUAUAAUCUAUGUGAACCAGAAGGCAGUAAAAUAGAGCGCAAUAGCAGAUUUUCUAACCAGUAAAGCUCUAGAAAAUUACGAGCUUUUAAAUUUUGAUUUUCUAAAUAAAGAUCUAAUGUAUGUCGCGACUACUGAAGAAGGUGCUCAAAAAGAACAUCUCUAUAAACUAAAUUUUGAUGAGGCUUCAAACGCUAUGGGUAAUGGAAUCGGGGCAGUCCUGAUAUCCCUAAAUGGAUAUCAUUAUCCUUUUACUAGUAAAUUAGAUUUUGAUUACACAAACAAUAUGGCAGAAUACGAAGCAUGCAUCAUGGGUAUCCGUGCAGCCAUAGAACACCAGAUCAAAGUACUGAAGGUAUAUGGGGAUUCUGCGCUAGUGAUCUAUUAACUCAAAGGAGAAUAGGAGACGAGAGACCCCAAGUUGACCAAUUAUCGAAGGCUGGUUCUUGAGUUAAUUAAGGAGUUUGAUGACAUCACCUUUUGCUACCUCCCGCGAGAUAAAAAUAAGAUGGCUGACGCCCUGGCUACUUUAGCUUCCAUGAUCAAAGUGAACAAACAAGAAGGUGUAAAACCUAUCCAGAUGAGUAUUUAUGAUGCUCUGGAUCAUUGUUACAACAUCGAGGAAAAAGAAAAAAAUGAUCACCCUUAGUACCACGAUAUACUGCGGUAUGUGAAUAACCGUGAAUACCCAAAACAAGUAACCGAGAAUGAUAAAAGGACACUACGGAGAUUGGCCAAUGACUAUGUCUUAGAUGGGGAGAUCCUAUAUAAGAGAAGAAAGGAUCAAGCGCUAUUAAGAUGUGUGGACGCUAUUGAGGCUAAAAAAAUCUUGGAAGAAGCCCAUAAGGGUAUUUACGGAGCACAUGCUAAUUGUUUUACAAUGGCCAGGUAAAUCAUGAGAUUCAGGUAUUAUUGGUCCACCAUGGAAGGGGAUUGUAUCAGUUAUGCCAAAAGAUGUCAUAAAUGCUAAAUUUAUGGAGACAAAACUCAUGUGCCUCCUUCACCUAUUCAUGUUAUGACCUCUCCAUGGCCUUUCUCUAUGUGGGGCAUAGAUGUCAUUGGGCCGAUUUUACCAAAAGCUUCUAACAAGCAUCAAUUCAUCUUUAUGGUCAUCGACUACUUCACCAAGUGGGUAGAGGCCACUUCUUACGCCAAUGUCAUGAAGUUGGCAGUCAGUAAAUUCUUAAAGAAAGAGAUCAUAUGUCGAUUUGGAAUGCCAAAAAGGAUCAUAUCUAACAAUGCAUUGAAUUUGAACAACAGCACGAUAUCGAAAGUCUGCAGUCAAUUCAAGAUCAAACACCACAACUCGUCACCAUAUCGCCCAAAAAUGAAUGGUGCAGUGGAGGCAGCCAAUAAAAACAUUAAGAAGAUCGUGGUGAAAAUGACCGAGACUUAUAAAGAUUGGCAUAAGAAGUUACCAUUUGCCCUCUAUGCUUAUCGAACAUCUGUCAGGACCUCUACUAAGGCAACAUCUUUCUCAUUGGUUUAUGGAAUGGAAUUGGUUUUGUCCAUUGAAGUCUAAAUUCCUUCUUUCUGAGUUUUUUCAGAGUUAAAGUUGGAUGAAGCAGAAUAGAUCCAAUCUCGAUAUGAUUAGCUGAAAUUGGUUGAAAAAGAUGGUUGAAAGCUAUCCGUCAUGGUCAGAUGUACCAAAAACGAAUUAUGCGAACUUAUGACAAAAAGGUCCACCCCAGGGAAUUCCAUGAGAGAGAGCUAGUAUUGAAAAAGAUCCUGCCUAUGCAAAAGAACUUCAGAGGGAAAUAUAUGUCAAAUUAGGAAGGACCUUAUGUGGUAAAGAAGGCCUUUUUUUGGAUGAGCGUUGAUUCUAACAGAGAUGGAUGGCAAAUCCCUGCCUAAUCCAGUGAAUUCAGAUUCAGUCAAGAAAUACUUCACCUAAAAAACAAAGAGGAGAGGCCAAGGUGAAAACCCGCAAAGGGCACUUUGAGACCAAAGAGGUUCUGAGUUGAAAACCUAGGAAAGGGCAGCUCAGAUUUAGAUCGAAGAUUGAACAUGUGGUAGCCGCGUCCUCUUAAAAAAAUAAACGUUGCAUCUAGGGGCAUCAACAAAAUACUCUAGAUCUCUUAGACACAUAUCAAGCUCAAAAUAGUCUCAAGAAGUUCGUACAGAGAAGUUCAUGCUACGAUAUUUGGGGCACCUAUUUUCAUCUUACUCAUUUUUGUAUUUUAGCAACGUUUGCUAUUUUGAUUAAUUUAUUUCAUUUCUAGCUUUGCUCCUAAUAAAUUUCAAUCUUGUCCAUUGUUACGAUCUAUUUCAAGCAUUUUUCAUUGAAAUAACGAUUAAUGGACUAAUAAUAUUCAAGUAAAAGGAUUUCUACAUAUUGCCCUGGAAAGUUUCUAAAUAGUACAAGAACUUGAAACAAGACCACUAGUUAGAACUAACCAAAUCUAAGGGUUGGAAGCAUCGGGGAACAUAUUGUUUAAAUUAUGAUUAAUUAUUCAAAUUUUUUGUCAAAGAUAUCAGAUUUGAACAAUGUCAGUGAUGGAACCUUGACGAACAAUAAGCCAUGUCAACCUAAGUACUAAAAUGGGGAUCAUUCUCAAAAGAUGGCAUUCUGUAUUUACGCAAAUAUCAUUCAUAUACAUCUAGUUAGGAGCAUUUGAUUCAUUUUGAUCAUAACAUCCUAAUCGCUUGGCAUAUCAGUGAAACCACAAAUCCUAUACCCUUAAAGUUGUAGUGGGUCGGGUUGAAGUCACCAUAGUAAAUCUUAUCUCCCUGAAGUUGCAGUGGAGCAGAUUGAACUUACCAUGGCGAAUCUUAUCUCUCUGAAGUUGUAAUGGAGCAAAUUAAAGCUACAAAUCUUAUCUCCCUGAAAUUGCAGUGGAGCAGAUUAAAGCUAUAAAUCUUAUCUCCCUGAAGAUGCAGUGGGUUAGGAUGAGGCUACAUGAAAAAGAGAAACACCAAAAAAGUCAAGAUUCGUUAAGGCCAGGCAAAAUUUGCCCUUUUUAAAGUUUUUGCUCCAUUCUCGUUACACGUCAACGAACAAAGAGGGGCAGUUGUAAUAGGCCGAUUUAGCCCGAGCCCAAACCAAAUAAAAAUAAAAAAUAACAGUCUAAAUUCCAAUUACAAAACAACAACAAAAAUAGCCAAAUAGCCCAAAUAUAAAAACCUAAAAGCCCAGUGGCCCAAACUAUUUUACAGAAAGCCAGAAACCCUAGAGUUUCUAGCGCUGCUCUCCCCUCGAAGGCGGACCACCCGAGGCCUUCCUUCGUUGCCCGAGGUUUGACGCCCCUACCGCCGUUGCACUAAAAUAGCAAAGGUACACACCCCAUCGCCUUCCGUUGACCGCACUAAUACCUGUAAAAAAGAAUAGAAAAUGACAGAAACAAGGACAGAAUAAACGAAAGUAGAAACAUAAGCUAGAACAAUGACAAAAUAAAAAAAUGCAAUAUAAACAGUGUAUAAUAGCUAUAAAGGCCAAAGAAUAGAUUGUAUUCGAGAGGAGAUUUUUUAAGGAGAAGAAAUCAGAUAUGAAUAUUAAAAAAAGGUGAUUCACUUUUUUUUUAAGAUUUAAAGCAAGUAGAAAAUAAUAAAUAAUAAUAUCUUUAUCUGUUGUUCCAUUUGGGCACCGCUGUUGAUGUCACCUUCGGUUCGCAAGGUCGUCGAUUCCCUGGGGAUUCAGCCAAGGCCGCGACGGAGGACGUCGAGAGUUGGAGGGUUUUUUUCUUUUUUCUAGAGUUUUGGCCUUAGUCUAGCGAUUUCAACACCAAAUCAGAGUUCCACGUAGAAAUGGGGUUAAAAGGGAUUUUUUGGAUGAUUUUUUGGCCACUAAAGACGGUGGUCACCGUCACAGGCGACCGGUGGCCACGACGGAAGACCGUCGUUCCUUGGCCAAAUGCUGGAAUUAUUUGAGAGGAAAAAAUGAAAGAAUGUUUUUUAAAGCGCGGCGAAAAUGAAUUAUUUUUCAGAAAUUUUUAAUUUUUAUAGGGCUCCCACACUACGUCGUUUUGGCCUGGCUUCAGAAAGCCCAAAACGGCGUCGUUUUGAUGCAAUCCGAGACCCGACCCGUGUGGCUCAAAUUACAUGCCCGUGUGGCCUAGACACAUGCCCGUGUGGCUCAAAUUUGAUGAAUAGUAAAUUACACGACCAACCACACGGCCUGGCACACGGUCGUGUGGCGUCGACAACCACAUUUUUCGUUGUUCAAAAUUCGCAAAGUUAAGGGUUUUCGGUAUGCAUCUGAAUUGAUUUCAAAGCAGUAACAAUAUAGAGCGCUUCCAAAGCCUAAAACAACCACUCAAUCAACUCACUUUAACAACAAUAACAUAAACAAUAACAUACAAUUAUAAGCAGAAUACUGGUGUUGAAAGUUUCGACACAAAACCUUCAACGAAAUCCACACUUACCAAAAGAUCAACAACGAUUGUUCGAAUUGGCGUUUUGAGGUUUGCUACUUUCGAUAUCCCUGGCUAAGAGGGAAACCAACCGACCGAUUAUUAGAAAAAUCACUCGACAAACACGGAAUACCCAAUUAAAAUUGUACCACGAAGUAUAAGAAGAAACUGCGAAUUCAAUCGCAUUUAACAAGGAAACUUACUUAAUAGUCUUUCAAUCGACACAACUAAAAAUCUAACUUCAAUUAACCCCAUAUUCCUUACGGCAGUGAUCAAAAAUAAAGGACAAGGAAGAAGAACCGAAAGAAGAAGAAGAAGGAGAAAGAGAAAGAAAGAAGAAGAAAAAACAUAAGAAAUAGAAGGAAAACAAUACAAAAGAAGAACUAACGUUAAUUAUGACUUAACUUCCACUCAGAUUCCUGGCAUUUAGCAAAAAUGUUCCCUACCGCAUACUCCGAGACUCAAACACAAGACCAAAUAAAAUACAAAAGCUUUACCAGUAAACCAACAGGCGCAUUCUUGACAUAAGUUUACACACAAUUAAACUUAAAUGUGACAUUCAAGGAUAGAAGCUAUCUUAAAUGAAAAUAACAAAAUUCCUAAAGAUGUAACUUGAACUCUUAACCCCAAUCACAUAAACAGAGCACAGAAUCAUAGAUACAAAGACUCAAUUACAACAAAAUCUAACAGUCAAACAUUAAAAUUUUUGGGGCGUUACAGUGCAUAAAUCAAUGACUUUGAUGGUUUAGUCUCAUAUAUCGGUGGUUUCUUUGGAGUCUCAUAAAUGGUGGUUUGGGUUUUGAAUUUUCGUUCUUUGGAGGUGUAUAAAUUGAUCAUUUAGGCUUAAGCUUCUCUUUUUUUGGUGGCUUAUAUAUUGAUGAUUGGGAUUCAGACUUCUUUUUCUUAUAUAUAAAUAUGAAGAAUGAUUAAAUUUUAGUUUUGGUCCCAUUAAUAUGUCAAAAGUUGAGUUUAGUUUCUAACAUAAUUUGGUCUCUAAAUUUUUAUAAUGCUAUUAAUUAGUCUUAAAAAUUAACACAAUUUUAUCUUUUUUUUUAAAGUUCGCAGUCACUUUUUAGACAUUAUAAAACAAUGGUCAAAAUUUUAACCCUUAGGCUAUACUAAAACUUGAGAUUGAAUCUAUACUUUAAUUUUUGACAUAAUUUGACUCCUCUACUUUUAUAAUGUCAUUAGUUAGUCUAGUUAGUUAAUAUCGUUAAUUCUUUCAAUAUAAAUCUUGACCUCAAUUCUUCUUAAGAACAUUCUUUCAAUAAAAAAAUUUAUUUUAACAUGACGAUUUCAAAUGUGCGUUUUUAAAAUAUAUAUAAUUAAUAUUUUUAAUAUUUUUAUGUUACAUAAUAUCAAGUGAUUUUUUUGAAAAUUUUAAAAUGUUACUCCGGACAAUUUAAUAGAAGAAUUAUAACGGUGGUAACAACUAAACUUAAAUUUUUAUAUCGGAAAAGUAGAGGACUAUAUUCUUAAAAAUAAAAAGAGGAAAACUAAAUUCUAAAUAUAUGAAGCAUAUAAGAAUUUAGAGCAUAUUUUAAUCUUUAAAUUUUUAUUCUAUAAUUUAACUCAAAUAAAUAAACAACGAAGCAUGGACAGACAACUAUACUAAUAAUUAAUUAGCAUAUAUUUAUAAAAUUUUAUUCACUACCAUAAUAGAAUUCUGAAGACUUCUAACUGUUUUAAAAGUGGGUAGUGAAUGAGAACAUAGUUAGACAUUUUCAUAAUUAUUGGACUUGGUGUAACUAAUUAUGAGGAAAAAUGAGGUCUCAACAUAAUUCAAAUAAAACAACUUCAACAGUUUUCACCAACCAAAUCUCCAUGCACCAAAAAAACUACAAAAUCUCUUUUGACGUGUCGGUUCUAAUUAUAAAAUUAGUCAAUUUUAGUCUUAGUACUUUUUAAAAUUAGUUUUGUAUUAUGUGUACAGUUGUAGAUUUGGUCCAUAUUCUUUAAUUGGAUCAUUCUAAGUCUCUUUACUUUUCAAAUUUUGAAAUUUCAGUCUCGAUAGAAAUAACAGGUGUUGAUUCAUUAACUGAAUUUUUAGUGAGUAAUAAACAGAAAUAACUAGCUGACAUGACAUUACACAUAUAAUAAUAUGUUUGGAACAUCAAAUUUUUAAAAUAACAAAACUUAAUAAAUUUAACAAUUAUCAUUUGAUGAUGACAAAAAUUUUAAUUAAAUUCACACCUUCCACAAAAUUUAACUUUUUGGAAACAAUAACAAAACAAAAAAGACACAGUGCAGGAAAUUCAAAAGAAAAGGCUAAUUAUUUCAAAGAUUUGAUAUUAACCGAAUUAACCGACCCUUUUAAACCCUUAAUCGUUAACCGAACGAAAUUUUUAAAAAAAAAUUUAACCUAACCAAACUUUUUCGAUUAAUUUGGUCGGUUAACCGAAUUAACUGAAAUUUAUAUAUUUUUUUUAUUUUUGGUUAAAACAAGUAUAAAACAUAUAAAAAAAAUUAACCAAAUUAACCGACCGAUUAAUUUAUACUUCCAAAAAAUUAACCGAACCGACCGACCCCCGAUCGAAUACUUAUGUAUUAUAAUAUUAUUUAUUAAGUUCGGUUAAUUCGAUUAACUGACUGAUUUCGAACCGAAUUAACCAUUAACCGAACUUCCAAAAAUUUAUUAACCGACCGAUUAACCAAAUUCGAUCGGUUAACCAAAUUAAUCCGAUUUUAUCCGAAAUUUGCAUACCUCUAGCUGCAGGUGACUCUGACUCCCAUUUUAAACCUCUAAAUAUUUAAUAAGCUGGAAUUUUUCAGCAUAUUCUCAAACAGAAUGGUGGGGUUGUGGGGGGACCUUGCAUGGCAUACCUUUGAAGACAAUUUCAUAGCCUUGGUAAGAUUUGAAAAUUUGCCACAUAAUAUUAAUAUAAUUAUUAAUGAAGUUUUGGUAGUAAUGAAAAAAGUUGAGAUCCUACAGUUUUGAUGUCGUAAGUUUGAAUAUCAUUCUUCGUAAAUCAUGUUGAAUUGUCUUUAUAUUUAUUUUGAAUUAAAAUUCACACAUCUCAUUAUAAAUAAUAUGAUUACAUUAAUUAAUAAUUUUUUAAAUUUUGGUGAAUUACAAGUAGAGAGCAAAGCCUUAACAGCAAUACGACUAGCACAACUCGAACCCAAAUCACACUUGAAGUGAUGAAUAUCUUAAUUAUCAGGCCAACAGAUGAGUUUAAUUUUUAACCUAUUUUAAGCCUUCAUUUAAUCCCUCACACAGCAUGUACUAAAUAUGAAUAUUUUAAAAUUCUUUAAUUUUUUUUUUUUUACUUAUUUGAAGGAUCCUUAGAGUAACAUAUUUGGUAUUUAAGUAAGAUAGGAAUGGGAUACCUUUGAUAAAUCAUUACUAUUUUUGUUAUCUUAGACCAAAAAUCUGUCCUGCACCAUUUCUCGAUGCAUAUAGAGUGGAACAUAUAUAACAAAAGUUGAGAUGGUCUGGAGCUAUUUUGGAUGACCAAAAAAGACAUGCAAAUGCAUGAGAGUACAAGAAAAAAAUAUCUAUGAUAUGAUGCAUGACAAAUAGAAUAUAUGUUGAAACCAUGAUAUUCUCAUUGAGAAACAAGAAGAUACAGAAUAGGCAUUCAUUCCAAUGAUACUGCCAUGUGCAUUCUUGCUAGUAAAAGAAAACAAUACUACAUGACAUACAAGAAAACAGAACAUGAGCCGGCAGCAGCUCUUAUUGCAGUGAUAAUAAUUUAUCUAUGUAGCCAUAGUAGCUCAGUUGUCGGGAAUGGUUAGCCGAGGAAAUCUCUCUAUUGAGGCUUCUCCAAUGGAGGGUGUCCUGGAUAGUGACCAUAUGGUGGCUUCUUGGGAGACUCAUAUACUGGUGGUUUAGGUUCUGGCUUCUCUUUCUUUGGUGGUGCAUAAACCGGUGGCUUUGGUGGCUUAGGCUCAUACACUGGUGGCUUCUUUGGAGGCUUAUAAACUGGUGGUUUGAGUUCUGGUUUUUCUUUCUUUGGAGGUGCAUAAACUGGUGGUUUAGGCUCAGGUUUUUCCUUCUUUGGUGGUUCAUACACCGGUGGCUUGUGUUCAUGCUUUUCUUUCUUUGGUGGUGUAUAAACCGGUGGUUUAGGCUCAGGCUUUUCCUUCUUUGGAGGUUCAUAUACUGGUGGUUUCGGUUCAGGCUUCUCUUUCUUUGGAGGUGUAUAAACUGGUGGCUUAGGUUCAGGCUUCUCCUUCUUUGGUGGUUCAUAAACCGGAGGUUUAUGUUCAUAUGGUGGCGGUUUCAGCUUAGGAGGAUUAUGAACAGGAGCAGGGGGCUUCCCAUAGUUGGGAGACUCGUAGGUACCAAAAGAGGGAGUGGCGAGAGCCACCACUCCAAGUAGCAAUAUUAGCAAAUGGGUAGUAGCCAUCAUUGAGCUUUUUGCUUUCCAUGGUGCUAUGAGAAGAGCCCUUUUUAUAGUGGUAAAGGAGCCUUACUGUUAGCCCCAAGUGUCAAACCAUUUUCUAGUUUUAAUACCUUUCGAAUUAGUCAGCUAGAUGUUAUUAAAUCUUUGAAGUAAUUCAUAAAUGAAAUAGGGUCCAUUUAGGUCCCACUUAGUUGACAUUUUAGAGCAUGGAUACAUGGUUAGUCAUGGUAGGAGAAAUUUAUACAAUUGUGCUAGUAGAGAGUGAAGAAAAAUUAGCUCUUUCUUAAAACGAAAUUUAUACAAGUGGUUUUAUUUUAUUACUUUUUUGUUUUUAUAAUUUCAACUAUUUUGAUAUAAUACUUAAAAUUAUUUAUAGUCCCUUUCCAACUCAUAAAUAAGAGGAUAAUGCGCUUUAAUGCACUCAAACUUACAUCCUCCUAUAUUAACAACAAUACUCAUGCCAAUCGAGUUAAAACUCAAUUGACCGAAUAUACCAUUUUAAUUAAUUCAUAUAAGUUUUUAGAAAUCAUAUAUAAUUUUAAAUUUUAAAUUCAUAUCCGCAUAUAUAUACAUACUGUAUGAGAUUAUUUUUUCUUUCUUUUUGAAAGAAAAUAACCAAAUAGGUUUAGGGUUAGUUGUUGAAAUUUGUAGGUACAAAUUUGUCAAUAAUGGAGGUGUAAAACUUGAACUACCACUACCACUCUCAUUUCCAUCAUUCAACACCGCUACAGCAUGUGAACUAGCACCCUCAUUUCCCCUAGUAAUUGUGUGUUAUCCAAAGUUUAAUCAUGUGUCAAAAAAUUUGGAUUAAUAUUGACAAUUGUGUACAUGUUUUGGAGAAUGGAUUAUAUGGAAUUGUGAUUUCACGUCAUCCCUACCCCUUUCCAAUAGGAAGAUGACAAAUUAGAUUUUUUCUAUUGGACCAAUAGAAAAAAUCUAAUUUGUCAUCUUCCUAUUGAAAAGGGGUAGAGAUGAUGUGGAAUCACAGUUCCAUACAAUCCCUUCUACAUGUUUUGACACCGUAGAUUAUGGAAGUUGUGUAGAAAGCAAAUAGAAUUUGAGUGUAAACACUUAUAUGUUACAUAUUUAGAUAACUAUUAUAAUUAGUGGUAUCAUUGAAGUGAAUAUCAUUAAAACAUUUUAAUUACAUUCUUUAAUUCGUAGAGGAGCGUGAGAACUAAAACAAUUACAUUGUAAUUAACCAUCAUUAAUUUUAAACUGUUUUAAAUAUUUUAUUUCUUUUAGAGAUAUAAUUACAUUUUUUUACAAUUACCUCACUUAGAAUACCUUUUAAAGGAAUACGUGGUACGAUUGGAUCGAAUAAACCCUUAUAUCCAGUCGUCUGUGAACCUUUCGAUAUUGUUUUAUUCAAUGUUUGCUCAAUUACUUUUUUACUUGCAAAUGCAAUAUAGACAUAGAGUUCAACAAUAAUGAUAUCCCCCAACAUAUCAAAACUCGCAGUCACUCCACCAAUAAUAAAAGUCGUAAGAAUUAAUACAUAAAAUAACUUUUUAUUUAAUUGUUAAUCAUAUAAAACGAAAAAUAUUUUAACCAUUUGGAUCAAGCUCAAACUUGUUUCCUGACUUUAUAUUAUUCAAACAUGUUAAUAAUAUAAGGUCUCAUUAUUGAGCUAGGUUAAAAGUAAGGCCUCUUGGGGGUAGGAGACAUACUCAAAAAGGCUUAGAGAAAAAGAAUAUAUGGGCUUUUGACCUUUAAAAAUAUUGGGUUAGAUGAUUCUUGGUGCUAGCCUAAAUUAAGGCUAAGGAAGAUAUGGGUUGAAUAAUGGCUUCAUUGGUGAAUUGUGAUUCAGCUUUUGAUCGAUACAUGGUUAAUGAUAUUUGCAUUUAGAUUUCGGAAGUUUUGUUGAGUUUUUAUUGAUGUAUCCAAUAAUUUAUGAAAUGAAGUUCACAUCUGCAAAGACUUUUAUUGAAAUAGUAAAGUUUGAGGAAAGGAAGAUUUUGAGGGAUUAAAUUUAUAAUACAUAUUAUAUGCAUGUUUUUUUUUAAAAAAAAAUUGUACGUGAAAAGAUAAAAAUACUCUAAAAAUUAUAUUUGUUGCUUUAUAAAAAUGUUGAGGUUUUGAUAAUUUCACAACUGAGUUGAAAUAUGAUUGAGAGUGAGAUUAACUCAAGCAAAGCUUUAAAUGAUAGUACUGAUAGAUACGAGUAUGAAUAUAAGUAAAGCAAAUCCCUCAUUGAUUUGUCAAGACUUGUUUAAAACAGUGGUUAAAGUUCUUGUGAACUUAGAUGACAAAUCAUGUCAUCCUUUUCCUCUUUCCGAUACUGUAAUGAUAAAAGGUAUAAUAACUUAUUUGGCCCUUUAACUUCAUAAAAAAAUUAUUUUAGUUCUUCAUUUAAUUUUUUUUACCUCUUUUAGCCCUUAAACUUGUGUGACUUGUCAAAUCACCUCAAAAUAGAUAGAACUGGCGUGGCACACAUGUAGAUUGCCACAUUAGCAAUUAAUUAAUUGUUUAAUAUAAAAAUUUAAAGAAAUUAUAAAAAUUAUAAAAAAUCAUUUCUAUAUUUUUUUUUAAUUUUAAAAAAUUAAUUAUUUGCUAAUGUGACAUCUACGUGGCAAUCCACGUAUAUGUCACAUCAACAAAGUUAACAGAUGUUAACUUUUCAAUCUAUUUUAGGUUGAUUUGACAAACAAUACAAGUUUAACAACUAAAUAGACAAAAAAAUUAAAUAAAAAUUUAAAAUAACUUUUUUUAUAAAAUUGGAGGGCCAAAUAAGUCAUUGUCAUGGCAAAAGAAAAAAAAACACUCGAAUGGAACAAAUUAAAGCAGCAAGGGAAAAUUUACGUACCAGCGAUAAGAUUUAAAUCACAAGCCACAAUUGCUUCAUCCUGCCUGAAAGGCUGACCAGAUUGAAGGAUUGGAAUCCUUGUUCCAUGUCCACUGAAGUAGAAAAACAAGACAUCCUUUGGUUUAGCCUUUUUCGCCAUUUCAUUAAGUGUGCUUAAUGUUAGCACCUGUAGGCAGAAGAACCGACGUCGAGCCUGGUGCAUCAGUCAAGACCUGAACAUUGCUUGCUUUCAUGAAAUCCUAAUUUUCCCUCAACCACACUUUUGAUGCGAUUCACAUCUCGUUACGCAUCCAUGCAACGUGAAUUCGGUGUUGGGACAAUUUCAUCCUACAAGAACAGCUCUCUUCAUACCUUUCAUCCUACAAGGACCAAGACACUGCCUAUCUAUCCAUCACCACCCUAUCUUUACAAGUUACAAUUUGAAAAUGCAAUUGACUUGUUUAAUAAAAUUAUUACUUUACAUUAUUUGCAUUAUUAUAAUGUAUUUGAUUAAAUUAGUGUCAUUAAUCGGGUCCAAAUUCAGUUGUAAAAUUAUCAAAAGUUCAUUACUUUUAUUAAGUAACAGAUAUUAUUUUAAGGGUAUAUAUGUCUGUCUAUACUUCGAUAGAUCAUAAAAAUACAUAUACAUGGUAGAAACCAUUGGACUUAAACACAAAACAUCCUCAAUUUUAUCAUUUCAACUAAAGCUACAUUUAGUUUUUAUAUCAAUUUUUUAUAAAUUUGCUGCAUAAUUUUUUUUACUCAUAUUGUAAGUGUGUCGUAAUCUAGUAUAUAUAAUAAUCUCAUUAUUGGUUUUGUUGUCAAUACAGGAGGACAUGGGUUCGAGUGCGUUGAAGCGCGUUAUCCUCCUAUUUAUGAGUUGAAGAGGGGCUAUGGGUAGUUUUAAGUAUUAUGUAAAAAAAUUAAAUAUGACCAUAACCUAUAAUGAGAUUAUUAAAAAAAGUAAACAAGGAAAAAAACAUCCUACACACUAAUCAAAAAAAAAUUAUCCAAAAGAUUACUUAAAAGAAAACAUAUUAGACAAAAUAAAAACCACAAAAAAAUAUUGACAAAAUAAAAUCACAAAACUAUGAACAAAAUCAUGAAAAUAUAGAUUGAAAUUAAAAGCAAAAUAAAAUUACGAAAAAAAAUGUUACAAAAACCACAACCAGUAAUCAACUCGAAGACCGAUGUUGUCCACAAAAAAAAGUUUAAUUUGAAAAAAAAUUGAGUAGAUGAAUUUUUCUACGAAAAGAAAAAAAAAAGGAGAAUAAGACUAAAUGAUUUCAAAUUUAAGUAAUUUAGAAUUGAUACAAACUUUGAAUUUAAGAUAUUCCAAAUCUAACUCUCUCUUUUUAAUCAAAUGAGAUUAAAAAUUAAAUUUAAUAAAGAUUAUUCUUAUGGAAUUGAAUCAAAAUAAUAAAUUAGGAAAAUGAUGAUAAUAUAUGUUUUGAAAAACCAUAAAUGUUGUUAUAUAUACUGUCGUUGAAUAUUUAAUUGAGAUUAAAAAUCAAAUUAGUGCCAUUAAAUUCAUAAUCAAUGUGGAGUUGACAAUUUUAGACCACAGGUGUCGUUAAUAAUUAGGUAAAGAUGAUCUUUGACUUAAAAUAGAAGGUCGUUCCAAAAUAAUAAAUAAAUGAAAAACCCUGUUUUGGUAAAACAAUGAACAUGUGGGCACCUUCACUGCCUCAUAUUCUAAAUUAUUAUACUAAGCAUUAAACAAUUGGAAUCCCUCCUCAGCUUCAACUAUGGGUUUUUGCCACUUGCCAUUCCCUCCUAUAUGAAUAUGCAUGUUUUAUUUUUAUAAUCAAGGAAUCUUUUGCUAUGGAAAAUGUUGAUUUUUAAUAAAGACUAAUCACAAUUUCAUCAUCUAGAGAGGUUGAAAUAUAAUUUUACUAAUUUAGAGGGACUAAAACACUUUUUUUUUAAGAGGUCAAGGCGCUUACCUUCCCCUCUAAAUUUGCCCCCGGCUUUUGGUCUAGUUUUUGAAGUAAAUUCAGCCCAUUGAGGGGCACUAAAUUAGUUGCCCUGACCAAUUCAACUUAUUUUUUUCUUUUUAAUAUUUUUUUAUAAAUUUUUAGUGAUUUAUUUUACUAAACCCUAAACAUUUUUAGGGGAACAUGCAUUUAUUGGUUGGUGGGUUUAAUAGAUUAUAAUUAGUUCUAUUCGAAUUUGGUUUGUAUCUAUUGAAAAAUUAAAAAUUAUGCUUAAAAAAAGUGUUUAAUUAUACUCCAAUCUUUAUACUCUUUAUAAUUUUUUAAAUUCGACUUUUUCUAUUAAAUUAUCAAUUAGAUUUUAAAUUUUUGAAUAUUAAAAUACCACACAUUCAAAUCUAAUUGAAAUUGCCAUCAGUGUAAUCAAUUGGAUUUUCAUUUUCAAAUCAAUCAAACAAGUGACUGAAAAUAAAAACAAAGGACUAGAUUUCAAAUUUUCAAAAAAUACAGCUACUAAAAAUAAAAUUAAACCUUUCGAAGCCAUGUUUUUGUGAUUACAACAAGUCACAUAUCUAUAUCUGAUUGAACUGUAAAUAUAUCAUGGAACUUUCUACAUUUAAAUCCUAAUUUUUCCAUUAUCAUCUUCUUCUUCUUCUUUUUAUCUAGUGCUUUUUUUUUUUUUUGCUUGGGGGUCCAUUUUUUCACCUACUUUGCAUUCUCUUCUGCUUUAUCUAGGUUUUCAAUUUUGUUUUUGAAAUUCCUAGUCAUUUUCUUUAUAUAACCCUCUCUUCUUAUUCUUCUUAUCAUUCCUUUUAGCAAACAACUUUGAAAGAAUAUAUUCUCAUGGUUGCUUUUUUAUUUCAAGAACCAACAAUCAACCAUUCUUUUUCUGCACCAUGAACAACCAUUUUAUUCUUUCCUUUUUUAAAUAAAAUAAAUAUUCUUUUUUCACUUUCACUAGAAAAUCAUAACAUGUAAUAGGUGGUAGUAGAAUGAAACCCUUCUUUGAAUUUUAAUCUCCUUCUUAGCUUUCUCUUCUUCUUGUUUGGUGACUAUGGAAACUAGGGUUCUUGAUGGUAUAAUCAAUAGGUUGCUUGAAGUUAGAGGAAAACCAGGGAAGCAAGUCCAACUUUCUGAGCCUGAAAUAAGACAGCUUUGUCUUGUUUCUAAAGACAUCUUCUUGAUGCAGCCCAUUUUGUUAGAGCUUGAAGCACCUAUUAAGAUCUGUGGUAUAUCUUUUUCUUUUUCCUCUGUUUUUUUCUUCAUUUUAAUUUUCAUUUCUAUGUUGAUUUUGAUCCUUUUUUAAAUGGGUUGCUUAUAGUUUAUGUGUUUGAACAUGGAAAGUACUUGUCUUUUUGGUGCGUCGUGUUGUGUGAUCACUGAAAUGUUCUAAAUUUGACACCCUAUAACCUGUUUGUUGGAAGUGAUGUCUCAUGUUUAUGUUGUUCUACUACACCUUUUAAAGGUGACUGCAUGAACCAGUUAAACUAAAUUUGAGUAUCUAUGUCUUAAAGGAGACAUACAUGGCCAGUAUUCGGAUCUGUUAAGGCUGUUUGAAAAUGGCGGCUUCCCUCCUCGUGCCAAUUACUUAUUCUUAGGAGACUAUGUAGAUCGUGGCAAGCAAAGCCUGGAAACCAUAUGUCUUCUCCUUGCAUACAAGAUCAAAUACCCUGAAAACUUCUUCCUUCUAAGGGGCAACCACGAGUGCGCGUCCGUGAACCGCAUCUACGGAUUCUACGACGAGUGUAAACGAAGGUUCAAUGUCCGGCUCUGGAAAGCAUUCACCGAUUGUUUCAACUGCCUUCCCGUCGCGGCCCUGAUCGAAGAAAAGAUAUUCUGCAUGCACGGUGGACUGUCCCCAGAGCUUCGCAAUUUAGACCAGAUUCGAAACUUGAAACGGCCUACUGAUGUCCCAGAAUCCGGCUUACUAUGUGAUCUCCUAUGGUCUGAUCCUAGUAAAGAUAUCCAAGGCUGGGGGCCUAAUGAUAGGGGUGUUUCAUACAUAUUUGGUGCUGAUAGGGUGCUUGAUUGUCUAAAAAAACUUGAUCUUGAUCUAAUAUGCCGUGCACACCAGGUUCAAUAAUGCAGCUCACAUCAAAUGUAUUCAGUAUAAACUCGUAUAGUCUCUCGCUAAACCGAAUCUAUAUGGUUGUUUGCUUGCAGGUCGUCGAAGACGGAUACGAAUUCUUCGCCAACAGGCAACUCGUAACCAUAUUUUCAGCACCAAAUUAUUGCGGAGAGUUCGACAAUGCUGCCGCCAUGAUGAGUGUAGAUGAAACAUUGAUUUGUUCUUUCCAAAUAUUAAAGCCUGCAGCUAAGAAACCGAAAUUCGGGUUUGGGACAUUCACAUCAACUAAGUCUCCUACACCUCCAUCUAGAAUCAAGGUAUACAUAAAUUAACAUACUCGUGUCAGAUACAUAUUUAUAUCCGGAAUCAACGGUGUCCUUACUUUGUUCUUUGAAUCUUUGUUUUGGCAGUCAUUUCUUGGAGCCAUGGUAUAAUGAUGGCUACCAUUGGAUAUGGGAAGAAUUGCAAAGUAAAAACUGGAAAUCUGGUGAUUUCUAGGAGCAUUUUUAUGAUUGGUAUAAGGUAAAUUUGAAAUAGUUUUUUUUUUCAAUGUAUUGACCCUUUUGUAAAAUAAUAGUUUAACAGAGUCCCCCUCUGUUCCUCUUCUUUCAUCUCUGUAUUUAAGCUUUUGGGUUUUUGUAUUGUAAUCAAUGAAUGAAAAUGAAAAGAGGGAUUGGUGACUAUUUGCAGUAGUUAGUAAAUCCAUAAGCUUCUUGAUCUUGCCAUUUGUCUCUAUACUUGAUUUAGUUAAUCUUAAUGUUUAUUUUUUUUAAUUUUAAAAAUUUAGUCGUUAACUCAAAUAAUAGCAUUUAAAUAAGUUAGGUCAAACUUUGCUUUUAGUCUCGUACUAUAUAUAACUUGGAGAUUUAGUCUUUGUUCUCUAAAUUUAUUGUUUUUUACUUUUAUACUUUUCAAAUUUUGAAAUUUUAGUCCUGAUUCAAACAAUCAUCUUUAAAUCUGUUAACUAAAAUUAUGUGACUUUUAUAUGAGAAUUAUGUAAAAAUAGCAUUAUGACAUGGCAUUACACAUGUGAUAAUGUAUAUUUGUCUAAUAAGAUUUUGAAAAUAGUAGAAUUUAGGGAUAAUAGGUACCUAAAUUUGAUAACUUGUAUCGACUUGGUACCCAAAUUUGGAAACUGUAAGUUAACUUGGUAUUUUUUUUAGGUAUCUGACUAACAUGGUUAAAAAAGCUGGUGAGGCACUUAACUAAUAGCACAGUGGCACAUGGCAACAUCACAUUUUUACAUGUGACAACUUUUUUAAAAGAAACUAAACUUCAAUUUUUUUGCACAUGUCAAAAUGUGAGACUGCCACGUGUCAUCAUAUUAUAGGUCAUUUGUGUCAUGUCAACAUGUUUUAACGGUGUUAGUUAGGUCACUAAAAAAAGUAUCAACUCGGAUUACGAUUUUCAAGUUUAGGUCCAACAAAAAAUUUAGUUACCAAAUAAAUAUAAGUUGCCAAAUCCAGAUAUCUCGGUAUAUAUUAAUCCUAGAAUUUAACUGAAAGAAUUAAUGACUCUCUUAUGAUAAAGGCUGAAAUUUCUAAAUUUUAAAAAUAUAAUAACUAAAAAUGAUGAAAAUAGAGUGUAGGGACUAAAUUAAUAAGAAUCAGACGAAUAAAAGCGUUGAAUAUGUGUAAAUAAUACACUUUCUUUUCCAUUGUGCAUUUGGAAUGAGUAAGAGGGAACACGAAUAAGACUCAAUAGCAAGAAAGGGUGAAGGCAAUGUGGCUGCACUUUCGUUUUCAAGUACAUCAAUUAUUUCUACUAGUGGUUUGAUCGAAUAUCAUCAUGUCUUGGUGAUCCUCAUUACCUACUUUUGCUGCUUGAUUAACCAAUUUGUCUGAAUAUCAAAGCACAAUUUGUUGUUGUUUUAUACCAUUCAUAAAUUUGGGUAAACUACACUCAAGAUCACUAAAUUAUUUAUAAGUUUAUGUUUUGGUUAUUAAAUUUUAAAAAGUUACAAAAUGAUUACUGAACUAUUUAAAAACUUUCAUUUAAGUCACUGGGUUAUUAAAAUUAUUGUUAUAUGGCUGCUUGCACCACUUCUCUUCUAUAGUCUGGUCUAUUUUUCAUGAAAUAGUUUGAAUGUCAUGAAUAUGUGAACUAAAAUUCCAAACAGCUUUAUACUCCAAUUUCUGAUACUGACCGUCAGAUCGACUUGGACCUAAGGUAUGUUAUUCUACUCACCGAUGGGUACUGAUCCACCAUAUCGAUUGUCAAAUCGUCGCUUGGAACUCGCUAACCAGAAUUUUUUUUUAGAAAAAUAAACUUAACAACCCAAUGGUUUAAAUAGAAUUUUUUGAAUAGUUCAAUGUAUUAAAUGAAAACUUUUGAAUAGUUUAAUGUCCAUUUUAUAAUUUUUUUAAAGUUGAGUGACCGAGAUGUAAAUUUACUAACAGUUUAAUGACCUUGGGUGUAGUUUAGUUUUUAAAUUAUUUGUUUAAUACAUAAUUUGGUAUUUGACUCUGACACUUUUUUUUCUAAUAUAGUAAUUAUGUUUUUUUUUCCAAUGUGGUACAUGUAUUUAGCAAAAGUUAUACAUUUUGGUACCAUAAUUGUAUUUAUUUUUUUAGCAAUUAAUUCUAGCUUUAGAGUUGAUUUGAUGAAAAUUCACGCUUGGCUAAUAAUAUUAGCAAUUAACUUUCAUCAAAUUAACCCUAAAACUUGAAUUAAGUCACAUUCAUCAAACUGUAUUUGACAAAUUAAACAAAUUCAUAAUUAACACUAAAUUAAUUCUAUUAACAAAAUGAUGAAAAAUUCAAAUCUAAUAAUAUUGACAAUUAACUUUUUUAUCAAAUUAACCCUAAAACUCAAAUUAAACACUAAAAAGUUAACAAUGCUACAUUUGGAUACCAAAAUAUAUAACUUUUUUUAUUUAAAAAUAUCAACCGAAUAAUUAGGAUUGCUAGUAUUUCUUGUCAAAAUUUAUCAACUUGGCAUGUGGAUUAGGUUGCCUUCAUAUUAUGUAGCAUAUGAUUUUUUUUUUUUGGUACAAAUUAUGUGACAUAUUGUUGACAAAAAAUAAACAUGUUAAGUUCGACGAAUUUUAACAAAAACUACCAACUAAUAUAAUGAUUGGAUUAUAAUUUUUAAUUUGAAAAAAUAAGAAGAUUGAAUUUUUAACUUUUAAAGUAUAAUAACUAAAUCUCAAAUUCUAUUAAAGUAUAUGGACUAAUAGCAUAUUUUAAGCUUCUAAAAUAUAUUUACUUUAAUAAUAAAAUAAAGGGCUUUUAUGAGUAAAAAUCAUAGAUUAAGAGCUUAUUUAACUACAAAAAUAGAUUGAGGGCUUGUUUAUUAAAUAAAAAAGUGAGUUGAAGGGGAAUAAAAAGAAAAUAAUAAAUAAGGAGGGCUUAGAAGGCAAUUAGCCACAUUUCAACUUUAGUGUCGCCACACCAAGGCGGUGCCAAUUCACUUUCAAAAUUUAAAAUGGUAAAUUUGCACAUCAGGUCCUUGAAACUUUAGAUCAUUACAUUUUAGUCCUGUGCCGCCUAUGGGCACCAUUGGUGUCGCCUUUCUAUUCCCCUCCAUCAGCCUCCUUUUUUUGUAUUAUUUUGGUAAAUAAAAAAAGUUUAUAAUAUUUUGGUAUUUUUUAUUUUUUGUAAUAUUUUGAUAAAAAAACCCUAUUAUAAACAAAUAAAUAUUUAAUAAUAAAAUGUGUCAUAUCUUAAUUUGUCAUUUUAUACAUAUAACUUUUAAUUAUCAGUUAAAUUUUACUAAAAACUUUAAAUAAACAAUUAAUAGAAUAGUUGAUCAAAUCAAUUAAGUUAUUAAAAUCAGUUAACCAGACCAACCAUUACAAUCAGUAAUUAGCUAUACCAUUCCAAAUCCUUUUUGUAUAUUUGUAAUUUAGUCUAUUUUUACUUUUAACAAUUUAGCUCCUCUACAAUUCAGAUUUCAAAAUUCAAGUCCAGUUAUUAAUACCGUCAAAAAUUUUUCUAUUAAAUCUAAAAAAUAGAAAGAUUAAAUUCCUUGAAAUGAAAAUCAUAAUUUUAUAAAAGAAAUAUUUUUAAAAAAAUCAAAAGAGUCUAGAUACGUAACCAACUCUUUUCUCCUUCAUCCCAAUCCUCAGUUCUUCAUUAUCUCUAUAUUUCUUUGUAAUUUCAUCCUUUACUCAUUGAACCAUUAAAAAGGAAAGAUUAUUUUUGUUUUUGUUUUCUUCAUUAUAAGAGUUGUUUAAAAAUCAUCUUAGUGAUGGUAAAGGAUCAAUUACAAGUUCUUAAUGCACUUGAUGUAGCUAAAACACAAUGGUACCAUUUCACAGCGAUUAUAAUUGCUAGCAUGGGAUUCUUCACUGAUGCAUAUGACCUUUUUUGCAUUUCAUUGGUCACCAAAUUGCUUGGUCGCAUAUAUUAUCACAAGGAAGGUGAUUCUACCCCCGGAACACUUCCGUCCAAUGUCUCGGCUGCCAUUAAUGGUGUUGCCUUUUGCGGUACUCUUGCGGGACAGCUCUUUUUCGGUUGGCUAGGUGAUAAGAUGGGACGAAAACGUGUCUAUGGCAUGACACUAUUGCUCAUGGUUAUCAGUUCGGUUGCCUCUGGUCUUUCGUUUGGCAGUGACUCUAAAUCCGUGAUGGCUACACUUUGCUUCUUUCGGUUUUGGCUUGGUUUUGGUAUUGGUGGUGACUAUCCUCUUUCUGCUACAAUCAUGUCCGAAUACACUAAUAAAAAGACUCGUGGUGCUUUUAUUGCUUCUGUUUUCGCGAUGCAAGGUUUCGGGAUAUUGGCUGGUGGGAUGAUUGCCAUUAUGGUUUCUGCAGUAUUUAAGGCUUAUUACCCUGCACCAAGUUAUGAAAUUGAUGCUAACCUAUCGACUGUGCCUGAAGCUGAUUAUAUUUGGAGGAUUAUCUUGAUGUUUGGAGCAUUCCCGGCUUUGCUCACCUAUUAUUGGCGCACAAAGAUGCCCGAAACCGCUCGUUACACUGCCUUGGUCGCCAAGAAUGCUAAACAAGCAGCAGCAGAUAUGUCAAAAGUUCUUCAAGUCGAUUUGGAAUCAGAACCAGAGAAACUACAACAAAAGAAAGGGAACGAGUUCGGGUUGUUCACCACACGGUUUUUCAAUCGACACGGACCCCACUUGCUCGGUACCACAAGCACUUGGUUCUUACUAGACAUUGCUUUCUAUAGCCAAAACCUGUUCCAAAAAGACAUCUUUAGUGCCAUUGGUUGGAUCCCAAAGGCAAAAACCAUGAAUGCCAUUGAAGAAGUUUAUAAAAUUGCAAGAGCUCAAACUCUCAUUACACUAUGCAGCACUGUUCCUGGAUAUUGGUUCACAGUGGCAUUAAUUGAUAAAAUAGGAAGAUUCAAGAUCCAAUUGAUGGGAUUCUUUUUCAUGACAAUUUUCAUGUUUGCAUUAGCAAUCCCAUACCAUCAUUGGACACUACCCAACAACCGGAUCGGAUUCGUUAUCAUGUACUCGCUAACGUUCUUUUUUGCAAAUUUUGGACCGAAUGCCACUACGUUUGUAGUCCCUGCCGAGAUUUUCCCAGCAAGGUUGAGAUCAACAUGCCAUGGAAUAUCAGCUGCAUCAGGCAAAGCAGGGGCAAUGGUGGGUGCUUUCGGGUUUUUGUAUGCUGCAGACGCUAUCGGAGUGAAGAAAUCACUAAUGAUUCUGGCUUUCAUUAACUUUCUGGGAAUGUUGUUCACAUUUUUGGUGCCUGAAUCUAAAGGAAAAUCACUGGAAGAGAUAUCUGGGGAAGCUGAUCAAGAAAAAGGAACUGAAACACAAUCUGGCUAGCUAAAUUGAUGGAUUUUGCUAGCAAUUCUUGCCAUUUUUUUUCUGGUUUAUCUUUGUUUUAAGUUAAUGCUAUGUUGUCUUUUGAGAUUUUUUGUUAAUUCUUACCUGAAUCCGGGAAAAACAGAUCAAUCCACCCGAAUUUAAGCCGAAUAGAAUCCUAUUUAAUCCGAAAAAUUUAGUAACACAUAUACAUAUAAUGCUAUCAUUCCUCAUAAACCAACAAUAGAAGUAAUAGUUUCAUUUCAUCAAAUGUACUACAAGAUGUGACCUUGAUUGCAUAACCGUAACUCAAUUGUUUCCAAGAACACGAAAACAUAAGUUGAAACCCUGGUUAUUUAGUCGAUUUCUCUAUGCUUGGAACAAUAUCUAAAAGGGAAUAUAAACACAUAUACCAUAUGCAUAUGAGAGGAAACUUUUAUGUUAGUCAAGCCCUGAUGAAACAGUCUAAAAGGAGGGUAUUCGUGAACUGACCAUUUCGGUUUUCUUUAUCAGAACACUGCUGGGAAUACAAGAGAGAUACAGGCGACUAUUGUCUUAAAACUCCUGCAAUGCUAAUAGUAUAAGUGUCAAAUCCAACAUUAGAAACCAAAGUUCAAACUUCGUAAAAAUCCAUAGCACAAAUAGUACUAACCAUUUUUGUUGGAAGCCUGUUCCAAGUCAAAUCUUUUCGUGCCAUGUUAGGUUGAGAUUGGAAGAUUCGUGGUCCUGAAAAGGUCUGCCAUCGGAUGAGGAGCAAUACUGUGGAACUGUGAAUGAAAUUAUGCUAGUGCUAGUACUACUAGUACUCUUCUGCUUCUUAGAUGCCGAAGAUUCAGCCGUCGAGCAUAAGUCUUCUCUUCCUGAGGUCCCUGCUUCUUUAUUCUGCUUAUUCGGUUUAUCCAUAUGCAACUUCUCUUCAUCUACAGGUAAUGGUCUCUUCCUAGGCAACAAACCAUUGUUGCAGUUUUGAAAUGAUGGCACCCUUUGAUCAUUAGAUGAAUACGUCAGACAUGAAGACUUUUCCUUUGGGAUAACUUUCAGGAUGGCAGAGGUCUUGAUACUAUCAGAAUUAUCGAAAACAUCUUCAUUCAUCUGAUCUGAAGUUGCGGAUUUUGCAGCUGCUUCCAUUUCCCACAUUUUAAAUAUAGCUUCUCUUAGAUGUUCUCGAGCUUUAUCUAUAUCUAUUAUGGGUUUCGGAUAGUUUAAGCCCAACUCGACACCUGCAGCUUUAAGCACGGUAAGAGGUGCAUCCCAUGGAUGAUGGAUCCACUCGAUUGGCAUCCUUGCUAACUCUGGCAGCCAUUGCCUUACGUAUUCACCUUCAGGGUCAAAUUUGGAGCCUUGAAUCUGACUCAAAAAACCAACACAAUAUAAGGUCCAGAGAUGGGAGAGUACUGGAUUAGUUACUUAUUUUGCAUUUAAUAAAUUAACUAGUGUACUCAACGCACCUGCGGGCAGUCUAAUUGUUCUAGCUCUUGACCAUCUGGUAAACUCCCGGAGAUGUACUGCCAACCAAGAAUAUCACAUUCCAAAUCUGCAUCCAGAAGUGUGUCCCAGAAAUAUUUCAUUCCCCACUUCCAUGGAAGAAGUAGAAACUUCACCGCGAAACUCGAAACAAUCACUCUUAUUCUGUUGUGUAUCCAACCGGUUGCCCAAAGCUCCCUCAUUCCUGCAUCCACUAAUGGAUAUCCUGUCCGACCUUGUCUCCAUACCUUAAAAUGGUCCGCAUCAGCAUUCCAAGGAAAAUACUUCAUGUUUCUCAAUAACGAUCUCUCAUGAGUGAACGGAUAGUUGAAACAAAGAUAACGAGAGUAUUCUCUAAGCCCGAUAGCCUUUAAAAAUAGAUUGACACUCUCUUCCCCUUGAGACUUCCAUUCUCUUCGCCAUAGUAUCUGUUUCAUACGUACACACCGGAAAACUUUCCUGACACUUAUCUCUCCAAAAUGAAGAUAUGGGGACAAAAGUGAUGUUGAGCUGGCCCCAACCUUGAAUCUACUUUUCGAAUAGUCAAAUAAAUUCUGUUCGACAAACUCAGUUAGAGCCUUAUCGGCAUUGCUCCAACCCGGAGAACAUCCUCUUCCUAACAAAGCAUUGCUAGAUUUUUCCAAUUCAUUUUCAAGCCCCAAACCUUCAAUUGUGCACCUUUCAACCGUCCCUGUAACUAAUAACAAUUCAGCAACAAGUUAUUCAUUUUGCAAUGAGAAUAUACGUAUAUAUGUAUACAAGCAGAUCAUUCAUCUACACUCCAUCUUUCCUUUUCAUCAAAAUCUAUGUGCAUAACUACGUAUAAACUUACAUAUACAUAUACAUAUAAAUGAUGUUUGGUUUAAAUCUACCUGCAGCUGGCAUCAAUCUCCACGGGGGAAGAAGUGAAACCGGUUCCAUUUGCAUGUUCAAGCACUUGUCCCAAUAUGCAUCAAAGGUUGAAAAAGCUCGUCCCUCAUCAUCGUAUAUCUCCCAUGGUUCAUACAACAAAUCUCCAUUAUAGCUUUGCACGGAGAUGCCAACCUCUGCUAGUUUCUCUUCGAUGCUAUGAUCACGAACCAGCGAAACAGGAUCUGGAAAAAAAAGGACAACAAACCGUAAUCUCAAGUAUUUCGAUGCUUUCAUAUAUUAACCGAAAACAUUGCACUGCAAUUGGCAUUAGUUAAAUUCUCAAACUAUUUAACCAUGUCUAACUCGCCAUUUCAGUAUAAACAAAUUAGAAUUCAUAUUGGUUUAAGAAAGCAGCAUUUGAUCUGUAGAUCGGAAUAUAUACCGUAAAGACGGUUGACUACAACUUUCGUCGCCUCAGUAGCUUUGAUGCAAUCUAAAAGAGCUGAAAGGGUACUUUGGGUCUUAAUCAUCACAAGUUCAGCCCCAAGAGACUUCAAUGACUGCUCCAAAUGAGCAAGAGAUUGCUUAAGCCACCAUCGUGAAACUCGACCCGGGUAAAACUGCCCUUCCUCUUCAGGACACCAUAUAUAAACCGGAAAUACACUACCGUCCCUUGCAGCAGCUGCUAAAGCAGGAUUGUCUUCAAUCCUGAGGUCCCUCCUGAACCAAACUAUUGUUUUACCGCUACUCAUGUCAAACUAACAAGAUCUUUCGAAUAACACCGACAUAUUCGAAUUCAUACAAAGGCCUAAAAAUUCUCACAAAACUUGAUACAAACACUUGAUAAACAUCCCAAUUAGACAAUCACAAUAUGUAUCCAUGAUAUCCAACCAUACCCUGACUUCAAUAAAACCUUCCCUACCUGUCUCGUCGUCGGUCCCCGAUUCGACCAAUCAAAAAACACCAUAACUUUCCCAAAAUAUCUCCAAAAUCCAAUACCUUGAUGCAGACCUGCACUAGAAUUAAUAAACCUUAAAACCACACUAUGAACUUUCCAGUACAAUACAGAAUACAGAUACAACCUAAUUCCCUUAAUAAUUGACAUUAAAGAAUGUUAUCUUCAAACAAUGACAACUAAAACAAGUAAAUGGACCAAACCCCAAUUUUUAUUUGAUAUUAAAUUGUUGAAGUUUUACCCCAUUGUUGCUAGAAACUCAGAAAGAACAGAUAAAAAAAAAAGAUCACGAAGGGUUAGGUAAGAAAAAAAAGAAACAUGAUUGAUGAUAUUUUGUUCGUUACUUACAGCGAAUUUCCAACAGUGAGAUUGAAGAAAUGGAACUGGCAAUGCCCAUUUUGCUAAGUGUGGCUUGUAUGUGUCAAGAUCAUGUGGGACUCAUAUGAUAUUGAUGAUGAUCGUGGUGGGAGGAGACAUGCCUUGUCAGCUUUGUUGAUCCACUGUAAAUUUCUCUCAAUGAAAAAAUUGGGUAAAAAGACCUUUUCAAUCCCUCUCAAUUUUAACAUUGAGCAAAUUGAUCACUCUCAAAAAAUUUGGAGCAACUUAAUCCUUGCCAGUUUCGAAAGUGAACAACUAAAGACAAUUAAUUAUCAUGCUAAUGUUUUUCAUCAAUUGUACGUGAUUUUGAUUGAUAUAAUAAUAAUUUUAUCCCUCAAAGUUUACACAUUCUGUUAAUUUGAUCCUGAUUUAAUAAAUUUAUCUCGCAAUAUUUAUGUAAAUGUGUAAAUGUCAAAGCUGAAUUUUUGAAUUUUUUAAAAUUAAGGUCAAAAUGACAAAAUAUAUAAACAUCAAAGGCUAAAUUUGUUACUAUAUCAAUCAAAAUUAUGUAUAAUUGUGGAAGAUAUUAUCGUCCUGAUUAAUUGUUCUAAGUUGCUCACUUCCGAAAUUGACAAAUUAAAUUGCUCCAAUAUUUUUUUGAGAGAUCAAUUUACUCAAUUUUGUAAUUUGAGAGGGACUAAAGAGGCUUUUUACCAUAAAAAUAAGUGAUUAAUUAUCCUAAUUUAAUAAGGGUUUUUUCUUUCUUUCUUUCUUCAUAUUUGCAUGAGCGAAGACUCAUUUGUAAAGCUGUUCAUUUGAAUCAUACAAUGAAUUGGAAAUCCCCCAAGUUUUGUAGCUAGUAUUUUUAUUGAUAAAUUACACCAAAGGUCACUAGACUAUUAGUAAAUUUAUGUUUUGGUAAAUCAGCUUCAAAAGUUACAAAAUGGUCACUAAACUAUUUGAAAAUUUUCAUUAAGUCAUUGAACUAUUAAAAUUAUUGUUAUAUGAUUUUCUCUGUUUGUACUGCCUACACUAAUCGAAAACUCUCCUUCCCUUAUCUUCUACAAUUCAAUUCUUUUUUCAUAAAACAUAUUUGAACGUCACGAAUCUGCGAACCAAAAUCCAAAGAGCUUUCUUCUUCAAUCUCCAACACUAAUCGUUCGAUCAACUUUGAUCUAAGGUAUGUUAUGCUACUUGUCAAUAAGUAUUGAUUCACCGUACCAAUCGUUGAAUCGUCACUUGGAACUCACUAAACAAACAUUUUCAUAAAUAAAUAAAAUAAAAUAAAAAAUCAGCUUAACAGCCCAAUGUCAUAAAUAAAAACUUUAGAAUAGUUCAAUGACCAUUUUGUAAUUUUUUGAAGUUGAGUGACCAAAACGUAAACUUAUUAAUAGUUUAAUGACCUUAAGUGUAAUUUACCUUUUCUUUUACAAAUUGUUUUUAUGCCUUGCUUUGGGAAAACAACUUCUCUGGUAGAAGGGACCAUAAAAAUGGGGGACCUCAAAUUGGGGAUAUGGAACAAAAUAAUUUUUCUUUAAACAGCUUAGAUACAUUUAACAAAAUGAAUUUGGAUCAGUUUUAUACUUUUUUACAGUAUAUAUUUCCAUUUCAUAUAUAUUUUUUAAAAUUCCUAAUAAAAAUUAUAGAUGUUGCAGAUCAAUCAUAUAACUCAUAUUUUUUUUGGUAAAGGUAAAUAACAAUCAUUUUAGGCACUAUAAAAUUAUCUAAACCUUCAUGUAGAGUUCGAAGAAUUGCAUUUAGUGGUUGUAGGAAAAUACAAAUACUCGGUUCCAGGUUAAGAGUCAUGAUAGUCAUUCAAUCCGUUAAUCGAUUCCAUUCACAAAACACGUACUUGAGUUCAAUUUUUCAAUCACAAGCAACUAGUCUUUUUAUGCUCCAUAGCACAACAUUAUCAUAAUCUAUCUCACCUUUCGUACGGAUAAGAUCCAAAGUUGUUAAACUGUCCGUAUCCAGGAGCACCCGCCUCACUUUCAUUUUCCUUGCUAGCAUCAAUCUAUUGUAGAUACCUCAUAAUUCAAUCUCAAUACUACCACAGAUCUUUAUGUCCCAUGCAAAACCAUAUUGCCCAACACAAAAACUUUUAGAAUUUUGUUGUUUCCGUAGCUUCUCUCAAUUUAUAAUUUGUAAAAACAAAAUGGACACAAAAACUUUUAAAAUGUCGAGUCAUUGUUUAGCUCGACUCAACCUAUAUAGGAAAGAUUAAUUUCAAGUUUAAUUUUUUAUUUUAGAUUUAGGUUAGAUCAGUUUUUCUUAAUGGUAUAAAUGAGAUAUUAGUACUUGCAAAUUAUUUCAAGUAUGAUUUAAUAAUUAUUGAGUAACUCAAGCCAAAUUCAAGCUUAAUAUUCAACUUAAAUGGCUAGCAAGUCUCAUAAAGCUUUUUAUAUUUUUAUAUUAUUAAAUUAUAUUAUUACCCUAUGUAUAUAUUAUUAACCCUAAGCUUAAUUAUCGAGUCAAGCUCGAGCUUCAGUACAAAAACAGGUAAAUAAACUUAAUUGAGAUUGAGUUUAAGUAGUUUGAUUAUAUCUCGAAUUGAACUCGAGCUUCAAGAAUAUGUUUGAUUAAGCUCGAACCGAGUAUUAAGCUCAAAUCUAAUAGUAUUUGGACUCAACUCGACUCGAUUACACCUCUAGACUUUUUUUUUAUACAAAAAAAAUUUUAACCGAGUCUUGUUUAGGGCUCCUAAAUCAAUUAAAAAAUAGUAAAAUGGAGAAAAUAUUUAUAUAUAAUUUUUAAAUUAAAUAUUGAUUCAGACCAUAAAUCUAAAUUAAAAGAUCAAGAUUUAAUUCCCUCUAUAAGAUUUUAAAUCAGAAAUUUUUAUUUUAUGUGAGUCGACUUUGAAAGAAAAAUUAUAACAUUUAUACUUUUUAUUAUUUAAAAAAAUAAACGGUUUGAAAAAAAAAAUCUUUAUGGAAAACGAUUAAAGAUACUGUCAAAAUCUUCGUUUUCAAUUUUCUCUGCUCAAGCUUUUUUAUUUUCUUUUUCCUAACGAAAAUGUCGUUAGGGCACAAAAGUUCGGGGAAUCCAGCCGCCAUCCUUUCUUCUCUCAUGAACAAAAGAGAAAAGCUUCAAGACGAGCUUCGCAAUAUCGAAAAGCAGGUAACAGUUUUCCUGCUUCCCCAUGGAAAAUUUUGCUCUUUCCUUUCCCUCUUUUCUGUAUAUAUAUAUUGGUAAAGAAGCUACAAAUUCGUUGAAUUUUGCUAUUAAGAUUAAAUUUCUUAAUUUAAUUCAUAUUUUUUGCAGGUUUUUGAGUUAGAAACUAAUUAUUUGCAAGAUUCGAGCCAUUUCGGGCAUGUUUUGAAAGGAUUCGAAGGGUUUCUUUCUUCAUCCAAGAACACAGCAAAGUAAUUAUAUUUUUUAUUAACCCAUAUUUUAUCAACUGCUGGUAAUUUUAAUCUGAAUUUAUUUUUAAUCAUUUAAUUGCCAGUUUGCAGAUUAUUGUCAAUUGUAUGAAUUUGAACUUCUUCGCUGGAAAAUUUUCUAGUUCUAUUGAAAGAUUAGGGUGAAAAUUGUUACAUAAGCUUGUAUUUUCAUAAUAGCUUAGGUUACAAUAACAAUACUUUGCUUGAUUAAUGAAGAUUUUGUACCUGUUUUUAUCAUAAUUAUAUGUUAAUUGAGACUCCUACUGAAUACUCUGCUGGUUGUUAAGUAUUUCAUGUUUGAUUUUCUUUUUUUCUUUUUUUUUUUGUGAUGGAAAAUUCAUGUGAACUUGUUUUUGUAUGUAGCUUGAAGAGGUCUAGGAAAUUUCAGCCUGAAGAUAGAUUGUUUUCUUUGUCAUCAGUCACGUCACCAGUGGUAUGUGAUGGAAUAAGCUUCGGUAUUUAUACAUUAAUUGUUCCUUUUACCGCUUUCUAGUUCGUUCUCACGCAGCAGAGGCAACACUUGCGAAUUUAGUGUUAGGUAGUUAGAGUUAGGAAUGCUAAUUUGGCACGUCGAGUUGCUUUUGGCGUAUGCAUAUUUGGAUGUUACAUUUUAUUGUGCGGACAGACACUAGGAGAACUUGCGGCGUAAUGUAAUAGCAACAACACAUGCUGAGAUGGUUAGUGGAAGUUUGGUAUUAGGGUUUCGCUCAAAACUUGAUUAAACUCGAAGCAUAAAGGAGCUUUUUCAGUAAUAUACCCUUCUAGGACUGAUAUGCUCUAUUUCUACUAUCUAUGAUCAUAUUAGAACAUAAAAGCAUUUAAUUGAGUGACUAAGUGUAAAGUCAGUACGGUUGAUUCUCAUCUUUAGAUUUUCUUAUAGUGUAUCUUUCUCAAAAGAAUAUCCGUUUGCUUAUUGUGUUGAGACAAACUGUUAUUUACAGUUGGUGAAUGAAAUUGUUGCUGUUUAUAUUGAUAAUGUUUAUAUUAUCCCAGCCUUACCAUGAUUGUGCAAUUGUGCUGCUCCUUCGAUUUGUUUGAGCAGAAAUCAAUUGUGCAAAAAUGGACAUGUAGUUGAGAUAUUUAUUCAGGUUUAACAAAGACUGCUUUGUUCACUUUGCUUCUUUAUGUUCAGGCUGACGAACUCGGAGUUCGACAAGAUGGUAAACCUUGUUCAUUAAGAUACUAAUGUUACCCCCCCCCCCCCACACUUAAAAUGCCAUUUUUUUACGAUGUGUGAUACGGAAUCCUCUCUGUUGCAGAUGGAAGAUCCGACUUCGGCUCAGCUCGGUCUAAGGGUGGAGGCUUAGCUGCCAAUGGCCAGUGAGUGUGCUCAUCCAUCUUUACUAUUUGGGUUUCUAUUUUAACAAGUUAAAGACUGAGUUGGUUCAUUUAUUUAUUUUUACUUUCAGAGGGAAACCAAAGAAGGGAAGGACCGCCUCAUCAGCAAGAGAUGGAAAGAGAACGAGGCCAUCAAGCGAACAAGAUUUCGAUGAUGAAGAUGACCCUGAUAUGAGCUUGAGAUAACUUAUAAAACAACCACUUAAAAUGUAAUUUUAAAUGUAGGUUUGUAGGUGUUCUUUUUUAUUACAAUUGAAGGGAAUUCUUAGUAUUAGUCUUAGGUAGCCUUGAUGUUGAAAGCAGUCGCUAGGGUAGCUUGUAUUACUUUGUCAAAUGUAGCAAAUCUAGGUAUCAUGUAUUAUGUAUAACUAUUGUAUAAUUUCCACUUUCCUGUAUCUUGAUUGAUUUCAUUGUAUUAUGUUGUUGAAUAUUCGCAUAGAAUUAUGUAUACUCUAAGCUCAACUCCAGUUGUAUAUUUUUAGACAUAGUAAUUCAUGUCGUAGCUGUUCAUUGUUUUCAGAUUUCAGAUAUUGUCGUGUUUUAAUUGUGUUUUAAAUAAUCAUUAGUUUAACGAGAGGGGAAAAUUUUUAAUUUUGCCCUCACUCGUCCGUAACGUAUUAGCUAUGUAUCUGGAUAUCGUAGUAGGAAUUUGGGAACCAUUACUACCCCAAGUGAAUCAUAUGAUCAAGGUAACGUGACCGCAGAAAACUCCAGAUUUAUGGGUAUAAAUGAGACAUUAUUAGUUCCCAAGCUGCUCGAAUUUGAUUCAAAAAAGUUACAACUCAAUUCAAUAAUGAGCUGUCAUUAAGUCAAAUUCGAGCUUAACAAGCCUUAUUCAACUUUUCACUUUUAAUAUAUUUUAUAAAUAUUUUUUUGUAAAAUUAUUUUAUUACCUUUAGUAUAUAUUAUGAACUCUAAACUUAAUUACUUAACCAAACUCAAAUAUGAAAAUUUAUGAACAAGCUUAAUCAAACUUCAACUCAAUUAGCUUGCUUAUAUCUGAGUUUGAGUUGUAAAGAUAGAUAUUCAAUCAAAGCUCGAGUCAAGUAUCAAGUUCCAAACUGCAAGUCAGGUUCGAGCUCGACUCAACUCAAUUAUACCCUAAUUGAGAUUCACAGUAAACAAUACACUAGAUAGACAAAAAAAACAAUGGUCACCAACAGUAUCGAUAUCCCAUUUAAAAUUGGAGCAUAAAAUCCGGGAUUACGGUAAAAUAUCCAAAAUAUCCAUGAACAAGUGACAAGUAUAAUGAAGAUCUCGAUCAGAGGACGUCGCUUACCAAUCACUAACAGUUCAUCUAGAACGGUUUUUUAUUCAAAACUGCAGCUAAUCCUAUUAAGGCAAACCACUCCUCUUCCAAACAGAUUAUGGAAAUGAUGAAUGCAUUCAUGAGAGGCACGAGUAUGCCAAUUCCUUCUCCUCGGUCAGCUCCACUCCAGUCAAGUCCAACUUCUUCCUCGAGAAUUCAUCAAUUGCCAGCCCUAAGACAAAAGAAGAAAUAAGGAAACUUACCAAUGAGCAUAUAUACAAUAAGACUUCACUUCAGCAAUAAGUGAUGGUUUCAUCCUCUUAGGGAAUCCCAAGGUGUGGGAGGGGAGGAGAAAGCAUCAAUAUCUUGUUCUUCGUAUUAGUUUAACACACACUGAACAAGACUACAUACAACUAACAUGUAAUGGGAUCAUAUUUUCCUGUAUUCUUACCUUGGACAAUUGUCCAUUCUCCAUUCUUACAAGUUACAGGGAAGGAAUAGAUGACCCCAGCUGGGGCAUUGUAUGAACCAUCAGAGUAAACCCCCAUGGAAACCCAUGUGCCCUACCAGUGCAACCAAAUAAAGUAAAAAAUGAGAUCAUGACCGUAUGAAAUAUCAUAUAAAAAUUAACAGAUUAACAACAUUGCCAACCUCGGGAGUUCCAAGGACCCAAUCACGAAUGUGAUCACAAGCAGCACUAGCAGCAGAUAGUGCACUUGAGAGUUUCCUAGCUUUGAUGAUUGCAGCACCACGUUGUUGAACAGUGGUUAUGAAUUCUCCAUUCAACCUUUAAUGAAUCAAUAAUUUCAAAAUGAUGUUUCAAAAAUCUCAUUUCAAAUAAAAUUAUUUCAUCAGACAACAAAUCCUGUUUGUAUUAUUUUAUUUACCAUGCAUCAUCCUUAACAAGCUCGCGAACCGGCUUUUCUCCAGAUGGAGUCAUAACAGUUGCGUGAUUGACAUCAGGAUAUUGAGUUGAUGAAUGAUUACCCCAAAUAAUCACAUUCUUAACAUCAGAAACUUGGACAUUUAGUUUCUCUGAGAUUUGACCUAGUGCCCUGUUAUGAUCCAGCCUUGUCAAACAGGUAAUGUUCUUUGCAGGGAUUGAAGGUGCAAAUUCCUUCAGGAUCAAUGCAUUGGUGUUGGCAGGGUUAGCAACAACCAAAACCUGAAACAAACAGGAAAGUCAAACAACAAGCGAAAUCUUUGAAUUGAGCAAUUUGCUACAAUUUUAACAAGUUAUAAGACCAUACGUUUGUCCAUUCCGCAAAAUCAGUAACAAAACACAAAAUACAUGACACUUCAAAGAAUUCCAAGAAAUAGAACUUCAAAAUUUCAACAAUAUAUGCUCUGAUCUAUAUACGUGGAGUUGAGACAUUUUUUUCUCACCUUGCAGUUAGGAGCUGCAUGCUGUUCCAAGGCAGAAGCCUGAGACUUGUAAAUAGACACAUUCUUUGACAUAACAUCUUUCCUCUCCAUUCCUUCCUUCCUUGGGAAACCACCAACCAUGACAGCAACAUUGACUCCAGUGCAUGCCUCAACAGCAUCAGUUGUAGCAACAACACCUGACAAAACAACAAGAGGUUAAAUCCCAAACCAUACAACAUAUUCAUACUAAUUCAGUAGAACCUAAAAUACAGCUCGAGAACACCAUUCAAAACUUAAACAACGUGAUAAUGACCAUAUAUAUACCCUUUAGAAGAGGAAAUGCAGCAUCCACCAACUCCAUUUUGACACCAUUCAAAGCCUCCGCAGCAGGUGGGAUAUCAAGCAUGUGAAGGAUCACGGGCUGGUCAGCACCCAACAUGACUCCCCUAGCAAUCAUGGGUACAAGAGCAUACCCGAUUUGUCCUGCAAAUACAACAAUAACUCUUUAACAAGUCCUUUCGAAGGGAUAAAAAAAGAGAACACCAAGUCUGAGCUAAGUUAGUCCGACUCAGGUGCAAAUAUUUGAUACAGUAUACGGAUAUCUUCAAGUACUUGAAGGAACUUUUGAGAAAGUCGAUCGCAGGUACUCCAAAAUAAAUAAGGAAUCAAAUUUAAUUCAACUCCUAAGCACUAAAUUUUUUAAUGUCGAUUCCAAACAUAGCAGAUUCCUCCAUUUUAUUUGUGACCUGAGCAAGUCAACGUACUUAUUUUUCACAUUAGCAUAAAGUUCAAAAAAUUUCAAAAUCUUAAAUCACUUCUUCCAUCAUUUAUCAUAUAAACUUCUACGAUCACUACUUUGAGCUACUAAGCACAGAUCCAUGGCAGAUCAAAAUUACUUUUCAGUAAAAUCCGACUUCUAGAGCAAUUUGUGUUCUAAUCCAAACAAUAAUCAGUCCAAUCAAAACAUCCAAAAUACGAACAGUUGAAAUCCAGAUCCCUAUUAACUAGAUCUGAAAAGAGAGAUCUGAUUCAUCCAAAAAGAAAACUAGAUCUACAGAUAAGAUUUAAGCUGAGAAAUGUUUUAAGUACAGGAUCUGAUCAAUGGAACAUAACAGUACCUGCAGCUCCAGUAACGAGGACGCGAACUGGUUCUUUCGCCAUUGAUGAAAGACUGACUAAAACGAUACCGUUUAGCAAGAAUUCAGUGGAGAGAGAGUGAGAAUGAAGAAGACUUCGAGCAGAGAGACAAAGAGGGAGAAGAAAACGCGAAGAAUCGGAGGUAUUUAUAGGCCAAAGGAAAUGAUAUUACCGAGGAAAAAUUUAUGAUAAAAACAAGUGGGCCUUUUGAGUUUUGCAAAAAAAAUCAGUGGAACGUCGUCGUUUGGAGAUGAGAGAGAAUAUAUAUGACGUUGAGAUGCAUGCGAGCAACGUUUAUUGAGCCCACACCGCAUAGAUGCGUGAGAGUAGUGGACAGUAUCAUGCGUGCCGGAACGUCAGUUAUUUUUUUUGGUAAAUUUUUUUUUAGUCCCUGUGCCUGUGCCUACGCUUAGGAUAGAAAAAAUUUAAAUCCGACAGUAGGGAUGGCAAAACUUGAACUUUUUAAUAGAUUUCAAAUGAAAUAGAAUGAAUUUUCGAAAAGUGGAUAUGGAGCAAGGUAGUGUAAAUUUUGUUUUAAUAGUGGGUACGGAGCAACUAUGGUAAUUGUUUGCCCUGUCUCAUCUCACCCUACUUCACUACAUAAAAUUAUUAUUUUGUCAUUGUAUAUAUAAAACUAUUAAACGGGUAAAAAUAUUAUGAUGGAUUUAUAAUAUUAAUAAAAUCCUUGACUGAGUUUGUGUCAUGAGUCAAUCAAACAUCAACUCGAUUAAAAGAAUUAUAAAAAUAUCUUUCUGUAAUUAAAAUAAAUUAUAUUAUUUUGAGAGUACUUUACUUUUUUUUAUUUUAAUAAAACCCAAUAAAAAUAAAUAUAUACAUGGUGAGAUUUGAACUCACGCCAAUUAAAUUAGUAAAAUCUUAAAUUUAUCAUUCAACCAAAGCUAAAUUUUAAUAUGUUUUAUACAUUUUUAUUUAAUAUGCACAAUUUAUUAUCUCAGUCAAUUUUAUAUACUAAUAAUAUUAUUAAUUGAGUUUCUGACAUAAGUAAACUUAACAAUACCUCACAAUUGAUGAAAAUGUCAUGAUAAAUAAUUGUAAUGCGUUUAGUAUAGUUAAUUUGAUGUAUUUAUGUGUUUAAACUUCGUUUUACUCACAAUUUAAUUUAUUUUUUAUUUUAAUAUAGUACAUAUUUCAUGUGUUAUUAUGAUUAAUUACUUCCAAACUAUACGUUUCAUUGUUUAUUGUAUGUUAUUUUUAAACAUAUUUAUGUUUUAAAUCUAUAGUUUACCCACACAUACGCAUGUGAUAAGAUUUCAAGUUAUAGAAAGAUGGUUAAAUAUUUUUAUGAAUAAUUAUGUUUAAAUAUUUGCAUGACUUCAAAAAUAUUAAAGAUAAGUAGCAAAACUAAAUUGUAGCACAACGGGGUGGGAAAGGUAUGAGUGCAUCCAACAUUCAUGAAGAUGAUAGUAGUUUUCAAGAUUAUAUAUCCAUGAUGAAAUAGAACAGACGAUGGAACAAAGUGUGUCUAUUGUGAAAUGAUGAUGAAUUUAGCAACAUUUAUCCCUACCCUCAUUCCAUUGCCAUCCCUACCUCGAUGAGUCCCAAUCAACCUCAAUACUAUUUUUUAUCAUAAAAUUUCAAGAUGGGGUGGGUUGAUUUUUCACUCUCUAUUAAAAACUUGGGGAUCGGGAUUAGAUGAAAUUUACUAAUCUCGAUAUAUUUACUGAAAUACUCAUACAUUAAUAUCAUAACUUUUUAUAUUUUUUAUUAUAAUUUCUUAUUUUUAUACUAAUUUAAAACAUAUAUUUUAACUUUUAUAAUUAUUUCUAUAUACUUCAUUAUAAUUUCUUAAUUUAUUAUAAGAUUUUAUAAUUUGAUAUAAUUUAAUUUCAAACUAUUAUUAAUUAUAUGUUUUAGUUACAGUUGAAAUCUAAAAAAAAAAAUCUAAAUUAUGUGGUUGAGUUAAAUUUUUUAAAAUGAGAAAUUAAUUUAAAACAUUUAUUUUAAUGUUUAAAAUUAUGUCAAUUUAACUGUGUCAAUUGUAAAGUAUGACCUUGGAGUUAAUGAUAAUGCGAGAGUUAAAUUUUGUCAAAUUAAAAAUAAGGGUAAAAAUCUUAAGUUGAAAAUAGUAUAGGGACUGCAACUGGAAUUUGACUCAAAAUUUAAAUUUAAAAAAUAAAUAUUUUUUAUCUGCUAGACUAAAGAAAAAGAAAAAGUAAUGGCUAUAAACUGAGUGUAGCAGCAGGCCCAUUGAUAUUAAAUUAUAGCCACAGAUGUCAAAUACUCCACCAGAUAUUAUUUAAAAUUACUUUUUUUUUAAAGAUUUUAUUAAAUAACUACUAUUUGUCAACGGUCCUAUACUAGAUUUUAUUUUUAAAAUGUUGUCUAAAAUCGAUUUUUUUAAUAAUCAAAUAAAAAAUGUUUAUAUUAUUUUUAAAAUUUUAAAUAUAAUUUAACAUAUUUUUUAAUGGUUAUAUAGUAUUAAAUUAUUAUAUAUUUAAUUUAUGCGAGGUGUAAUAAACUAUAAAAUAUAUUAUAAAAAUAUAAAAUGGGUCAAACUUCGAUAUUAAAUAUAGAAGCUCAAGUUUGACACAUAUUUUAAAUAAUUUUUUUUGCUCAAAUUUAUUUUUCAAAUAACAUAUUUUUGCCUAAAUAUAAUCCUAUCUUAAAACAUGUUUAGUUGUGAUUUAAUGGACAAAUAUGCCCAAAUUAAUCAUAAUAAUAAUUUUUUUGAUAAAAUAUUUUUAUAAAAUCAUAUAUCAUAUAUAUUAUAAUUUUAAUAUUAUCCUAAAUAGUCGAUACCCUAAAGCUUUGAGAUGUUAGUUUUAGGUUCGAGUCUCACUGCAUGUAGAAUUUUUUAAAAUUUAUUUUGAUUUAAAUUUUAUCAUGUACAAGUUAUGUUUAGAAUUAUUUUAAUUAUUAAUUUUGUCGUAUAUUGCAAUGAUUAAUUUUAAUUGGAAUUAUGGGAAUGCAUUAUUUUACUUAUAAUUUUACUUUUAACUUAAAAAAAAAAAAGAAGGCAAGGACUGAUUAUACAUGGAGUUUUGCGUGUGGAGGGGGUAAAUUACAUCUAAGGUUAUUAAACAUCUGAUAAAUUUUUGUUUUGGUCAUUUAAUUUUAAAAAAUUACAAAAUGGUUAUUGAACAAUUCAAAAGUUAUUUUAAGUCACUAGGCUAUUAAAAUCAACAUCAUAUGGCCUUCUCCAUUCGCACUGCUGACACAAAUAGAAAGCUUAACAACCUAGAUGAAAACUUUCGAAUAAGUUAAAAACUAUUUUGUAACAUUUUUAUAAUUAAGUUAUUAGAACGUAAACUUACUAAUAGUUCAGCGAACUUAAAUUUGGUUUACCUUCUUUUAAAGGAUUUUUCAAAUUGAGUAGGCUAGACAGGGCCAAUAUUGCCUUUGACAAUAUGGGCCAAGCUUAAUCCAUCAAUUGUUUCAAUAUUUCAAAACAACAAGUACGAACCUGCCCAAACUCAUUCCGGUCCGACCCAACCCAAUAAACCGUUCUCCACUCAUAGAGUCAUAGUUAAUUUAGGAUUUUCAUUUGUCGGUUUAUAUAUUGGGGCAGAUGCGUCUGUAUAUAUAAUUAUCCGGUAACGUAAUCAUUAAUUAUCAGUAAAAAAAAAAGGAAAAACUAGCAAAUUCCGCAAGGCAAUCGACUUCCAUUAGGGUUCUUCGAUUCCGAUUUUACAGAACUUCUUUUAUCGAAUUUGUGAAAUUUCAUCUUCAAAACCCUAGUUUCUGCUAAUAUCUUAUUGAUUCAACAUGGCUACUGCAUCAGGUACGUUCUCUAUUCUUUUUCCCCCAAUUUCUUUCUUCCGUUUUCUUUCUAUGCCGAAAGAGAGUGAAAAUUUUAAAUUUUAUCUGAUAAUUGUUUUGGAAUUUCAGUGGCGUUUAAAUCAAGGGAGGAUCACCGAAAACAGCUGGAAUUAGAGGAAGCUCGAAAAGCGGGGCUUGCUCCGGCUGAGGUUGACGAGGAUGGAAAAGAAAUUAACCCUCAUAUUCCUCAGUAUAUGUCAUCAGCACCUUGGUAUCUUAACGCUGAAAGACCUAGUUUGAAACAUCAACGGAAGUGGAAAUCUGAUCCCAAUUAUACCAAAUCUUGGUACGAUAGAGGCGCGAAGAUAUUUCAAGCUGAAAAAUAUCGAAAAGGAGCCUGCGAGAAGUAAGCGAAUCUCUUGUUCUUUUUUCUGUUAUGGUGCACCAUACUUGUUCGCGUGUCUAUGAAUGCCUUGUUUCGUGUUUUAUGUGUAUUUUAAAUUUUAGAUCGCACUUUUGAUCGAUUUUAAUCAUUUGGGGUAGAAAAGGGAGUUAGAAUUCUGGUUAUUAAAGAUGGAUUCUUGGCUAAUGUGAAGCUAAAAUUGUAGGUUAAAAUUUCGUGCAAUAUGACUUGAUGCUGAUGUUCUUCCUCGUACUGUUUCUUUGAAUUUUUCUGUUUAGCAAACAAGAAUAAGGUCGUAUUUUUUUUUUUAUAUGUUCCGUUUCUAACUAUUCAUUUGGAAGUGAUGCAAUAGAUGUUCAGUUGUACUAGUAAUGGAAUUUCUCUCUAAUGAGUGACGAGCCUAUUUAUUAAUUAUCAAAUUUAUUGACAUAUUGAGAUAGAAGUCGUUUAGGUAUUUUUGUAGGUAACCAUAUAGGGAUAGAUCCCAAUGAUAGAACUUUUUUCUGCCACAUCAGACAAUAGCUGGGUUAUGUUAACUAAUGAAGUUCAUGCUUUCUUUCGAACACAAGGCAUGGCUCAUGGAAGAUACUUAUUUAUUGAUCGAGUUGAAAGUCAGAGAUUAAUUCUGUAGCUUAUGUGUUCUAUACUUGUAAUAUGGGAUUAAAUAGUUUUAGUUUAGAUGGUGAUACUAGUUUGUGACUUUGUGCUUUAAACUCUUAUUUUGCCAUGAUUCAUAAUUUUUUAUUUCCUUUAAUUGUUUCUUAUAGCUGUGGAGCCAUGACACAUGAUGCAAAGUCAUGCAUGGAGAGGCCUCGUAAAAAGGGCGCAAAAUGGACGAACAUGCACAUUGCACCUGAUGAAAAGAUAGAGACUUUCGAACUGGAUUAUGAUGGCAAGCGUGAUAGAUGGAAUGGUUAUGAUGCAUCUACAUAUGCUCGUGUCAUUGAAAGGUAUGAGGCAAGGGAUGAGGCUAGAAGGAAGUAUCUGAAAGAACAGCAGCUGAAAAAGUUGGAGGAGAAAAAUAGUAAAAACGAGGGAGAGGUAGAGGGAGAGGGGGAGGAAGGAGAGAUUAGUGACGAAGAAGAUGAUGAUGAUGCUCUGAAGGUUGAUGAAGCGAAGGUUGAUGAGAGCAAACAGAUGGACUUUGCUAAGGUUGAGAAGCGUGUUCGUACCACUGGCGGAGGGAGCACGGGAACUGUGAGGUACAUUUAUUAUACCAUUCCUCAGCUGUAUCUUAUUUUUUAUGUAUUAUUCUUACUUAUUUUGGUUUCUAAAGAACAUUUCUUCCGUGCAAUACAAAACAAGUAUUCUUAUUUCAUAUUUGCCUUUUUCUUCUAGGAACUUGCGUAUUCGGGAAGACACAGCAAAAUAUCUUUUGAAUCUUGAUGUCAAUUCCGCAUAUUACGAUCCCAAAACUCGAUCAAUGCGUGAAGAUCCACUUCCUGAUGCUGAUCCUAAUGAGAAGUUCUAUGAAGUGAGUAUCGUGCAGAAUUUUCCCCUUUAAUUUCUUUCAUAUCUAUAUGCCACAAAGUUAAUUAAACAAUGAAUUUUGACUUGUUUAUUUGUUACCUUGCAGGGUGAUAAUCAAUAUAGGAUGAGUGGGCAAGCAUUGGAGUUCAAGCAGCUCAAUAUUCAUGCAUGGGAAGCAUUUGAUAAAGGUCAAGAUAUUCACAUGCAGGCUGCUCCAUCCCAAGCUGAACUCCUCUACAAGAAUUACAAGGUCAUUAAAGAGAAGUUGAAAUCAAAGACGAAAGAUACCAUAAUGGAAAAGUAUGGCAAUGCAGCGACUGAAGAAGAGAUACCCAUGGAGCUUCUCUUGGGGCAAAGUGAGAGGCAGGUCGAAUAUGAUCGUGCUGGAAGGAUUAUUAAGGGAAUGGUAUGUAUGGAACUUUCUGCUUAUUCUAGUUAGUUUGUGGUUCUCCCUGUCUGUUAAUUUGUAAGAAUUUCUCGUACAAAACUAUAUUUUCACAUGCUGAUGUUGGUUGCCUUAAAGACUAUCUAAAUUAAACAACAAUAUCGUUCUUUUGUUCUUCUUGCUAAAAGUAUCAUGAUAUCUUCAUGCUCUUACUAAUGCUAGAAUGCAUGCCAGUAGAUGAAAACUGUAUCGAGUGGUUAAUGACUUUUAAAAGUGAGAUGCAUCUGGAAAAUAUUGGCAAUGCAUGUCAUCCUGGUCUUUAUUUUUCCCUUUAUUUUCAUGAUUAAAGCCAUUUAAUUUUGUUUCUGACUUGUUUGAAAUAAUCUUCUUAAGUGCUUCUUUAUAGGUUAUCAAGUUAUAUGAAAUUAGUAGUUUAGUCCCAAUUUAUAUUAUAAUUUUACAGUGGCUUUUCUUUGAAAAUUGAGUGCUAAGUCCUAUAAUUCCUUUCUCCUUGCAACCAUUUUUGUAGGAAACUUCUCUUCCAAAAAGUAAGUAUGAAGAAGAUGUUUUCAUUAAUAAUCACACCAGUGUCUGGGGCUCCUGGUGGAAGGAUCACCAAUGGGGAUACAAGUGUUGCAAGCAGACCAUUCGCAAUAGUUACUGUACUGGUGCAGCCGGUAUUGAAGCUGCAGAAGCAGCCACAGACUUGAUGAAGUCAAACAUUGCUCGUAAAGCGUCCUCCGAAGGUGGGUUCUUCAUAUUGAUUACAUACAUUAAAUUAGUUCUUUAAGUCGGACUCAUUCUUCUAAGUGAUGGUCUUUAAGUUCAUAUUAUGUUGCAAAUAAUUUUGGUUUUUACAUAAAUCAUCUAAUAGAAGCCUAGAUGGUGAGCUAGCUUCUAUUUUAUAUCCCUGAAUUGCAAAGUAUCUGCUUCUUUUAGUUCCUAGAUUUUUUGCACUUCCGUCAUUUUUAAUCCUUGUACCUAUCUUCUCUAUUGGACUGCCAACUUGAAUGCAGAUGCCCCAGCUCCUGCACAGGAGAGGAAACACGUUACUUGGGGAUCCGAUGUUCCUGAGGACUUGGUUCUCGAUGAAAAACUUCUCACCGAGGCUCUUAAGAAGGUAAAUGGGAUGCAUAACAUUUACUUAACAAUCUGGUUGUAUACCAAAACGAUAUAUUGCUUAUUUUUAUGCAUGUUCAAUCUGACAGGAGGAGGAGCGGAGGAGAGAGGAGAAAGAUGAAAGAAAACGGAAGUAUAAUGUCAGAUGGAAUGAUGAGGUAAUGGUCUCCUAUCAAAGCUAAAUUCUCCAGAUAUUCUUUGCGGAGAUAUCUUGUCAUGUUACUAAAUCAUCGUGUUGGUUGUAGGUAACUGCUGAGGAAAUGGAGGCAUAUCGGAUGAAAAGGGUACACCACGAUGAUCCAAUGAAGGAUUUCUUAAAUUGAAAAGCAUGUUGAUAAAAGUAAGAACAAAUAAAAUGGAUACUUUUAGCUAUUAUGAUAUCGUCAUUGAGUUGUGAUGAAAAUCAUAUGUUCUUUUGUUUUGUUUGUGCGAUACACCAUGUAUUUUCAUUCUACAUCAAUGACAUAGGUUUCCCCUAAUAUAUCAUGUUCUCUGACAGUGCAACCAUUUAAAAUUUCUCAACCAUGCUUUAUUAAAGAGCUUGAAAGGUUUACUGAUAUGGUCAUUGUGUUGUUACCUGUGGAAAUCUCACGUUCUUUUUUAUAUUUUAUUUGUUUUUUUUUUUGCCUUUUUUUCUUCAAUUGUGAUCCCUACUCUCUUGAACCUCACCACACUACCUUUAUUAUGAUCCCUUAACCGAGACACCCUCAAUAUCCAUAUUCCCCAAUCCAUUGCCUAAGCCAAAUUCAAUGUCACCAUCUCUCCUCAUCAUUUCCCCAAACAUAAACAGCAACUCAAAACUCUCCCAUACAUUACCCAAUCAGUCGCCAUAUUCGUCACUAUUGGCCUCUCCAUCAGCACCUCACCAUAUACUCUUAAAUGAACUAUUUAUUGUUGCAAUCAUUAACCAUGACCAAAACCUUCUAAUCUCCAUGGCAUAUCUAAUCAACUCACAAGUCUCGUCGUGUCAAGUUCCUAUACAACCCCAGCAACACAGCUAUAGUGUGCAUGAGCCAGGUCGGGCUCAACUAAAAAUUUAGGCAUGUUUGUUUGGCCCAGGUUUGGUCUAAAAAUUAAGCCUAGAAUUUUGUCCAAGCCGACCCGGAUAAAAAUGUUAAAAUCCUAGUCCGAUUUGGCCCGUCCAUAUUAAUUUUUAUAUUAUUUUUUAUAUCAAAAAUACUAAAAAUAUCAAAAUUUAUUUUCAAAAAUUAUGUAUACUUAAAUAACACUAAGAUAGAUGCAAUUUAACAAGCAAAUGUCUCUAAAAUAAUAACAAAAUUAACAAAUGUCUUUAAAAUAAUAACAAAAUUAAUAAUAAAAUAAAAUUUAUAUAAUAUUUAAAUAAAAACAACAAAAUAGUAACAACAUAAUAGUAAAAUGGUAGCAAAAUAGGGAGAAAAAAUAAUAAAAUAAUAUUUGAAAAUAAAAAAAAAAUUUCUUUUAGUGAUUUGGGUUGGGCCCGGGCCAAAAAUGUUUUACUCGAGCCCGACCCGUUUUUUAAAUGAGUCUUAUUUUUCUGUUCAAGUCUAUUUUUUAAGCCUAUAUUUUUUCUUAAACCCUCCCAUAUUUCGGAUAAGCUUUCAGGCAGGCCGGGUGGCCCAACCUAUGAACAGGUCUAAUCAUGUAAUGUAUAAAUGUUGAGGGAUAAUUUUUUUGUUAAAUUAUAUUCCAUCUUAUAAUAUGUAAAUUAAGUAAAUAAUAAAAAAAUUAUAAUAUAUAACAUUUAUAAAAGGAUUUUAUAAAUUGUUGAGUAACUUUCGUAGCAUUUUUCUAUAAAUAAUAUAAGUUUUGGUUGUAACUUUAUUAUAAAUAAAUUAUGAUAAAAAAAAUUAUAACAUAUAUAAUAUGGAUACAAAUAAGUUGCGUUGAUAUUUCUUGAAAAAUAUUAUAAAUAAUUAUAUCAUAGCACUUUCAUAACAUGUAAAUAAUAAAAAAAUUUAUCAUAACUUUAUGAUUUUUUAAUAUUUAAGUAAUAUAAUUUUUUGUUAUAAGUUCAAAAAAUACAUAAAUUAUUUUUAUAAUAUAAUUUUUUAAGAUUUAUAAUAUAAUUUCUUUUUGCAAUAACUAACCCGAACACUCAUACGUGUUAAUGUUUAUAAUAUAAUUUUUAUAACUUGUAUAAAAAUAAUUUAUUAAAAAUUGGAUUUGGAUCGCGUAAUUACUCAAAUUCUCACUCUCCCCUUAAGAAUUGAAAAGUAUAAUUGAGGUGUUCUAAUUACAUCAAAUUCACACCACCCUUCAAGGGCGUAGCCGGCCCCUAAAAUGGAAAAGUUUUCAUUUAGUCCUUUUAAAAUUUUAAAUUAGUAAAGAUAAAAUUACACUUUGGCCCCCUUGAAAUGAUAAAAAUUUGAUUUAAUCCUUUAAAAAUUAUAAAGAUAGACUAUUGAAAUGGUGAAAUUAUAUUUUUAUUAUCAUAGAAAUUACAAUUUAAUUUUGCCUCCCCUAAAAAAAAUUCUAACUUCACCUCCGCCACCAUUAUGUAAUUACAAAUAAUUAUACCCAAAUUCAAUUAUUAAAUAACUUUCUAAAUAUUACAAAGUAUGAAUAUAGAUAAGCCUUUGAAUAAUUAAGGUUAUAGAUUAUAAUCGAGUCUAAAGCCAAGGCAUUUUGGGAACACAACAUCUCAAAAAGAAGGUCUUAUUGGUGAAAAUAAAAAGAUAGAGAGAUGCGAGAUCUCAAUAUCUUACUUUGCUUUUUGAUAAUCAAUGUGAAAAAAGAAAGAAAGAUAGAGGAAACAAAUUGGGGGUAGGCUUUGGAUGGUUGCCCACUUUCCGGAUCUCCAUUUUGAUCUUCCAAUUUGAAGCUAAUCCCACUAAUUAAUCUCAUUUCUACAAAGUGAUUAGGGCAUAUAUAUUGUUUAAAAAGAUUUAUUCUAUUUGUUUCUUUGUCAUUUAAAGAAGCAAACCAAGAACAAGAAUUUGGAUGAUGCUAAAUUUAAAUAAUAAAUAAUUACCGAUUAAGUCUUAGCUCGAUGCGAGAGGAUAUGGGUUUGAGUAUGCUGAAGCGCAUUAUCCUCCUGUUUAUGAGUUGGAGAGAGGUUAUGGGUAAUUAUAUGCAUUAUGUUAAAAAGAGUAAAUAUGAUCAGAACCUAUAAUAAAGUUAUUUAAAAAAAAACAAUAAAUAAUUAGAGAUGCUAUUCGACCCAAUAAUAAUUGAUUUCAAAUUCUCAAGUCUAUGGUGAUUUAGGGAUACAUUGGAUUUCACCAUAUAUAUAUAUAUAUAUAUAGUAUUAAAAAAUACAACUUUAUUGGUCAAAUUUUUCGUUUAACACCUAUACAACAUAGAUUAUAAUAUAUAUUUUUUAAAAAGAAUAACUAUAGUGGCAUAUAUUGCAUUAGUUGCCAAAAAUGUAAGGGACACGGUGGAUUAAGCACUGGUGAAUUAUAAAAAUAGGAUAAAGCUCGAAACAGUAAACGCGAUUAGCAUGACUCGAAUACAAGUCACAUUUGGGAUGGUGAACAUCCUAAUUAUCAAGUCAUCACAUGGGACUCAAGCACCAGUUUAUUGGUAUCUUAUACUUAAAUUGUGUUAAUUAAGUGAUUAUCUAUGCUACAUAUAAAAUGAUUGAUUGAGAUGAUGUUGAACUUUUGGUGCAAGAUUGCAAUAACUACACAAUACAUCAUUACACCUUUUGGUUAAUGUAAUUUUGGUCCUUAAAUUUAGUUAUUAAGAUCAAUUUGAUAUUUGUACCUUUUUUUUUUGUUUACUGCAGUACUUAAAGAAGUAAUUUUUUCUCGUUUUGCUUCUUGAAUUUGGAUUAUAUGAAAGAGUAAUGAUAUGGUAUUUAGAGGUUGGACCUGAAAUUUAAAUUUAAAUUUUUUUCAAGUGACUUAAUUUUAUAUUACUACAUUAUCACAUUCUUAUGCAAUCCAAAUUCAAAGAGUAAUCUGAACUUAAUUACGAAGUUCAAGGAUAAAAAAUUUAUAUCAACCUAUAAUUUAUUAUAAACACGAAUUUAUGUAUCUUCUCUAAAUUAAAAUUCAAAGUUUGAAUUUAUUAGAAGUUACUUGUUAAAAAAUUAUUACAUAAACAAGAUUAAAUUUUGAGUUGGAUCAUUAAGAGUUAAUUGAUUAAUUUAAAAUUGAAAACCUUGUGGUUUUUCGUUCGAGUCCCAUCAUGUAAGAACUCCAUCCAAAUUUAUCUUUAGUUUAAAAUCGAAUAUAGUUUGAUUAUUAAUACGAGAUUCUGAUUAUAUUAUUAAAUCAAUAUGAAAUUAAGGCUAAUUUUUUUUCGUAAAUCUUAUUCUUCCAUUGUAAUGAUUGAGAAAGAAAUUAUUGGGAAAAAAAAUCAGAUUUAAAUGAAAAAUGCAAAAUAGUUUACUAUAGAAUCCAACCUUAAUACAGUAGUUGAACUGUGGAAGUCAUUUUCAUUAAUAAGUGAAUGCUUCUAUUCUUGAAAUUAGCUACUUAUGUUGUCCAAAUUUUCAAUCAAAAGUAUAUAUACUUUUAGACUACUAAUCAAUCAUGUGUAUUGUCGAAAACUAUCUUUUCCCAAAAUUUAAAUGCUAAUAAUUUCAGUGGUUUAUUAAAAUCAUUUCAUUUAAAAUAUAUAUAUAUAAUUUCCAUUUGAUAAAUUUAAAAUAUAAUUAAUAUAUGUAGAAGAAAAUUACUUUCUUGUGUAAAUAGAAAAUUAUAUUGUUUUGCAUAAAAAAAAAUUAUAUUUUCCCCUUGCAUAUUUUUACCAUUCAUAAUUUAUAUCUAUUUAAGAGUUAACCUAAUUUUAGUUACUUGAUUCAAACAAAAAUCUUGAAUUCAUUCCUGCUGAUGGAUUGGUAGUUAAGGAUGUUCACACCAUAAAAUUCACUCGGGUUUGAGUUUUUGAGAAAGCAGUCAUAAGUGCAGCUCCUUGAGUCCUUGUUGGACGCGGUGUAUACAAGUGAUGUGGGUAUAUCCCAACUAUACGUGUAUGAGUACAAACUCUCUAAUUGUACAAUAUGUUUCUUUGGUCGAAUUUUGGAUAAGAUAAUUUGUAAUUGGCUUAAUACAUUAUUUGAUUUCCAAGUUUGACAUUUUUUAAUAUCGUAUUUGUGUUGUUUUGGUCUCUUGUAGUACAUAUAUUUGAUGAAAAUUAUAUAUUUUGAUACCCGAAACUAAUAGUGUUAACUUUUUAGUACUUAAUUCAAAUUUUAAGAUUGAUUUGACGAAAAUUCAUAAUUGAUCAAUAAUAUUAACAAGCAUUUUAUUGUAAAUAUAUCUUAAUUUACUUUUUAUAGAAUACACAUGUUUUAUUACUUAAAUUUAUUAUAAAUACAUAUUAAUUUAUUUUUUAUACAGUACACAUUAUUUUACCACACGGAAGGAACCUAAGCAUCGAAUUAGGGUUUGAAACUGAUAAGAUCAUAAAAAAAAAAAAAAAUUUGGAUGCGAUCUUAAAAUCAAUUUAAAGAACUUUCAGACCACUACCUUCCCUAUCAACACAUCGAGUAGCAUCCUACCAAAGCUAGUUUCUUCAAGAAAAGACUGGUGAUGACUGAUGGGAGAUGGUUGCCAAAGCCACGUGGGGGGUAGAUUUUACUAUGAAAAAUCCCAAAUUGGAAGUGGAAUGGAAAGCCACAAAUUAGGGUUUCAAAAAAAAAAAAAAAACUGUUGCCACAUGAACUGUUUGUGAAUCAACUGUUGCUUGACUGACUGAUGGUUCCGGGUGAUGCAAGUUAUGCCCCCAUUUUCAAAGUUACAAGAUUUCCUAUUUCAUAAUUCUAUUAUUUAUUAAAACACAAAAUCAUUUAAAGACGCAGUUUGUAAUAAUUAAAAAAGUAUAUUGAUUCAAACGCGUUUAAAUUUAUACAUGUCGGUUCGAGAGAAUUCACUCUCCCUACUUAAAAAAUCUUACUCGACUUGAUUUUAAAUUCAGACAGACUCGUUGUAAUUAUCGAAUAUUGGAGUGCGACUAUAUCACGCUAAAAAUAUACAUCAAAAUUAUUGACAAAGUUCGAAGGGGUAAAAUGGUCAUUUGAGAAAAGGUGUUGUCAAUCAAAAGAAAAGGGUGAAGAAACAAAAUCAUGUUAUUCCCCCAAAUAGCUUUAUCCUGUCUCCAUCAUCUUUUCCUUCCUCUUUCCAUUUCCAAAAAAGCCCUAGACACACUCACUUAUUUCCACUUGCAUCAUUCUCGGUACCUAUUAUUAUACAUUUCAAAAUAGCAUUUUAUUUAGGCUAUAUAAAAUCUAAAUUCAAAUUUUCAAAAUCAUAUUUCUAAACAUAACAUUUUAAUUUAAUUAAAUCUUAAUUCAAUAUUUUGUAUCUUAUUGUAUGCCAUGCUCAUAUUUAAAUUAUAAUUUUUUUAUAAAAAUAUUGAUACAUUUCAAUCAUGUCACACUAUAUAUAUCAUAUUUUAUUCUUCCUAUCAUAUUAUUUCUUAUAUUGUACACAUAUUUUAAGUCACUACUUUAUAUAAUUAUAUCAAGCUUAAAGUUACUAAAUUUACACAUACAUAUGUGUAGAUUUAUGCUAAAAUACUACCUCUCAGAUAUAUAUAUAUAUAUAUAUAUUAAAUUAUAAUUAGAUUGUUCGAUAAAUAUAAUAUUAAAAUAAAAAAUUGAAAAUAUUUUUUAUUGAGUGAAUCUUUUAUAGAAAAAAAUUGCAUCAUAUUGUGUUUUUUUUAUUAUAGAUUAUAAAACACAUGUAAAAAAUUAAUUACUAAAAAUAUUAUACAUUCGUUUGACACGGGUUGAAACUAUGUGACCCCCAUCUCUUACUAUUAAUAUUGUAUAAAAAAUAUUUAUUUUUAUUUUUAUUUUCAGCAAUCAACUAAAUAAAAAUGAUAGAAAAUGGCUUAGUUAAAACUUUAUUAAUAUUAAGGAUAGGUUUGAACGGACGAUACAUUUACUUGCGACAGAUAAUUCUUUAUUAACACUAAGGUGGGUUUGGAUGGGUAGUGCUUUUACUUGUGGUUAGUGUAAAAAUAACGGUAGCGGUAAGAUUAAAUACUAUAACAAUAUUGUAAUAUAAGACAAAAAGUAAAUUAAAAAUAUCGCACCACACUGCAUCUAACCGUCCAUCCAAACUCACCCUAAUUUUAGAAUUCAAAUUUCACACAAAAAUGAUGAGAACCUUUCAAGUUAUCUAGGAAAGAUCAAACAAAAAAAGAUUGAAAAAAACCUCAAGGUAAAAGAAAGGGAGGCUCACUCUACCCUACCUUUACUAUUCUUUUUUCCUCUAAUUUCCCUCUCCAUUCUCUCUCUCUCUCUCAUGAAUUAAAUUAAUAAUAUGUUCUUCAACCCUCCCUCUAUAUGCCCUUCUCAUCCCAUUAUUGAGUCCCCCCCCCCCUCCUUUGUUAUGUAAAUAUCUCACUUUUUUUUUUUUUUAAAUUUCACCUUUUUAGUCUCUUCAUUCAUCACCUUCGAUCUCUAUAAUCUUCACAUAUUUUUAUAGCAUUAUUAUUAUUUAUCCUAUAAUUUUCAGUUCAUUGUUUACUGUUCAUCUUCCUCCACUAGAAAACUUGUGUUUUGAUGACUUUCUUUGUUCUCAUGCUGAAAAUCUGAAAUCUUUUGUGUGUUUGAAAUUAUUACUGUUUCAGUCCUUUUGUUUUUGAUUUCCUUUUGUUUCAGUCCUUUUCUUUUCAAGCUAAGUGUUGAUCAUAUAUGGAUUCUCUUCAGGGUUUCCAAACAGCAAAUAUAAACCCUUCUUCCACCACCAAUUUGAAUCCAAAUUUCCCUGCAAACCUCUCCAUCACCACCGUGGGAACCACCGCCGGCGCCACCACCAACACGAUCCCUUUAUCAGCAGCCGCGGCCUCCUCCUCCUCCUCCUCUUCUUCCACUUCUCCUUCGACACUCAGUCGCUACGAAAACCAAAAGCGCCGUGACUGGAACACGUUCGGGCAAUACCUCCGCAACCACCGCCCGCCGCUCUCCCUCUCCCGCUGCAGCGGCGCACACGUCCUGGAGUUCCUCCGCUACCUCGACCAGUUUGGGAAAACCAAAGUCCACACUCAGCUUUGCCCUUUCUUCGGCCACCCUAAUCCCCCGGCCCCAUGCCCUUGCCCUCUCCGCCAAGCUUGGGGAAGCCUCGAUGCCCUCAUCGGACGCCUCCGAGCCGCCUUCGAAGAACACGGCGGCAAACCCGAAGCAAACCCUUUCGGUGCCCGAGCUGUUAGGCUUUACCUACGUGAGGUUCGUGAUUCACAAGCUAAAGCAAGAGGCAUAAGCUACGAGAAGAAGAAAAGAAAACGACCCCCUCAUCCUCAACCUCAAGUUCCUCCUCUUCCACCUCCCCAUGGCAAUCAAAACCAGUAAGAACAUAUAUAUAUAUAUAUAUAUAUAUAUAUAUAAAUGGAAAGACGUAAUCAUGACCCAUCUGCAUGGCAAAAGAACAUGGUUUUUCCAUUGUUCCUUUAUAUUUUUAUUUUAAUUAAUGUCAUUUUAAUUUGCACCUAUAAGAUCCUGCUGUGAAUCAAAGCAAUUCCUUUUUGUUAAUUAAAACAAUAUUUGCUUAGUUCUGGUUUCAUAAUACUAGUUAAUUAACUAAUAUUUCUUCUUUUUUUCUUCACAAGAAUUUAUAUUAGAAAAAAUGGGGGGCAUGAGGAAAAUCAGAUACUAAAAAGGAAGUCAAGUGUCGGUUGAGUUAAAAGAAGCAUUCCUGUUUUAGUAUCAUUUAUGUUCGUCGUUUUUGCCUUCUUUCUAAUUUCUUAUCUUUUGCUUGCCUUCUCUGUGUUUGACAAAAGAUCUAUAAUUGCUUUCAAUUGUUAUAUAAAUAUAUAUAUAUAUAUAUAUGUAUAUAUAUGAAUAUGAAGUAAAGUGAAAGGAAGAGACUAAACGUGUUAACCAAAAAGCUGCAUCAGACACUCGAAACAGUGAACUAAAACAGUUGUUUCCAUGUUUUUUACAAAACAUGGGAGUUUCCAUUUCUUUUUUUCAAGAACAAAAGUCCCAUUAAUCUGCAGAAAUAUCAGGCUUUAAUACUGAUGAUGGGGUCUUCUUUCUCUUGAUAACUAGCGUUCAAACCUAGUUCAUUGUCUGAUUUGGUCAAUUUUCAUCUCACAUUUACCUUGUCAUAUGUUUUCAGUGGAAAAAUCCCUAGUCAUAUGAACCCUAAUAAACAGCACUGAAAAAUAUUAUAUAUGUAUAAUCAUAUAUGUUUGAUUAGGUCAAGGAUUUUUAUAAUAGUUGUUUUUUUAAAGAACAAAUGUGUUUGGUUUUCAUGUCUGAAACAUGUUUUUGUUUGGGGUUUUAUCUAUGCAUCUUAGAGAGAUAUGUCUAAUGGAACAUCAAUUUAUGAUAUUUUUUCCCACUAAAUUUAAGAAUAAAUUAAGAAAGAAUGACAUCUAUAUAUUAUAAAAAAAAUUUGAAAUUAUAGUGUGUCAUGCUAAGUACCUAUCUAUAAUAAUAUUUAUUAUAUUUUUUUGAGUUUCUGAUCAUAUCUGUUUUUUUACACAAAUCUUAGAACUAUUUAUAACCCAUUUCCAAUUCAUAUAUAGAAGGAUAAUGCGCUUUAACGCACUCGAACCCACCUCCACCUAUAUUAGAAAUAAUGUACAUACUAAUCGAAUUAACACUAAAUCCACAUCAAUUUAUAAUAUUAAAAUUCAACAAAUAUUAGAAAGACUAUUAUUUUACCAGACCUUGGUCAUCAAUAAUAAUUUAUAAUAUUAAAAUUCAACAAAUAUUAGAAAGACUAUUAUUUUACCAGACCUUGGUCAUCAUAUUCAAUGAAUUAUUAAUUAAAAUAUUCAAAUUGAUUGAUUUUUUUGGUAUUUUUUAAUGCAUGUAUAGAAUAUUUCAAUUAAUAAUUCAUUGAAUUUGAUGCUUUAAUCUUAUACUGAUUAGAAAAGCUAAGAUUCCGGUGUUUGUUUAAUUGUUUCAUGCAAAUGUUUAUAAGAGUUGAGAUUUAAUAUAUUUGAAAAUCAAAUUUAAACAUUUAUAAUUUUUUUAAAUAAUAGAUGAAUAUAUAAAAAUAAAAGAAGGAAUUAUACGAAACUGUGUAAUUUCACGAUAUUAGUAUUCCUUUUCAAUAAGAAAAUAAUAAAUUAGAUUUUUUCACCUGAAAAAAAAAUUAAAAAUGCUAAAAAUUAAGAGUAAAAAUUUGAUUUGUCAUUCUCUCAUUGGGAAAGGAUAAAGAUAACAUGGAAUCACAGUCUCAUAUAAUCCUUUCUCGUAAGAAUAAUGAGUUUGGUUCUAGGUGUUUGAAAAUAUUUUUUCUAGGUAAAGCAAUCCUUUCUCCUAUUGGUAUGCAAGUAUAUAUAAAUGAUAGCCAACCUGGAAUUAUAUAUAUGAAUUUAUAUUUGAUAUAUUAAUGUAGUUUUUGAAAAGAUAAAACGUGCUUUUAGUUCUAAUAAUAUAUAAAUUUAUAUAUUAAUUAUCAGAAAAUCAAAUAUAUAAACUAUAUAUAUAUAUAUUUAUUGCCUAAUUCACGUUAUUGAAUAUUAAAAUAAGGGAAGCAAAAGUCUCACACAAACUCAAAAGAAGAAAGCACGAAUUUUUUUUGAUAAAUUAGACAUGAAAAAAAUAUGAUGAGAUUACGUAAUAAUAUAGGAUUAAAUCAAUGAAUAACGUUAUAGAGACGGAUGGACGGAGAUUUUCAAAAAUAAUGUUAAAGUAAAUUUUGAUUUUGUGUAAUUUUAUAUAAAAAUUGGGUAAACUAUAAAAAUAGUCACUUUUGUUUGUCUCAGACUACAUUUCAGUCACUUACGUUUGAAAAGUUACGUUUUAGUCACUUACGUUAUCGUUUUGUUACGAAGUGAUCACUCUAUCGUUAAGCUCCGUUACCUCCCUAACGGCGGUCCUACGAGGCAGUCCAAAUGGGUUUUAAUUAUCAACUUGGAUGUCCUACGUAACAGUCCAAAUUGAAUUUUAUUUAAUUAAAUCCCAUUUGGACUGCCACAUAGGACUUCCGUUAGGGAGGUAACAAAUUUUAACAGUAGUGUGACCGCUUCGUAACAAAACAAUAACAUAAGUGACUAAAAUGUAACAUUUUAAACAUAAGUGACUAAAAUGUAAUUUGAGGUAAACAAAAGUGACUAUUUUUGUAGUUUACCCUAAAAAAUUUAUUUGAUUUGGUUUUAAUAAUUAGUUAACACAAUUAUCGAUACAGAAUUAUUUUACGUUUAUAUAUUGUAUACACAAAUAAUUAUAUUUAUCUAAAAUAUAAAAAAAAUUAAUGUAUUUAUUUCUUUAAGUGUAUAUAAUUGAAUUAAAAUCAACAUUUUAUCUAUAUAUUUGAACCACAAUCAAAGUUUCGUGUGUAUGAUUGAACAAAAUUAAAGUUUAUGUAUAAUUUUGAGAUUCAUCAAAAAAAUAUCAUAUUAAAAUUAGUAAUAAGUAUUAUGAAAAUGAGAUAAAAUGUAAAAUAUUCGAGCCAUCAAUUGAAUAUUAGUUCACUUGGUAUUAUUUUUGUCGCAAUAAUUUAGAGGUUGUAGAUUUAGUCGUGCUUAAACGUACAAUAUCCACAUACGAAGGGAUUAUGAAAUAAAGGGUUGACUUGUAAGGGAGGAGAUGAAAGAAAUAACCAUUAAAAUACUUUUACAUUUGUAAAAUUAUGGAAUAUUAUUAUUUGAUAUGAUUAUAGUGUCGUCCAAUUUUGUUUUGCAGUUUAUAAAUAUUGAUUUUUUUCGUGGUUUGUAAUUACCCCUUUUAAUAAUAUUAUUUUUAAAUUUUCUUCCUGAUGGUGUAAUGUAUCUUAUUAUUGCAACCAUGUUAAUGCAUAUAUAAUAUUUUGUUUGAUCGCUUGGAUGUGUUAAAAACUAUAUUCCUUUCUUUUUUUUAAAAAACUUAAAAUGAGUUUAUUUGAUGUAUUUUUUAUAUACAAUUCUUAAAUUACACAUAAACUUGUUUAAAACUCUUAAAUUAAAAUAUAUUUCACAUUUAAAUGUGCUCGGUGCAUAUUCUCUAAUUUAUUGUAAUAAUAAUGGUGUUAACUAAACUAAGAUUCAACAAGAAUUAAAUUUUAAUUGGAUAUAGUCUUAUAAAUUAAGAGAGUUAAAUUCAAUGUUAUUUGAAUCGGCUAGAUUUGAUCGGUCAAACAGAUCAAGUCAAAAAUCGGUUCGAACAAAGAUUUUAGACCGACAAACCAUUCAAUCAAAUUAAAAAAUCAAUUAAUUAAUCGACGAUUAAAUAAUUUAUCAAAUCGAUUAAACUGUGGAAGAUCAAAUUAACUACCGAUUCGCCUCAUAGGAGAAAUAAAACAAAAGGUGGCAAAAUCAAAUGCAUAAAACGAAAGAAUACGAGAAUUGAGCAAUUCCCCUAUUUAAUCAUUUUUCUUGGCCACUGUGCAUCAGCCCUCACACGUGCUUUCCUGUCAUUCUACCAGCAUGGUAUCGAAUACGAUCAAAACACGUGGAAGAAGAUCAACCGUUUGAUGCAAUUUACACCCUCCCCACUGGUGACAGUCAGAAAAUGAAAUUGUCAAAUUUUUCAUGUCAACAAUCUAAGUCAGUGAUUUUCUUAUGAACGCUUCCCCUUUUCAAACAGUUUCGGGAUUGGGUUGUCUCAAUUUUAUUAUACUUUUUUUAGAUUUUUUCUUUUUAUUAUUUCAUGAAAAUUAAGCCUUUUUAACUUAAUACCAUGGCAAAACACUAAAAAAGGUCCAAUUUUUAAAAAAUUUACCGAAAUGGGUCCGGUAAUAAAUUAAUUACCGGAUUGGCUCAAUUCUCCGAAAGCGCGUCAACGUCAACGCGAUGUCAAGGGACGUGGCAGGAAAACGCUUCCUCAAGGAAGCGCUUUGCCUACGUGGCAACAAAGCGCGCCCUCAAGGACACAUUUUUCUGCCACGUAAGCUCUGCCCUAGGGACUCGUUUUGGCCACGAGUGAAUAGUAGCAACGACUACUUUUUUUACCGUUGGUGACACCCCAACUGUAAAAAAAAAAAACUAUAAAACCCCCCACCCUUUCAUUUUUUUCACAAAUAAUUAAAUCAUUUCUCUAAUUUCCUCUCAAUUUGCUCUCAAUUUCCUCUCAAAUUUCUCUCAAAUCCCUAUUUAAAAGAGCUUUAAUUUUUUAAUUAUUUUUUUAAAAAAAUUUAAAUUUUAUUUUUUUGAUUUUUUUUAAAUCGUAAAAAUUUGUACGAAUUUAGCAAUGGCCGGAGAAUUAUUCGUCUUGAUGACAAUCACAUAUCCGUCGAACAAAUGAAAAUGGUAAGUGUUAAAUUUAAUUUUUAAAUAUUAUUUAAGAUUUUUUUAUUUAUGCAAUUUUAAAUAAUUAUUAAUUUAUUAUUUGUUAUAAAAGUUUGUAGAUUGGAUAUUGCAAUGCUAUAUCCAUAAUAUGCAUGACCCUCCAUCACCGUUGGUAGAGAAUUACCUGCGGGAAGCGGGUUUUUGGCACGUGGCAACGGUAGGUCGGGGAUGCAAGUUGGACCCAAAACUUAUCAGUGCGUUGAUUGAGAGGUGGAGACCCGAGACGCACACAUUCCAUCUUCCACAUGGAGAGUGCACUAUCACUUUGGAAGAUGUGAAUCUGCAAUUGGGAUUGCCGGUGGACGGGUACCUAGUCACCGGGUCUGUUCAAUCUGGCGAUUAGGGAACGGUAUGCUACGAGCUUUUAGGCGCUAUUCUGGAGAAUAUUAAUGGAGGUCGGAUCGAGAUGGGCUGGUUACGAGACACAUUCCAGGAUUCGGAUGAUGAUUCAACCGAACUAGAAAGAAUCUGAUAUGCUCGGGCAUACAUUAUUCAGAUAAAUGGAGGUUAUCUGAUGCCAGACUUGUCACGGAACCUCGUACAUCUAAAAUGACUGCUGAAACUCAUUGAUUUUAGAGCAGCCGAUGAAUUGAGUUGGGGAUCGGUCGUAUUGGCAACACUGUACCGGGAGAUGUGCGGGGUGACGCGACCGAAUAAAGCGAAAAUCAGAGGUUGUCUGUCACUACUGCAGUCAUGGGCACGGUUUCACAUUCUAUUUUUACGUCCUCGAAUGGACCACCCAUAUACAUUCCCACUCAAUGAGGUAAAUUUUAUAUUAGAUUUUACAAUUAUUACGUAGAUUUAAAAUAUAAUAGUAUGCUAAAAAUUUAUUUAAUUAGGUGGAACCAUCCGGCAAGUUAUGCUGGAUUACCUAGCUGUCUUGAAGAUAUACGGCUUCUAUUAGACCAAAAGUCGGAAGCACAAGUAUUAAAUAAAAUUGAUAUUUCCAUCAUGAGCUAGUCGAUUGGUAUUUAGUAUUUAGUAUUAUGUAUUAUGUAUAUAACUAAUAUUUCCAUCAUGUUCAUAUAGUUUGAAUGGAUACCAUACGAGAAUUUGGCAAUUCGGGCAGUAAUUUCGGAUGAGUACUUUCAAAAUCCAAACGCUUGACACGUGAAAGUCACGUUGGUCAACUAUGCGACCGUGGAGAUGCACUAGUCAGACAGAGUAUUACGGUAAUUUGGAUUCCGACAACCGAUUCUCGUGGCACCUGAGGUGUUUAAUGAUCAGCACAAAAUCGACCUACGACAAUUGCAUACGGAUUGGCCGAGAUUCUGGUCAUACUACAUCCAAAUAUGGGAAGAUAAGUAUGAUUAUAUACCUACUCGGGAACCGAUCAUCGUUCCAGAGUUAGCGUGCGUGUUGAAAUACAUGCCAUGUUUUAGGAUCCAUGGUAAGCCGUAUUUACUGUCGGCAGAGGAGAAGCAGCAGCAAUUACAUGUCCAAAGGGAACGACAUGGCUUUUUUAAAUCCAAGACGAAGGGACGACGACGCAAGCCCAUCAACGAGGCCUAGACAUUCACCCGGCCCAUCAUCAGCGGCCAUUCAAUCACCAGGCCCAGCGAGAGCACCAACACAGUCACCCGACCCAGCAGUUCAACCGACAAUACCCACGGUACAACCUUUUCAGAUGAUGCCAGGUGCGUAUCCUAGCCCUUUUAUGUAUCCUAACCCUUAUAUGUUUCCUUUUUCGAGUCCUAUAACAGGUCGGAGUUCAUGGCCUGGUUCAUCUCCAUUUUCCGUUACACCGAGUGGACUGUCGAUGUAUAGGCCAACGUCGCACGAGGGAUCGCAAGAGGGGCCGUCAUGGAGCUAUUCUUUUUACCAAUCCCAGUCACCAUAUGGGUUUCAAAUAGCUUCGCCGUUGGUGAUGCAAACACCUCCACAGUCACUAUUCUAUCAGGGUGGCUCAUUGUCCCAACAUCGACAACCAGAUACCCUACCGGAGGAACCAGAAUCCCCACCGGAGCAACCAUAACCCCCGCCGAAAGCUGGACAAAGGAGGAAUCCAGCGCGUAACCAUCGACGGCCGCCAUGUGGCACUGAAUCCGGCGGGCACGGAGAUUGAUUUUUAUUUUAAUAUAUUUGUACCAACAUUUUGAAUAUUUUGAUAUUAUUUGAUGUAAUAAAAUAGAAAUUCUUCUAUAUUAUUUCAUGUACUAAAAUAGAAAUUUACUUUUACAUUUUUAAUAUAAUAGAAAUUCUUUUAAAUAAGGUAAUAUGUUGAAUAUUUGUUUUGAAUACGUUGUUUUGAAUAAAGUAAUUGUAAUUUACUUUAAUAUUUUUAAUAAAAUAGAUUUUCUUUUAAAUAAGUCAAUAUUCUGAAUAUUUGUACAAAUUUUUGAUUUAAAAAAUAUAAAUAAUACAAAUUUUUUACAAUAACGUUCAACUAUUGCGAUUUGGGCAUGAUCAGCUUGUAUGGGCUGAGUUCCUUGAAAUUUUUUAACUAUGAUGUAAAAAUUAAGGCUAAAGGGUCUUUAAAGUCCCUCAAGUUUUUCCCAAAAAAAAAUCAAUUUAUUGAUAUGAUAUACUUAGACUACUAAUUGUAAUUCUAUAGAAUGAUUGGAUUUACAUUUAACUUACAAUGUGGAUAAUUAUUUAAUUUCGAUUAUUUAGAUGUAAUAAACAAAAUUGAAAUUUGGAAAAGAAGAAGAAAUCAUGAGUUGUAACUAUUUCUUAAUUAGCAAAAGUAAAAUACUUUGUUUAAAUAUUAAAAAAUGAUUGAUAUGAAAGAGAAGAUAGUUGGCAUCUUUUUUAUUACCAACUCAAUUUCAUUUUAAUCUUCUUUCUACUUUCAAUGCCUUCAGGUUGAUGUUUCAAACCUUCUUAACCAUUCUUUUCUUUCUUUACUGUUUUUCACUCUUUCAUUUCUUCUUUGUUUUCUUCAUUUCUUUUUGCUCCCCAAAAAGAAACCCCUAAUUUUGAUUUGGAUUUGAUGAUUUGUUUGGAUUUGUUUAAAUCCAUUCUUUUAUUUCAAUUUUUUUUCUUAUUUAUAACUAUUUCUUGGGGUUCGCAAAUCAAUACUAGUUUUAAAUUGCUAAAAAUUAAGGAAAAUAUCAAUGAAUAGUGAAUCUAUGCAUCCACGUGAGAGCUUUUAUCAUGAGCUACUGUAGCAAAAGCGCGUCCACGUGGGAGCUUUUUUCAGUACUUCUGCAGACAAAGCAUCCUGCUUAAAGCGUUUUUGACACCGUUUGCUCAGAAACGUCUACUCGAAAUUAUUUUAUCAAGAGCCACUGUAGCCCUAAUCUGAUUUUUAAAUUUUUUAAUUAAAUUAGUAACCCUAAACCCUAAUUUAAUUGAUUUUUUCUUAAAAAAUAAUAAACACGAAAACUAAUCCAAUUCUGAAAAAUUUAUAAUUAAUUUAAUUGGCAAGCCCUAGACCCUAAUCCCUUAUUUAUUUAAUUUUUCUCUAAAACCCUAAACUUUAAAACACCCAAACCCAAACCCUAACCCUAAACCAAAAACCCACUACACAGGAGACGCGGGCAAAACGCAAACCCACUAUGCAAGCCCUUAAGGGAGCGAUUUCUAUCCAUGUAGGCAAAAUGCUUCCUCAGGGACGUGUCCUGCCACGUCCCCUGACAUCGCGCUGACGUGGACGCGCUUUCGGUGAAAUGGGGUCAUUCCGGUAAAUAAUUAGUUACCGGGCCCAUUUCGAUAAUUUUUUUUAAAAAGGACUUUUAUAUGUAAUUUGCCCUUAAUACCACUCUUUUGAAACUAUUAAGACACUCGAGUCUUCAUCAUAUUUCUCAGGAAAAUAAUAAACUCUCAGAUAAGACCAUUAAGACAGUACGAGAUAGGAGAAUUGAUUUAUGGUUGGUUGAUAAUCCCCUUAAGAGAGAUUAUUUAAUUGAUUUAUAUUUGAGUUAUAUUUACUUUUCCACCAAAACAAAAUUCUACCUCCCACUUAAGCUAUUCAUUAAAUUCGUUGAAUAUGUUGGAAAAAAUUGUUAAUUGAUCAAAGGCUGCUUUCUGCAUAGUUAGUGUGAAAAUGCGCUUAGUUGGACAAAUUUUACUACUGACAUGUUAAGGAAAGUGCACUCAGUUAGACGUGCUUUCUUUAUAAUUAUCAGAAAACUCGUCCAGUUAUGCGCGCUUUACUUAACAUGUCAGCAGAAAAGUUCAUCUAGUUGAAUGCGCUUUCUUACUCUCUUUCCAAAACGAUUUAUUUUCCUAAAUUUAAAAAAAUUCGACCUAUUUUGCAAAUUAAUAUUUUUUUUCAGAAUAUUUAACUAAGCCUAAAUUAUCUUACAUUCAUUUGAUAAUGUAACGUUUUUGACAAUUUUACAUCUUUUUAUUAUUUUAAUUUAUUUUACUUGAAUCAAAACAAAAUAAUUUUGUAACUAUUUACUUACAAACAUGUUUAAAAAAAAAAACAAAUUUUGUAACAAUGACAAUUUAAUAAAUUGUGUUUUUGCUGUAAUCUUAUAUUUCGCUAGUUAAAAAAUAAAACCCUACAUUCCAGCUAAAUAGACAAAGUUAUGUAAUAUCACAUAUCCGAUAAUGUGAUUUGAGAGUUUAAACUACUCAAAUCCACAUUUGAAAUUCCUUACAAAUUUUGAAAAUUUCAUCUAUUUUUUACUUAAACAAGUAAAAUUUUUAUACAAUUUUUACUAUUACACAUAACUUUCUCAAAACCCAAUCGGAAGAUAAUAUUUACUUAAACAUAUAUUUUUUUAAACAAGUAAAAUUUAAUUUGUUUUUAUCUAAUAUCAUUUUUAAACCUAUAUUUUAAUCCAAAUUUUCUUAAAAUCAAACUAACCGUCAUAUGUGAACAAAUAACCCGAUUAUUGAAUAAGUUUACUGACUAAGAGUUCAUUGUCAUAUAUUUAUACUACAAAUUUGUAUCAUGAGUCAACCGAAUAUCAACUCAAUUAGAAAAUAAGUAAAUGAUAUCCAUCAUUUUUACGAAAUAAAAGAUAUAAUUAUGAUGAUAUUUUCGUCUUGUUAUAUUUUAUAUAAAAUCUAUAAAAAUUUAUUUAAACCCAAAAUAAAUCUAAGAAGUACCCGCACGGUAGACAAUGAAUUUUGAAGAUUUAUUGUUUCAAAAAAAAGAAUUUUGAAGAUUUAACUUUAUAUUUUCAUAUAUAGCAUUAUUUUUAUUGAAUUUUUUUAAUUAAAAACUUUAUAAACAUUUAAAAAUAGUCCAUUGAUGCAUGAUUUUAAAUUUAAAGUUGAAAUUAUUUAUUGUCAAAUAAAAUAGAAAAACUCCUUUAAAGUCCAAAAACAAUAAAUCAAAACCCAGAGCCUAAAUUUUGUAAAAGGCUUGGAAUUUGGUCAUCAAAAGCAAAUGAACCAUUCAUUGCGUGGACUAUGGCCCUCAAACUUCUCACCUUAAAAGCCCUUUUUAAUUUAUAGUUGAGAUUAAGAAAUUUUCAUGUAUUUAUUAAUUAAUAUUUUAAAAAAUAAGAAAAAUACAUUUACGGAAUAAAAAAACUCCACCACUAUGUAUCAGAUAACACUCAUAUUAUUUAUGAAAAUUAAAAUAGUUUUAUAUAUUUUCGUAAUUAUUUAUACGAUUAAUAUUUUAACGACUCAACCGUUUUAUUUUAUAGUCUAUUUAUGUAGAUUAUGCAUGUCAAAUUUGAUGUAAAUUUAAAAUUUCUAACUAUUUAUUUUAUGCAAAAAAAUUCAGCCGUUGAAUAUAUAUAUUAAUGUAUAGAGUAUUUUAGAUCGAUAUGAUAAAGAUAUCGAAUCAGUUCGAAAAUUUACAUGCAUGACAAGCCAAUUAUAUUGAUAAAUUCAAAGGUUAGAUUGUUACAAUAUUAAUCAUAUAAAUAAUUACGAAAAUAUGUAAGACUAUUUUAUUUUUUAUACUGUAUAAAUGAAUCUCUCAUAUAUAUUAAGUACUGUGUAUUGAUAUAAAACAUUCACAAGUAAAAUUAGAAUCAUACCAAUUGUUAGUUUUUUAUCAUUCUAAUUAUGUUUGCGAAUUUUUUACUUUCUAUUUGUGGUCAAUCCCACAAGGACUAAGACCCCUAAUUUUUCUGUUUAUGUAACCAAAUUCCUAAGUUUAGGCAGUUGUCAUGCCUACGACCCAUGUGUUGCAAAGCUAAAAAAAAUAAAAGUGAGAUUUUAGUUGAUAAAGAAAAUAAAAAAUAUAAAAAUAUAAAAUAAAAACAGAAUUAUGAUUGCAAAAUAAAAUUAAGAAAAUUAAAUUAAAUUAAAUCGGUGAAUCAAAUGUAUUAAUGCUUAGCCUCAGCUUCGAUACACUCCGAAAUUGAAUCGAUCCUUGAACAUUUCCAAACGAUAAGCUAGUUAUAACGAUCAAGGACACCCCAACCGCCAACUUUUCAUUGUGUAGUUUGUUCUAGCACGACCUGCAAACCAAUCAUUACCAAUUAUCUAACCACGUAACAUGCGUCCAUAAUUUAAGAUCUCAGUAGUCUAGGAAAGCCCACCUCGAAUUAACGACCUCAAUUGCAUGGGUUGUUUAAAUUCGAUUACUAUCUCUCUUGACAGAAUUCAACUAAUUUUUUCCAAUUGAACACGCUAAUUUGUUCGUGGGAAUUUGAACUCGGCAGGCGAUCGUCUUGUUUUCCCAACUGUACGCCAAACAUCUCCAACCUAACGUGUACUUUUUGAAUUGAAAUUGAAUUAACUUUAAUGGACAAUUGUGACUAUCCCAUAUUCUGGAGAGAUAACAAAUACCGUGUUGAAAGGUUUUAGUGCAGGUUCAUAUCUUACGAUUUUUUAUCGAAACGAUAACCGAACUAAGGCUAAAUGAGGUUGACACCUUGAUUGGUGGAUCUCCAAUGUUAACACCAACAUCCCACUAGAAAGAGCAAGGACUUCAAAAACGAGGGGGAAGGAGAAAGAAAUGAAAACCACAACAACAAACGAUAGAUCUAAAACAUCUCGAUAGAGAAGAGAAAGGGGGAAACAUAUGUACUUAAUUAGGACAAAAGGAAAAUUCAAAUACUAAAUUGCACAUUGAAGUUAAACUUAAGUAUUUGUAUAAGACAAAAAAAAAACUUGAAACAUCAAUUUUUUUUUUUAAAAAAAGCUCAUAACCAAAUUGAGAGAAAAAAAAACUUGUUAUAAUAAACGUCGAUAAUGACGGUAGAACGAUCGCAAAGUAAUAGGAAAAGAAAAAUAAGAACAUACAGAUUAAAAACUAAGGGCAGAGGAGAGAAAUUCAUUAAUGUUGAAAAAGAAAUGAUAUAAGAGGAGUUUUAACUACAUCUAUUUAAGGGUUGAAAAACUCUGUUCUAAUCAAAGUAAAAUAGUAAAAGUAUAGUUCUAUAUGGACUCAACUUGUGCGGUAUGGUCCGUACCGCGAGAGUGAAGUCCAGUUUUGUGCUUAAUGGGGAUCUGUGGCGAGCUUUAGCCUACGACCCUCGACUUCUCACCCUCACAGAUCCCUUAUUUUACUAUUAUAUUUAUUUUUUAAUAAAUAAUAAAUUCGGGUCACACAAAUUUUAACAAAACUCAAAUACCAAAAGCCAACCAAUAGUAAUAAUAACUUAAUGAAUGAAUUAAACGGAGCUUUCAUAUCUGAAGUUCUCAUCGGUGAUUUCCAAAGAUAGCAAAUGGCAAUCACCCAAGUAAGGAAAAGGCAAUGAAAUGCAUUAAGAAAUGGGGGAUGUCUGUGCUUUUACUGCAUUUGCAGGCAGAAUGAAAGAAACAAUCACUAAUAAUAAAUUGCUGCAACUUGCAAUUUCAUCAAUUAUUUCUUCUUUCCAUGGACUUACCCACUUCUCUCAUCCUAAGGAUUAUGAGAUCUAUUCAUUGCUAUUUUUACUUUCAUUAAAUCAUGUCUUUCCAUUUUUGUUAUUAACAAAUUAAAUCAUUAUAUUAAAUAAUUUUAAUGUAAAAACUAAUCCAACAUUUUAAUUUACAAACAAAAUCUAAUUCGAUUCUUUUCAUAUUAGUUCGACAUUUAAAGUAAGUUUGAAUGGACGGUGGGGUGUGAUGCGGUGCGUUUAGCUUACUUCUUCUCACACGUUAUAUUAUUUAUCUUAUCAUCACCGCUGUUUUUACACUGACCGCAGGUAAAUGCACUACCCAUCCAAACCCAACCUUAGUUUGCUAUGCAUUGUUUUAGAUGAAUUAUAUAUUAUAGUUGACCAAAUAUAUAUUUAUAAUUCACCGUUUUCGUAUUAGUAAAAUUUUGAAAAAAAUUUAUUUAAUAAAAUUUAUGUAAGUAAUUAAAAAACAAUAGCACUUAGUUAAUUUUUUUCAUUAAAUUUUUUUGCACUUACUAGUGUUUUUUUUCUACUUUCUCUCUACUUCCUUCCCUUCGUUUAUAAGAAAAUGUUUUUUUUUCUUCAACAAAAUUCAGAUAUUAAGUAAAAAAAACCUCCAUUUUCACAUAAAAUGCUCACUUAUUUAUUUUUUUAAAAAAGUACCUAAUAUAUUACUUUAAAAAAUUAUUUCUCGAAGUUAUAUUUUUUUUCACCGAGUGUCAAUUUCUAGUCAUAUUUACAAAUCCAGUCUUGGACAGAUAGAUGCAUAUGCCAUACAUAUAGAUUCCUUCAAAAACGUGUGAAACUCAACACUGUCUUGCACUUUCUCUCUCCCUUUUCUCACUGUGCAUAUGAAAAAGAAGAAGAAUCUUUGAGAUCUAAUAGUUCCUCCCUCUCACUUUGCUUUGGUUUUGGUUCUUCAUUUAAAGAUAGCCCACAGCUAUCUUUUUUCUUUUAUCUCUCAAUUACACUUUGCCCCAGUUCGGUUAUUUUCAUUCAAACCCAGUAAGCUCUUCUUCUUUUUUUAAGCUUGUUUCUUGUGAAUACAUUUCUGGGUUUUUAUUAACAUGUUCCUUUUCAUAUUUUUGGGAUCUGAAUUGUGGGUUUUGCUUGUCUUUGUGGUGGUUUGAAUGGGUCGGUUUCAGUUUCUUAUCUUUAAUUCAAGAAUGUUAAUGAUAUUGAUUCCUUUGUAAUCCAAGUUUGAUUCUUGAUGGUUGAAUUUGUUCAGUUUUUAUGCUCUCUUUAUUUUUUUUUUGGACUCAGAUCUGUUUAGUUCAUUAAAGAGCAUUAGUUACAUGCUUUUUAGUGUUUUUUCAUAUCCUUUUCAUUUCAUGGUUGUCAAUCAACUGGUUACAACUGUAGGCAGAUAACAUGAUGGUAUUUAAUCAUUUUCUUUUCUUUACCUUUUUUUAUGUAAUGUAAGUUUAUCAUAAGUCUGGGCUAUUAACAUGGAUCUGACUUGUUACACGAGUUUAAAGCUUAGUUUUGAACUUUAUUGUUGAAAUUAAGUAACUUCGGUCGUUGAUUCAAGAGCAUUAUUAAUCACCUUAUGGUUUCUUGCAGGUUUGAUGAGUUUUCCAAAGUGUUUGAUUUUGACAAGUUUUUGAAGUGAGUUGUGUUAUUCAUUCAAUUGAAUUGAGCCCCCUGAUGGUAGCGACAAAACAAAUUUAUUUUGAAUACAAAAUUUGAUGUUAGAUUGAGUAGGAUAAGGAUAUUUGUGCCUGUGACAAUUCAGUGCUCAAGUGAAAACAGUUUGUGAAGAAAUCAUAGUACUAAAAGAAGGAUGAGGGGAAGAUCUGAUGGAGGCCAAAAGAAGAGAUUAAUCACCUCUCUUUGUGCUGUGGCAAUCUUUCUUGGUUUUCUCUAUGUAUAUUAUGGAUCUAUUUUUGGAUCUUCAAGCAAUGGUGCUUCAGCUCUAGAAUAUGGUGGCAAAUCUCUGAGAAAAAUUGGAUCAUCUUAUUUGGGUGGAGAUGAUGAAUCUUCAACCAAAUCUGGACUGGAGGAUGGAGAUGUUGUUGUUCCAAAAACGUUCCCUGUAAGUUGUUUUUUGCUGAAUCAUUUUGAUAUGUAAUUCCACUGUGAUUCUUCCAUUGAUUAGUUGCUAUGGCCUUUAACUUCUCUGUUUAUGGCUUUGAAGGUUUGUGACGAUCGACAUUCGGAAUUGAUUCCUUGCUUAGACAGAAACAUCAUAUACCAAAUGAGAUUAAAGCUUGACUUGUCGGUAAUGGAGCACUACGAACGUCAUUGCCCCCCUCCUGAAAGGAGAUACAAUUGCUUGAUCCCUCCUCCUCCAGGAUACAAGGUACUGAUGAAGCGUAUGUGUUUUUAUAAUUAAUUUGUCAUGAAUGUGUUAUAGUGAUGAUCAUAGUCAUAUUUGUCAUAUUUUGAAAUUGUUUUAACUCAUGUGAAAUUACAGGUCCCAAUUAAGUGGCCUCAAAGCAGAGAUGAAGUGUGGAAGGCAAAUAUUCCCCAUACUCACCUUGCACAUGAGAAGUCUGACCAGAAUUGGAUGGUGGUAAAAGGUGAAAAGAUAGUAUUUCCGGGGGGAGGCACCCAUUUUCACUAUGGAGCUGACAAGUAUAUUGCUUCAAUUGCAAAUGUAAGUUCACCAAUGCAUACUGAUUUUGGCUCGAAAAAAAUAUUUUAAAACAUGAUCAAUAAUCUUGAAUGCCUACUAAAGGAUGGUUGUACUCGGUAUAUUUGUGUCUGUUUUGAGUUUUCCGUAUCAUAUUUUGGUUCCUAACUUUACUGAUCAGCUUCAUAUAUAAUGCUCCUUAUUUAAACUUCUCAAAGCUAUGGUAGAAGCAAUGACAUUAAUUUCUACGAUUUUGUUUGGCAGAUGCUCAACUUUUCGCACAACAACUUAAAUAAUGAAGGAAGAGUCCGUACAGUUCUUGAUGUUGGUUGUGGUGUUGCAAGUUUUGGAGCGUAUCUUCUUUCUUCUGACAUUAUAGCAAUGUCAUUAGCACCCAAUGAUGUUCAUCAAAACCAAAUCCAAUUUGCCCUGGAAAGAGGAAUUCCUGCAUGUCUUGGUGUUCUAGGGACAAAAAGGCUCCCUUACCCGAGCAGAUCAUUUGAACUUGCUCACUGUUCUCGUUGUAGGAUUGAUUGGCUUCAAAGGGAUGGGAUUCUUCUUCUCGAGCUAGACCGGUUACUUAGACCUGGAGGCUAUUUUGCCUACUCGUCUCCAGAGGCUUAUGCACAAGAUGAAGAGGAUCUCCGGAUAUGGAAAGAGAUGAGCGCCCUUGUGGAACGUAUGUGUUGGAGAAUAGCUGCAAAGAGGAACCAAACUGUCAUUUGGCAAAAGCCUUUGACAAAUGAUUGUUAUAUGGAACGAGCACCUGGUACAAAUCCACCGCUCUGUCGGUCUGAUGAUGAUCCAGAUGCAGUUUGGGGUGUGCCAAUGGAAGCUUGUAUCACUCCUUAUUCUGACCGUGAGUAUAUUUAUCUGUCAGUGUUGCUAAUAUUAGUCUCUCCCCCCUCCCCCCCUCAGUUGAUAUUUUCUUUUCGAGUAUGCUAAUAUUUAGAUACAAAUUUUCAUAUAACGUGUCUUGAAUUUGGUUUUUCAUUGAUUUGGAAGUUGACUUCGAUUUCUGAAGUCAUAAAUUGGCUGGCUGAUGACUUUUAUAUAUUUAUUCUUCCACAGAUAUGUUGCUUACAUAUUUUAACAAAAUAUGAAAUGGCUUGCUAUGUUUUUCCAACUCUCCAUUUUGCUUGAAGUACCCUAGUUUGACACUUGUCUCCAACACAUAUCCGAUCUUGGGUUUGAGGAUAUGACCUUCCAAGUCCCCUCCAAAUACAUAGAAGAGAAAUUGAAAAAAAAUUAAACAUACCCGUCCCUGACACAUACUCAUAUCUGAUGCUUACACUAAGUCCAAGUAACAUUGAUGGCCUGUUUUUCAACUUCAUAUCAAAUUCUGAUGAGGUGAAAUCUUGACAUAUUCUUUUAUGUUGCUGAGUUCCUUAACAGUAAGCUCGAUUUGCUUUUAGCUUAAGGAUAAAGAGAGAAAUAUGAACCGGAAUCUUACCAAAUAAAAGUAAUUGCUUGAUAAUUUUGGAAUUAGUUGCCUUGUGCUUAGGUUAUGUGGUAACAAGUGCAUUCAUUCUGCUCAAUUAUUCUUUUUGAAUAUUUGCGAGUUAUACGAUAUAAUUGUUGCUCAAUUAUAUGUAAUUCCUGAUUAUAAAUUAUGGUAUAUUUUGCGACGGAAAAUUAUAGGGAUUCUUUGAGUUUAUAGCUUUAAAAGAUUGGUUUAAACUUUAUCUUAACUAAAACUUCUCUUUGUUUCUAUCAGAUGAUCAGAAAGCCAAGGGAAGUGGUUUGGCUCCUUGGCCAGCGAGAUUGACAUCUCCUCCUCCAAGGCUUGCUGAUUUCGGUUAUUCAAAUGAAAUGUUUGAAAAAGACACGGUAAUGGAGGCAGCAUUGUUUCAUCUAUGCCUUUACUUAUGAUUAGUGUGUUGUUCUUAUAUUGUGACUUAUGUGGCCAUGACAUAGGGUAUAGAUGCUAAUAUAGCUUUUGCAAUUUCAUAGGAAACUUGGCGCCAGCGGGUAGAGAAUUAUUGGAAUCUCUUGAGUCCAAAGAUUGAGGCCAACACUUUGAGAAAUUUGAUGGACAUGAAAGCAAACAUGGGAUCUUUUGCGGCUGCUCUAAAAGAGAGGAAUGUUUGGGUGAUGAAUGUCAUCCCUGAGGAUGGACCAAACACACUUAAGUUGAUAUAUGACAGAGGCCUCAUUGGCACUACUCAUAACUGGUAUGCGCAAAUUUACUUGAAAAUCUACAUAACCAAGUAUGAAAUAUUAACAUAUUUCUCCUUUCUGAUAAACACCGAAUUUUGUCUAACAAAACACAGCUACAGCUUGCGCCCCCCCCCCCCACCAAGCAUGUAUAUAUAUAUUCAGUGAAAUGGAUUCUCUGACAAAACACAGCUAUCUGCAAAAAGACUGCUACAUGCUCCGUGUCCUACUCAUGUCUGGAUAUGAUUAAGGAUACGACUUUCCAAAGAUUUUUCACGCACACGAAGAAACGUGGAAAAUCUGUUUAAACAUAUUUGUUUCCGACACUCGCACUGGAGUCCAAGUAUCAUAGUUAGGAGAAAGUACAAUGAUGUAUUUUCAUUUUAAUCUUAUAAAGAUCUUUUUCCUUCUGGCUGGUGAAAUAGUGGAAUGCAUGUUGAGGGAUAGUAAAAUUUGUAUUGAUUGAAAUUGAUCUUUUUGGCAGGUGUGAAGCCUUUUCCACAUACCCUCGAACCUAUGAUUUACUCCAUGCUUGGACUGUCUUUUCUGAUAUUGAGAAGAAGGGCUGCAGUGCUGAAGAUUUGUUACUCGAGAUGGAUCGCAUUCUCCGUCCCAAGGGUUUCAUAAUCAUCCGGGACAAACAACCAGUUAUAGAUUUCGUAAGGAAGUAUUUAUCAGCUUUGCACUGGGAAGCAGUAGCAACUGCUGAUUCAAGUUCGGAUUCAGAACACGAAGGAGACAACGUCGUGUUUAUUGUCCAAAAGAAAUUGUGGCUCACAAGUGAAAGCAUCCUGAAUUCUGAAUAGAGUAUUUCCGGAUUACAAUUCCCACGUACUCUCAUUAUAUCUUCUUCAGCAGCUCCAAGGUAUUAAGAAGCUCUCCUAUUACUAAUCCGGCAAACAAUUUCAUUUUGUAGCAUUAAGCAAUGGUUCAAAUUGUUUUUUUCUUUUUUACCCUUUUUUCCUUGUAUUGAAUUACUUUGACAAGCCAUGAAAUGAUCAUCAUCUAUAUAGGCUAUGCUUCGGCUGAUCAUGGUUACCAAAUACUAUGUUACUCCGACUCUUCGUUUUACUUGAACGACAUGCGUAUCCCGACAUAAGUAUAAGAAUAUAGUGAAAGAACUUGAUGCUCGAGUUUGAGUAAACAUAGCCCAUGUCCAUUUUUGUUUUUUUUUCCUUGAAAAAUAUUCUUCUUAUCCUUUGUACUUUUGUUUUGCAUGCCUUGUCGUUUGCUCUUAGUGGUUAGGCUACUUUUGAAAAAGCUGUGGCUUUCAUUGGCAGAUUUAUCCCUAAUUUUUAUGUCUGGUUUUGCCCCUUCUAGUUGUAAUUUACAAAGCUGGGGUUGACCAUCAAGGGAAGAAUAAAUGAUUUUAUGGCAUUUUUGGGAAUAGAUUUGACCAAUUUCUUAGUUUAGAGUUCCAAAAACUCUAAACCCUAAAUGUUCAGAACAUGAACGUCAAUGUUUUCAUGCAUUCACAAUUUGACUUUACAAAUCAAACUAUGCUUCAAAUUUUUAAGAGGACAUGUGUGUUGUAAUAUGUUCUAACUUGUAUUUGAUUGGAUAGUUAAAAAGGAAGGAGAAGGCAUUGUAGAAAGAAAUAGAAAUGAUCCAUUAUAACCUUCUUUCUUCAAUUAUAUUUAUUUUUUAUAAAUCAAUUUAUGUCCAAUAUUACAAGGAUAAAUAAGAUAUUUCACAUCUUUUUUUUUUACUUCUCUUUGUUUUUUUUCUUCAAACUGGAGUAAAUCAAAAUUGAAUGUUUAAAAGAGAAAAUAAAAUAAAGGUUAGUUUCAUUGUAGGUGUGGUUUGGGUUCAAGCUGUGCUAGUUGCGUUAUUAUUAGGGCUUUGCCUUUCUCUUGUAGUUUAUUGAAAAAAACAUAAAAAAUAUAUUUUUUAAAAUAAUACUAUUUUAAUGAAUACAAAAAUAAAUUAAUACUUAAUUGAUUCGUGAUACCUGUAAUAUAGAUAUAAAACUAUGUAUAUAAAAUGCGAAAAUGUAGUAUUGUCUUUAUUUUAAAUCGAAGAGUUGAAUUUACCCAUGUUUUUAUUAUUUGGAUUUUUUGUUCUCCGAGAAUUAUUUGAAUGUGAUUAUUGUAAGUAAUACACACCGAUAAUGGAUAUGAACAUAUAAAUUAUAAUCUUCCAAACAAACCAAACCCAUUAUUGGUUUUGUCUAAUUAUAACCGUGUAAGAAAAAACCAAGACAUUGGAGCCCAAUCCAUGAAAUGACUGUAACGACAAAUUGUUGUUUCUACGGUUCUACUACUUGUUUACCUGGUCACCGGGGGACCAAUGCCCAACCGCCAACUCAACUGUUUUUCCUUUCUUAUUCUCCAUCUAUAUAUACAUAUAUACAUACAUACAUCUUUAUGUAUGUAUACAUGAACUGGGAGGAACCCAAAAGUUCUGUCCUUUUGUUCUUCGUUGCGUGUCCCUCUUUGUUUUCUUGGUUGCAAGCAACGGAAUAUCUACAAUGCAAGCAAUAUUCAAACUCCUAACUACUUUAUAACUGUUAUAUUUUUUAUAUUUGUAUUUGAACAUGAAAAAAAAAAAAUUUUGGUUUACACUUGAAAAUAAUUUCAUUUUUAACUGCAGUUAGAAUAGAAACAAAUAUAAAUAUUAAAUGUAAAGCAACACAAUGAGCAAAGUAAUGAAAGAAUUAACACGCGAUCUUUGUUAACACAAUUUAUACAUAAUGGUCCUAUGCCUACAGAGCUUGGCCCAGUGAAUGAUUUUAUUCAACAAUUAUUAAUAUCAUUGGCUUAAGCCUAAUCUACCAUUGCAUAAAAAAUAAUUGUGGCCCUAACACAGGCUCCAAUAAUCACAAAUCAUUCACUCAAUUACCUUAUAAUACACUUGGAUUUGUCUAUUUGUACUCGGAAUUCCUAAUUCAAAAUUCAAAUUUAAAUGUACAAUGAUUCGAUAGAUAGGAUUUUCCCUUUCUUAAAACAACAAAACAAAAUAGGUCCCUUUCCGCUUGAGAAUUUUCGCUAAAAAUAUUCAUUUAUUAUUCAUUAUAUGGUUGUUAUAUGAUAUGAGACCAAAAAGAGGAAAUAGAAAGAUCCUUUUUGUAUAUCAAUAGAUGAAAUAAGGGUGUGGAAAACAAGAUAGGGAUUAUCUACAAUGACAUUGUAGGCCAAUUGAAAGGUAUGUAGCGUAGCUUGGUAGCGCGUUUGUUUUGGGUACAAAAUGUCACGGGUUCAAAUCCUGUCAUCCCUACCUAUAACCAAUAAACCUCUCCAAAUAAUUUUUAAAAGAGUGUCACAAAAUAACCACAACAACACAACAAAGCUCUCAUAAAGACACCCAAAAACUGCUCUCAAAGUGACGCCUAACUUUUUUAUAGGCUGAUAUAAGAGUCUACCCAACAAAGUUUUGAUAAGUUUGAAACUAUCCCAUCAAUUAUCCUUAAUAUUUAUCAUUGUUUUGUCAAACAUGUCACUCCUUAAUAGGCAAAAGAAAAGGUCAAACACCCGAGCUGAAACAUCUCACGGUCCAAGCAAAAAAUUCUUUCUUAUUCUAAUAGAACAUGAAAUGAGCAUGUCAAAAACCCCAUAAAAAUAUAAAAAGGGUAAAUUAUGUUCAAGGUCACUAAACUAUUAGCAAGUUUAUGUUUUAGUCAUUCAACUUCAAAAAGUUACAAAAUGGUCAUUGGACUAUUUGAAACUUUUCAUUUAAGUCACUAGGAUAUUAAAAUAGCUAUUGUAUGGACUUUUUUAUUUGCACCGUCUACAUGGAUCAAAAACUCUUCUUUCCCUUUUCUUCUAUAGCUCAAUUUUGUUUUUCAUGAAACAACUUUGAACGUUAUGAAUCUGUGAACCAAAAUCCAAACAACUUUUUUUUUUAAUCUCCGACACUGUUCGUCAAACCACCUUGGAUCUAAGGUAUAUUCUUCUACUCGUCGAUGGUUACUGAUCCACUGUACUAACCGUCAAAUCGUUGCUUAGAGCUCGUUAGCCAGACUUUAAAAAAAAAACUUAACAAUCCAAUGACCUAAAUAAAACUUUCAAAUAGUUUAGUGAUCAUUUUGUAACAUUUUGAAGUUGAGUAACCAAAACGUAAACUUACUAAUAGUUUAGUAACAUUGAAUAUAGUUUACCCAUAUAAAUAUAGCUAAUGAACUGCUAGUUUAAGUAGAAAAAUACUUAAAAUGUAAGGUUUAAGUUUUUUUGUAGAUUUAUUCGAGGGUCAAACUAUUUGUCCAAACUUAAUGGCUAGAUUAAAAUUUUUAGAAUGUUAAGAUUGAAAAGUGGGUUUGAUAAAAAAAUAUUAUUUAAAAUACGGGUUAAAGUUGAACUCUAAUAAUUAAGGCUCAAGCUCAACUCAUCUGGACCUAAUUUUAAGUUUAUAUUAUAUAUAUAUAUAUUAUAUAACUUAUAUUAUAUAAAAAUUAAAUAUAUUAUAGUAUAAUAAGAAUAAUAAAAAUAUUUAAAGUUGUUUUUGUUUAAAAAUUUAAUAAAAAUAAAAAUAUUAUAUUUAAAAAUAUAAUAUUCACAAACCUAAAUGAAUUUGAAUUAAUAAUUUAUAAAUAUAAGCUGGUUAUGAUAAAAUUUGAUACCCAUAUUUUGUGUCAAAUAUGUAAUUAAUAUCAUGUAUGAAUCUAUCCAAACUCAUUUCGACCUAGAAGCCUUUUUUCAUGAUUAUUUAAACCGGACUAGUCGGAAACAUAUCAUCACAUAAAUAUUCUUCAUGCAGUGAAAGUCAAAAAGGUUUUGAGAUUAGUAUAUAAUGUUCAAUAAAACAUGUAGUGGUGUCUCCUUGUGUUCCCACUUUCACAAAUUAAUAAUUAUUUAAUUAUUAAACUUUUAAUUGUAAUUAAAUUAAUUUAUUUUCAUUUAAUUGGUAUUUUUCUCAAUUAAAAUAUUGAUUUUAUGCUAAUAGUUUCUUUAUUUAUAAAUUAAAGAAUAAGAGAUAAUUUCGAUAUAAGUAAAAUAUUAAUGAUUGAUUCGAUUACUAAUAAAAGAUAAAUGCAUAAUAAUUUAAUUAAAUAAAUUAAUCAAAUGAGGGUUUCUUUAUAUUCUUUCCAAACCUAAAUAUCAAGAUUAAACAACUUUUUUUUUUUUUACAUUGCGGUAGUUUUCACAAACAUAAGAAUUAGAGUUAUUCGUGGGUCGGGUGAGUCAAGUAAAAAUAUUAGGCCCAAUUUCUAGGUUCGGGCUAGAUCCGGCUUAAAAAAUGGGUCUAAAAUUUUACGCAAGUUUGGUCUGAAUAAAAAUAUUAAAACUCGAGCUCGAUUUGUAUUAAAAUUUUUUAUAUUAUUUUUUAUGUGCAACUUAACAAGUAAAUUCCUCUAAAAUAGUAAUAAAAUUAAUAAUAAAACAAGAGUUAUACAAUAUCCAAAUAAUAACGAUAAAAUAGUAGCAAUACAAUAAAGAAAUGAUAGCAAAACAACGAAAAAUAUUUUUUUUUUUGUAAAUUUGGGCCGGGCAUAGGCCAAAAAAACCUUACUCGAGGCUUAGACCGUUUAGAAAUUAUUUUUUGUCCAAACUCAUUUUUUGAGCCUAUAUUUUUUCCCAAAUCCUCUCACUUUUUAAGUGGACCUUCGAAUCAGGUUGAGUUGCUCAACCCAUGGACAAGUCUAAAAAAACUCUUUUUUCUUCUUCUUUAUUUUACUUUUUUGCUAUUUAUUUAUUUUUUGAAUUGAUAUCUAUCCAUAUCAUGGCUUAAAAAGUAAAUGGUCCCCAAAUUAUUAUGCCCCAUUUCUAAGGGAAAUCCACAACACUCUCAUUGUUGAAUCAAGUUGGCAUUGCCCUCAUUUCUUUUUCCCAAAUCUUAUUCUUUUGUUUGGAAUUACAUUUAUAAUCUUUCAUUUAUUUUGCAUGUAGAAACUUUUAUUUGCAAGAAAAAAGAAAGUAUAAAUUUAUUGAAGGGUUAUUUAUUUAAAUUGAAUUGAAUUUGUGUUGGAUGAACUUUUUUAAUUAAUUUUUAAAAUUAUAAUUAUAAUAAAUGAUCUACUAAUAUCACUUUUACUAGUACAUCUUCGACCACCCCUUAGAGUAAUUUAGAGUUCUAUCAGCCAUUUGCAAUGUGUCUGAGGUUAGUAUAAUAUACCCAAACUUAACUUCCGAGCUAUAGAGAGCGGCACCAAUUUACAGAGUGCCUUAUCGAAAGUGUGAGAACCAAUGACAUUGCACUCUUCACUAAGUGUUAUAUUCUCAUAAUCACUUAGUCAUCUUUUUUUCGACAAAAUAUCUUUCAUAAAUUUUAUAUAAUUAGGCAUUUGUUUAACGUAUUCUAGUGCAACCUUCGUGGGAAUUGUGGUGGAGAAUAUUUUGGCUUAACUAUCUCCUUUGAUGGCUUCCUUGCUUCUGUCUCAUGAUGAACAUAUUUUUUAGAGCUUUCUUAAAGCUCAUUAGAACUCUUGUCGAUUGGUGGGAUAGGCAAAUGAUUUUUUGCAUUUACCUCAAUUGAUGGAGAGGCACUCGAUAACUCCCUGCCAUUUCUAAAAAUUUACAAUGCUCUCUAUGAUUAAUAACAUUAAGAAGGCUAAUUGUUUGACGAUAAUGCUCAUUGUGGCCUAUUAUGAAUGGCCUAUUAAGAAGGCUAUUUGACCCACUUGAGUUUCCAAUACCUUCAUCCUAAGGUCGAUUGCUUGUAUAAAUUGUUGUGGGUUGUUGCGAAUGUUGCCUUUAAUACUGGCUUUGAGGGAAAACCGGAGGUUCAACUAGUCUAUCUUGAUAAAAAUUGCCUUGAUUGUUACCCCAAGCAAAGUUGGGAUGGUUCCUUCAUCUUGGCAUAUAAGUGUUGACGAAUUGGUUAUGUUGUUGUCUUUCCAAAUUUCUAACAUAUCCAACCAAUUCUGACUCAAAUGUCCAGUGCCAAGAAUGGUGAUUAUCCCCACAUUGGUCACAGAUAGCAUAGAUUGGUUGCUUCAUGUUAACCUCAAUUUUCUCAUUUACAUCUCAUCCAAAACAACUAGUUCAGCAAGAAGAGCAAUCAUUGCAUCAACCUCAACUACUUUAACCAAUUUCUUUGGGUUUACACCAGUUCUGCUCGAAAUCCGCUAUGGAUUAUUUUCUACCAUGUCUUAAAUUAUCUUGACAAUUUUUCAGGCGACUUACUCAAUAAUGCCCUAUUAGUUAUUACAUCUAGAUUACCUUUAAUGAACUAUCUCAACUCUUUGUAUAAAGUCUGAAUCAACAACCAAUUUGACACUUGACGGUGAGGAUGUUGGACAAUAUAUUACUGCAAAACAAAUUUGUUAGCACUAGGUGAAAAAAUAAACCAAGAAUUAAGAAAUCGAAAUUUACUACGUCGUGGAAGAACUAUUGCCUAGAAUUAAGAAAUCAAAAUUUACACCGGAAAAAAAAAAGGUGGAGCACGCUUGAUAUUUCUCUUCUCAAGGAAAUCACACUAGAAUUGAUUCCAGGAAAGUUUGGAGGGGUCAAAUGAGGAAGGUGUUUUGCUUUUUGUGUGUCAAAUGAGGAAAAUUAGCUCUCUAUUUAUACUAGUAAUAGAAGGAUAAAAUAAUAAAUAUGCAGGGGUAAAAGAGUAAAAAACAUAGGGUUAGUAACAAAAGUGAUCCACCAUUUCCGCGCAACAGUAAAAAAAAUAUACUGUUCAGAUUUUCGUAACAAUCAAAAAUAAAAAAAAGGUAAAUUGUUUUAAAGAAAUUAUUUUCUGGAAAAUAAUAUAAGAAUUUUAUCCAAAAAGAAAUAACCGCGGUACGUGUCGAAGACACGUGUUAACACGGUCACGAAAACUAGUAAAUAUGUAGAGGCAAAAGAGUAAAAAACUGUAGGGUCAGUUACAAAACUAACCCACUAUUUCCGCACAACAGUCAAAAAAUAUAUACUGUUCAGAUAUUUGUAACAGUCAAAAAUCAGAAAAAGUCAAUUUAUUUUAAAGAAAUUAUUUUCUGAAAAUUAAUAUAAUAAUUUUAUCCAAAAAAAUACAAGUAGUAUGUGUUAACAUAAACAUGAAUCGAGUAAGAAACAACAACAUGCAUGUAUUUGGCCUAUAGCCCAAUUACAUGACAAAUGUAAGAUGUAAGGCUAUAUAUAAACCCUUUUAAUAGUCUAUAUUUAACUAAUGUGGGAUAUAUCCACUUACCAUCAUUCUUUGCAUUACCAACAGAAGGCACUUUUUUUCCAUGUCCUUAAAUAGUUUUCAUGCCUCAUGUAAAGUUUGCUUUCUAUAUGAUUAGAAUCUAGUGAUGUCAUUUCGCAAUUUAGCUGUAGGAAAGAAUUUAGUUAAGAAUUUUUUCACAACUUGAUCUCAAGUUGUAAUUGACUCAUUUGGUAGGCCAUCUAAUGAAUUUGUAGCUCGUCCAAGAAAAGAAAACAAAAACAACCUUAAUUUCAUAGCUUCUACUAAAAUACCAUUAGAUUUGAAUGUAUUGCAUAAUUUGAUGAACUUUCGUAGAUGUUGGUUGGGAUCUUCAUGAGAAAAAAAAAAAGAAUUGUUUCAACCAUCUGAAUAACUGUUGAUUUGAUCUCAAAGCUGUUUACUUCCACAAAUUGAAAAGUGAAUACUAGUUCAAAGCCCUUCGAUGUAAGGUAUGGCAUAGUCUCUAAUAGACCUAGGAAGUGGGAACAACAGGAGUAGGAGGAGGAGCUUGUAAAUUAAUUUGUGCAUUAUCAGUAUCAUUCGCAUUGGGGUCAUCCAUGGUUGACUCUUCAGAUUCAACUUCAAAUUGAUGUUCAAUUAACCGAGCCUUCGUAGAUUCUUCUCAAUCUCUAAAUCAAGUGACAACAAUUGAAUCUGAAUUUAACAAAAUAUUUUUAAUAAUAUUAAAAAUUAAUCCUAAAUUUUUAAAUCUAAAAAAUAAAAAAAAUUCUAAAAAUAAAAAUACAAAGACUAAAUUCUAAAUUCAUCAACUUUCAACAUAUUUUAAUCUAAUUUAAAACAUGGUUGGAAUACUUUUCCCUUGAUACAUCCCCUGCCUGCGACAACUGGUAAGGACAUAAGGCCAGGGACACGUGUCAAUAACGCGGCUUUGUCUAAGGCGGACAUCAAGGCUUUGAUAUUGAAUAUUUGUGUUUUUUUUCUUUAAUUAAAGAAGUUAUUAUUAUUAUUAUUUGUCCAAUUAAUUAAUAUUGAUAGUUCCCUAAUCUAAUUAUUUUUAAGUGGUCCAGCUCAUAUCUCUAUAAUUUAUAUUCUCCCAUGACAUAUUUUAAUGAGACUGAAUAUUUAUUAGAUGCUUUAUUUAUUAAAUAAAUUUUUUAAUACAUGCUUUUAAAAUUUAAAAUAUUUUUUUCCCUUCCAAAAAAUUUAAAUUUAAAAUCUUUUACUAGAAAAUAAAUAUGAUAACUAUUUGCAAUAUUAGAGAUAAGGGAAGAGAAUACAUAAAUUUAAUUCAUAUAAAUUAAGACUUGAAAGUAAAUCGAAUCUUCGCUUCGAGUUUCACAAUGCGUAAUUGUGAAGUGUCAUGUGUGGAUUUUUUCCGAUUAUUUCCAUUUCUUUAUGUUUCUAGUUGUUAGGGUUUUCUCUAGUUAUUUUCGAUUCUUUGUGAUUCUAUAUGCCAUUGUAGUUGGCUAGACAAAUAUUGAUACUUGUACUUACCAUUUAUAUUUGUGUUGUGCUUGUAAUUAUACUGUUUUAUAAUACUUGAAAAUAAUAAGAAUUUAUUUUUUCACUAAAUUAACCUUGGUUGACUUUGUUUUCAAAAUAUUACCGUGAUGGAAAUAUAAAAUUAUAAAAUUAUGAAGAGAUUAAAAUUAAAAAAAAACAAAUUUCAGGGUCAAAAAUAUAAUAUUUCCAUUUACCCAAAAGGACUAAAAAUUACCUAAAAUGCGGAAAAAAAAACUGAUAUGGUAUUAAUUAAUAAACAAAUAAAUUUCAGGGGAAAAAUGAAAUAUUAUUAAUUAUUAAUUAUUAAAUGAUUUUUAAUUUCGAAUUAACAUAUAGAUAGAUAAAUAAAAGCAGCUAAAAAGCAAAGGCAAAGUCAAAGAGGCAAAGCUUCCCACCUUUCAAAAGGACCUAAAAUCCAACCAAUGGGAUUUCAAUUUCGUCAAUCUUCACUUAAUUUUCUCUUCUUUCGGUUUUCUCUUUAGCUUUAGGUUUUUCACUACACUUCUGCUUUUUUUUAUCUGCUCUGCAACAAUCAAGCUCUCUUAAAAUUCAAUCAGGUAGUACAAAUUGUUUUAGUUUUAAGAUUGAGUUGAGAUUUCGAUUUUGAAUUUUUUGUUUGUUUACUGAGAAAACGUUGGAAAAUUGAAGUGUUUUUUUUUGUUUGUCUAGAAAGUGAUUUUAGGCUGUUAGAUUCACUUCGUCUCGCAAUUCUUUUUGAGUGUCCUAAAAAUUUGUAGCAGAAUGUUUUAAGUAUUAUGAACUCUUUAUAGUUUAUUCCAGAAUAUAUGAGUUGAAUUGGUUUUGAAUUUUAUUGAUUGAAUUAAAGUGCUUUCAAUUAGGUGGUUAUUCGGUGAGGAUUACAGCAUCAUCUCAUUUCUUUGUUCUGAACUGUGUUGGGGAUUAUUAAUACUAUUAUUUUGUUCUAAGCUAAUGUACUCUUUAUUUUGCUUUUGUUCUUGAAUUUGCAGAAUCUGUUUGUUGGAUAUUUUGGUACACAAUGAUGUGAUAAAAUCAUUAAGUUUUUGUGUGUGAGAAACCUGCGUGACCGUACUGCACAUUUUUAGUAGUGUGGGUUUAUAAGGAUCAUAUUUAUCGAGUAAACCGAUGGAAACUACGAGGAGAUGGUUCAACAAGUUCAAAUCGAAAGACAAGGUAAGGUCUUCAAAGAAUAAAGAAGCUGUAGGUAAUGCAAAGGAGGGGUCUAAACCACCAACAAGUGAAGAGGCACCAUCAGAUGUCACCAAACAACGGGUAGCAGCUGCGAAGCAGUAUAUUGAAGACCAUUAUAAGAAGCAGAUGAAAAGCCUGCAGGAAAGAAAGGAGCGGUAUUGGAUAUUUCCCUGUCUAAUAGUUACUGUCAUGGUCACAUAACUAUGAUAUAGCAUGCAGUGUAACUGUGUGCUAUACUACAGACUGAUGAAUGGCUGAAUUAUCAAGUCGAGUUAUUUUGUAGCAGGUUUCAGUUACAAAAAUUUAUUCAAAAAAGAUUAGUGCUGUCAUUUCACUCCAUAUCUUCUGCACAAAGUAACUUGAUAAAGCGUACUUUGUGAUUUUAAACGCGGGAAAAGUAAUGGUAGUUUUGUUUUAAAGAAUAGGGAUGACGUUUCGGGUAAUUAUGAUUUUAUGCAGGCGUGAUAUUCUAGAAAAGAAGUUGGCUGAUGCUGAAGUCUCUGAAGAAGAACAGAACAACUUACUUAAGUAUUUUGAAAAGAAGGAGAGGGAAUACAUGCGUAUGCAAAGGCAUAAGAUGGGGACUGAUGAUUUUGAGCCAUUGACCAUGAUUGGCAAGGGUGCAUUUGGAGAGGUAAUUAAAUUUGUCACAUUGUACAUAAUAACGUAGGUGUUUCUUUUGCUUUUAUUUGUGGUCUUGCUUUAAUCUACCUGUCAAAAUUAAAUGAGCUAUGAAGACCUCUAGAUCAUUAUGCUAAAAUCUUAUAUUUAAAAUUUCUCCCUACCAUCAGAACUUUUUUAACUGAGACAAUGCAUCUAGGAAACUUCUAGGAAAGCCUUCUACUUAUAUCUGAUUUAGUCGCUUGAUUUGCUUGUUACUGAUGCUUCUGAACCUAAGUUUUACCUCUCUCCUAUGUUUCACCCUUUUGUGUAGUUAUCUUCAAUCUCAAACAUCUUGUUCUCUUUUUGCCAGAAUUACUUUUAACGUAACUUCUUCUCAUUACAGGUUAGAAUCUGUAGGGAGAAGGCAACUGGUCAUGUUUAUGCUAUGAAGAAGCUCAAGAAGUCAGAGAUGCUUCGCAGAGGCCAGGUAUAUGAUUUUAAGCCAGCUAUGUAGUUUCCUUGAUGGGUUUUGCGCCAUGAUGAUAAUUUGUUAGUUUGCAUUUCUAAUGUUCAGGUUGAACAUGUGAAAGCUGAGAGAAAUCUACUUGCGGAGGUUGACAGUAAUUGCAUUGUUAAACUAUAUUGCUCCUUCCAAGAUGAAGAGUAUCUAUAUCUCAUUAUGGAAUAUUUACCUGGGGGAGAUAUGAUGACUUUAUUGAUGCGGAAGGAUAUACUAACUGAAGACGAGGCCAGGUUUUAUGUUGGAGAAACUGUCCUGGCGAUUGAAUCAAUCCACAAACAUAAUUAUAUUCAUAGGUGAUUCGGCAUGAUGCUAAUCCUUCAUACACUGUUAUAUAACGGUCUUUUUGAGUUUGCAUUAAGUGGUGAACCCAUUCUAUGUCACAUGUUGCAGAGACAUCAAGCCUGACAACCUACUACUUGAUAGAAAUGGUCAUAUGAAAUUAUCAGAUUUUGGAUUAUGUAAGCCAUUAGAUUGUAGUAAUCUCCAGGAAAAGGAUUUUUCUAUGGCAAAAAAUCUCAGUGGGGCUCUUCAAAGUGAUGGACGACCUGCAGCACCAAAACGCACACAACAAGAGCAGUUGCAGCAUUGGCAAAGAAACAGAAGGAUGCUUGUAAGUGCUUGACUACCACAUAACUAAUGCAACUUAGUAUUUUUUUUCUACCGAUGGUAAUAUUGGUUGGGUUUACAAAGCAAGAAAGUUCCCAACUUGUUUCUCCUUUAUUUUCCAUAGUUCAGGCUUGCUUUUAUUUUUCAGAGUUUACAAGGCUUAGAGUUUAUUGCUCAUAGUUACUUUUAUUGAAAUCGCAAAUGAAUGUUGCUUGAACAUUUAAACUUUGUGAUACUUCAGGCUUAUUCUACAGUUGGUACACCUGACUAUAUUGCUCCAGAGGUUUUGCUGAAGAAAGGAUAUGGAAUGGAAUGCGAUUGGUUUGUAUAUGAAACAUGAUAUUUUAUUUGUAUUUAUUAUUGUCAGAUAUGGUUACAAUGGUAUUUUUUGGAUACUUGUCUAGGUGGUCUCUUGGUGCUAUCAUGUAUGAAAUGCUUGUUGGAUAUCCACCCUUUUAUUCAGAUGAGCCAAUGUCAACCUGUCGGAAGGUAUGUUUUUACAUUAAGUUAUUGUGCUGUCAUUCUUUUGUGCUAUUAUUUGUACUUCUAUCUUUGAAUCUGAACAUUGUUUGUAAUUAAGUUCCGUAUAGCAACUAUUUAUUUUACUUCGUACUUUCUUUGUUACUGAUGACUGGUGUUGUCCUUUUCUCUACAUUUUCCAGAUAGUGAAUUGGAGAACACACUUAAAAUUUCCAGAAGAAGCAAAACUAUCACCCGAAGCGAAAGACCUUAUCAGUAAACUUCUAUGUAAUGUUGAGCAGAGGCUUGGCACAAAAGGUGCCCAUGAAAUUAAGGUGUUGUGCGGUGUGUUCUGUUCUAGAUUCCUUGAUUUUUGUUUUAAAAAUAGAAUGCAAAUUGCUAAAUUAACUGGCUCUAUCUGUUUUCUUCCAGAUUCACCCAUGGUUUAAAGGUAUUGAAUGGGACAAGUUAUACCAAAUGAAAGCUGCGUUUAUUCCCGAAGUCAAUGAUGAGUUAGAUACACAAAAUUUUGAGAAGUUUGAAGAGGUAGAUUAAUGGUACAAUUCGUACAAAUAUGCAAAAUGGCCUGUUUAGACAUUUCCUUACUACUGUCCUUUUUUUUAUACACCAGGCUGACAACCAAAUUCCAUCUGCAACAAAAUCAGGUCCAUGGAGAAAGGUCAGGACACAUUUUCAAUAAAAUGUCCUUAACUGAGAACUCAGUGAUCAUUUCUUAACCAAGUUUGCUAGAAGCUUUCAAAAUUAAAUGGCAUCAUUAUUUUGGUGUCUGGUCAGGGAUUUCUGCUGGUUCUUUUGUUGCACCUAUACUAAUGUUCAAUCAAAUGAAUUCUUUGAAAAUCUGCAUUUUCCUUUUAUAUCAGAACCUUAAUGUGAAAACUUAUCUUGGGGAGCACAGCAUUUUUGGCACUGUUGGCUUUAAUAUAUAUGUUAUACUUCAUUAUGUUAAAUUGUUGAAAUCAAAUUUCUAAAAAAAACAUAUGUAAUAAUGACUGUCUUUAACUUAUAAUAGCAUGGUUAAGAAGGGAUAGUGGAUCAUAUAUAAUGUUUCUAUCGCUCACAAGCCAAAAUUAUUUAAUGAUUUUCCGUUGAUGCAGAUGCUUCCGUCCAAGGAUAUAAACUUUGUGGGUUACACAUACAAGAACUAUGAAAUUGUAAAUGAUAAUCAGUUACCUGGCAUCGGUAUUUUGCUUACUCCUAUUUAUAUAUUUUUUCUUUUGCUGCUUCAGUUUUCCGUGCUCCUUAUCUUUCACAUCUUCCUCUGCUGGUUGUUAUGAACUGAAGAUUUAUCUCCUGCAAAUUUCGAACCUAGCAAGAUCUUUGUAUUUGACUGGUUCUUAUCUCUUCCAUCGUGCAGCUGAAUUGAAAAAGAAAAGUUCAAAACCCAAGCGACCUUCCAUCAAAUCCCUUUUCGGUAAGAUGCUAUCACUGUUAUUAUGCUUUUGGUGGUUGCGCUCCGGUUAUUGGGUUACGUUUGGCACAUCACACGUACCGAAUGUUAUCAAUCAGGUGUUAAUCUUGAUCUAUGUUGUGCAGAGGAUGAAUCGGCAGCAGCUGCCAGUCAACCUGUCCAAGGGAGCUUUAUAAACCUCUUGCCUCCACAAAUAGAAGAAGCCCCAGAGGACCGUUCGAGAAAAUGAGUGUUUCCAUAUCCCCGUGAUAACCGGGUGUUCCCCGGUGCUUAGCGUUUGCUUUUUGCCACAUUAACAUUUCAAAGUUUUAGGGGCAAAGGUCCCCAAAACAAAAUGGUUUGAGAUAUGGGAUUUGGCUCUUCCAGAGCCAGUUAGGAGAUUGUUCUUUUCUGUAAAAAUAAUAUCUGAAAGUAAAUAUUUUUUUUAUAUUUGUUGUGUAAUUUUUUUCCCUCUUCAAAUUAUUACGUCAAUUGACAUAGCUGAAAGAAGUUACUGUAUAAGACCCCAUUGUUGUUUUUCAUUUUGCAUGUAAUUAUUAGUUACUUGUUCUCAGGUAUACUAGUACCGUAACUGUUUGCAUUCGUAUUGCAGUAAUUGUUCAGUUUGAAUUUUUAUAAUUUUGCAUCUAAUUUAUUGUUAAAUAUAGUCUAUAGUCUAAUCGUGGUUUUUAGGAUUCCAUAAUGUAUAUUUUUUUGCCAAAUAUUGGGAAAUGUCAAAUUUAGAUAUCAUACCAUAAAUAAACUCAACUAAUCUCAAACUUAUUCAAGAACUAAAUUGAUUGAUCCGAGGAAGUAAAUUAAGAUGGCAAAAGAUGAUGUGAAUUUGUACUAAAUCAUCAAAGCUAUUCAACUAGUUUUAUUUUUAAAAACAACCUGAAAUGAGGUAAAAAUUUUAUUGUUAGAUGUCCACUCGAGUGCUAUUUACCAUGCAUCAUAUAUUAAUGCUUUACAACGCCCAUGCUUUUGUAAAUUUUAAUAUAUUCCUAUUCUUUUCUCAACACAAAGCUACAAAACAUUUUAUUAUGUUCAAAUUUUGUCACCUAGUCAUAAAAAGUUGUAAUAAAAUAAUCACUCUACCAACCAUGUUCUCUUUUCUUUUUUAAUCUACUUUUGUUAAUUAUCGUCAACUUUGUAAUGAAAAUGUCAAUAUUAAUUCUAAAAUUAAUAUAAUACUAAAUUUAACUCUCAACAUUUAUAUAUUAUAUUAAUUUGAUUAUGAUUUUAAAAAAAUUAAACAACAUUUAUACAUUAUCUCAAUUUUAUAUAUAUAUAUAUAUAUAUAUAUAUAUAUAUAUAUAUCAUAACCUUUUUUCCUCGUUCUUUCCCUAACUUUUUUUUCUUUUUUCUCCUGUAUUCUCCUUUCUUAUCCUCCAUUACUUUCCCAAAUCCAUCCUCCAUGGGGAAGGAGUUUAGAACAAAAAGGAAAAUAGAAGAUUUUAGAACUGCCACUUCAUCACAAAGUCAACGACAAUGAACAAAAUUAGACAAAAAAAAAACAAAUACAAUUUGGAUAACUAUUUUGUAAUUUUUUUAAUUAGAUGACCAAAAAUAAAACUUAAAAGCAUAAUUGUAGCUUACCCAAAAAUUAAUAAAAUUUAAGUCAUAAGUAUCUUUUGGCUUUGCAUCAUUGAUUCAUGUGAAUAAAAGGCAUCACUUCAGCCAUGUAAUUAUUAUAUGCUUCUCAACAACCCCUUUCAUGGAGUUAUUCUAAUAAUAUUGUUAUUUAAAAAGAUAAAUCAUGAACAAUACAAAGCAAUAUCUAGCACCAAACACAAAACAAGUAUCAGAUAUGAAUAUAAAUCCGACACAUUAUGUUAUGUAGCAAAUAUAUGAUAAAGUUAUGUCAACUAUUGAUGCCCUACACGCUCCCUUUUACUCAUUAAUGGCUACCAAAAUGAUGAUAAAAGGACACUAAAUAAACCCUUUUCUCACUUUAAACUUAAGUAGACAAGUAAUAACAAAAAAGGAAAAAAGAGAGAACAAUGAUUAACAACAUAGCCCAUGUUAAAUUUUUAAUCAUAGCAACAUCCAUUUUUCUUAACAGUAAAUUACAAACUUAGCUCAGCCAGUACUUAAUACUUAUGUUGCGAAAAAUGAUCCUUGGUUCGAACCAAAGCCUCAAAGGACUCGAAGAGAACAAUACUUCCAAUGUAGAUGACACAUAAAAGCCAUAGUGUCUUUGCUAUAAUAUACUUUUCAGGCAUUUGUUCUUGUUUGCUUCUAAUGAAAAAAAAGAAACAUCAAGUGUUUUAUUACAGCUAGAAUAAUAGUUGAAACUUGGAAAAUAUAUGAACAAUUUUCCCUAAGGUGAGCAUGAUAUCAUUUCUCUCUUUUUUCUUCAAUGACAAUCUAGAGGGGCAUGAUACUAGUGAGAAUACCUGAAAGGGUGCACGAGGAAGGAGAUUGUUGCAGUUCUUGAUGGAACCAAAUUGUGGGCACUGAUACACGAGAGUAAACUGUUUGUAGAUACCGAAAUAGUGCGGAGAUCUCCUUCAAGACAAGCAAAUCCUUACUAGAUGUGUAGUGCUGUUUAUUUCCUUUUCCCGCUUCCGAUUGUCAAGAACUCAAAGCUCCUAAGGGCAUGGUUGCGGCUACUUCUCGUGGCUGUAGUACGAGUAAAAGUUGAUGAUUUGGAUUCAAACCCAGGUUGAACUCUCUGAGUUGUUGACAGGCGACCACUGCUUGAGACCAAUCUGCUAGACCGGUUGUCACUAGGCUCACCAGAGGAGUUAGGUCGGCUGCCUGAUACAACAGGCCUCUUUGAAGUACUACCAUUUCUCGAGGAAGAGUGAGCCCUAUCAGAACCAGGUUGCUGAAGGAGAGAAAGUUUAGAAGAAAAUCAUAACUUCUGUGGCACAUAUGCUUAAAGACAUUUAAAAGUGUCAUUUUCCAAGAAAGAAAAUGGUAUGCUGGCAUUCAUAGGAACACAAUAGUUGAAAUAAACAGAAAAAAUGCAGAAGCAGGAUUGCUCACCAUUUCUUUGGAUGAUAGCACAUUGUCGGGAGAUCUGUGUCUAGACUGAUCACCAUGCCCUGAUCCAUUCCGUCUUGCAAAUGCCUCAACAGCACCAGAGAACCUUUCUCGAAUCUCUUGACCAACUACAGCAAAUCAAGGUCAGAACAUGUCAAAUUAGGGUGCCUUUUAAAUAAAAUAUUUAUAUCGAAAAACUUAUUCACCAGUAAAAUUUUCUUAUAAUCUCAAACCAGGUUGUGAAAAGGAACAGACCUGAAGGCCUUCCGGUUCUUUCAGCAGAUACGCCUUGGGGAUUUAAACCCGGCUUUGGGCUUGGCUGUUAAAGAAUAAUACAAAACAUAGUAUAAGAAUCUCAAUUAAGAAACAAGUUUAGUUCCAUGAAAAUCAAUUCCAGCAUAUUAAAGAUCACUGACCCGUACUCUUGAGCUAGAGGCAGCCUGUGGAUAUCUCAGCAUGGUCCAAUCAAAUACAUAGUCAAACUGAUAACCUGCAUCAAUUUGUUGUUAAAAUUUGGGAGUUCAAAAAGCAUAUAUAAUGGUAAGAUAUCUCUAGCAAAUUUAAGAUGAUGAACUAAUCCGAAGACUGAUUCAAUGUUCAAAACAAAAGUGAGGAUUAGACUAGCAAGUCAACCUUCUCGAAUGAAAAGGUCCCGGAAUAGCCUCUUCAGGUAUGAAUAAUCUGGUUUGUCUUCAAACCUUAGUGAUCGGCAAUAAUGGAAGUACGAUGUGAACUCAGAAGGAUAUGAUUUGCAAAGGACCUGAAAAUGGCAUAUUACUUGUCAGGCACACAAUCCAUCUUCAAUUUAUUCAUAUAAAAGAAUUCACUGGUAAUUAAAGCAAGCAAAUAAUACUACCUCUAUGGGGGUAAGCAUCUUCUUUUCACUAAUUUUGUCGUACUUCUGCUUUUUAUUACCAGCUUUCAAACCUUGCCAUGGAAGGCUGAGACAGAACAACAAACUAAGUUAACAAUGCGACUCAAUAUAUAAAAGAAUUGUGAAGUAUACAACCAGUUAUGUGUUCAACCAACCUUCCCCUAAGGAAGUACAUAAGCACAUAACCAAGAGAUUCGAGAUCAUCCCUCCUGCUUUGCUCUGCGAGUUAUGUAAAGCACGGUGAAUCAUACAUAAAGCCAAAACAGUCCAAAGUGACAGGUCUUUGCUGAAAGUAAAACCCAUAUCGAUAUAAAUGCAGUAAGUUUACUCACCGACUCCAAGGUGAGUGUUAACACUUGCAUAUCGAGCUGUUCCUGUAAGAUUCUUGUUUUCCCUAUUAGAAAAAAUGGAUAACUUAAAAAGAGAGCCCAUGUCCAGUAAGAAGGUUCAUAAAGAAGACAAAAAUAGUACAAGAUGAAGUUAGUAUGGCAACAUAUAAGCUAUGCGCUUAUGGGAAGAAUUGACAAUUGAUGCUAAAGCUAAAUGCAAAAUUAAAUAUCAAAAUUUUCUCAAAGUAGUUAAUUAGGCAUGCUGAUGCGCGCCAAACAUGAACAAUGAAAAUUUUAACCAUCUUCUGUUUGCUAAGAUAAAUAGCCUUUCUGUGAUAACUUGUGGGCUUUAAAUCUAUUAUAAUGAAUUAAGUCAAGCUUAGAGUUCUUUACGUUGGAUAAGUUGAUGAACAAUCUCAAAGACAGAACAUUAAAUCCUACAAGAAAAAACAUCAUAAGUAUUACCUGUAUGGUAUGUGCUUGUGCGUUUGAAGAUCCCUAUACUUUUUUGCAAGGCCAUAAUCAAUUACAUAUACCUAUGGAGAAAAGUGGGAAAUAACAGAAUUAAGCAACAUAUACUAGGACAUCUUGACUUUUCAGUUACAGGAAAACAAUAGCUAUUUGGAGGAAAAAUGAUAUUUCAAAUAGAAUUUAAUACUGUGAAAAUCUUAUAAGCAUGAUCUUGAGCUUUAUCAUCUCUUUACAAAUCCAUGAAAUGCAUGUGCCUCUAGAUAUAGGAAAUAAACAGAAAAACGUGCCUGAUUUGCUUUGCGCCCUAAACCCAUCAAAAAGUUAUCAGGCUUUAUGUCACGGUGAAGAAAACCACGAGAGUGCAUAUACUCAACUCUAUUUAUCUGAAUGACCAACAAGCAAAGAACAAGUAUUAGUAAGGCAGCCAAUUGACAAGGUUAAAAGUUCCCUGAAAAAAGCAGGCAUACUUACUAACUGAUCUGCCAGCAUCAAAACCGUUUUUAAAGAAAACUUCCGGUUGCAAUAGUUGAACAAAUCUUCAAGGCUUGGUCCAAGAAGAUCAAUGACCAUAAUACUGUAUUCACCCUCAACUCCAAACCAUUUUAAAUGAGGAAUACCAGCUGCACAUAAGAGAAACUACUUACUGACUCCAACUUAUGAUAAUAUACAGAUAAACAUGUAAGAGAGAGUAAACACAACAAAACUGAAAACUCACUCCCUCCUUGAAGAAGCAUGUACAGCUUUGACUCGUAGUGAAGUUGAGGAUGUUUGGUCUUGACAGGUUCCUGGGCAAACAAGGAGAGUACACAGUGAUAAUUGGUUCAAAACUUCAAGCAGUGACAAUACUAUAAAGUUCAAUUAGAAUAACAAAUGGAAAAAGAAAUGAUAGAAACAUUACUACAAUGUAAGAACUCAAGUUCUAGAGAAAUUUCUUAAGCAACAUCCCCGUUUUAGCAGCAAACGUCACUCUCCAAUUCUAAGACUACUCGAAAUAAAUCACAGUCAAACAAAUUCUUACCUUGACUCCAUUUUCACAUUACAAAAGUAAACAUAUAAAGAAACUCUCCAUUAAUGCUUUGUAGCCAAGUCAACUUGAACUUAUUGCAUACAUCUAAACUCCAACUCAGUGAACUAUUUAAUAAAAGCAGAAAGUUCACUAUUUGGUUUUCUUAGAUUUCAAUGGCAUAAAAGAACUGCUUGGAUUUGAACAACCACAGGUGCCACCAGAUGGUCCUGAUCUCCUUUGACAAGGUAGCUCUACAAACAUUAAAAUCUAGCGUUUCUAUCAUGGCAUAUGAAUAUAAAUAUACUAAUGAAAUUGUUUUACACUCCCUAAUCUAAAGCACCAAGCAAAGGCUUAAUCUAAAGUACUAGUAAUCCAAACGAAACACAAAGAAAUUCCAAGCAAAGGCAUAAUCUAAAGUACUAGUAAUCCAAAUGAAACACAAAGAAAUAUAUCACAGAAUAAUGGCAAACAAAAGCACAAUAGUCUCGGCUUAAUUGACCAUACUACAUGUCUAGUGAUUAAUCAAUACAAUCUUUUAAAAAACUCCACCAAAUCAAAUGUGUGGGAAAUGCAGUAAAGCUUCAAAACAUUACCAGCUUAACAGCCACUUCCUCUCCACUUUGAACAUUAACGCCUGCAAAACAAAAAACACCAAAAUCAAUGAAACAACUAAAAAGAAGGAAAAAAAUAAACAAAAGAAAUAUGAUUACAAUAAUACCUAAAUAAAGUUCACCAAAUGAUCCAUUCCCGAUCUUUCGACCAAGCUUGAAUUUUCCACCAAUAAUGUGUUCCAUGAUCUAAUCUUAGUAAACUUUGCACACUCAACUAUAUAUCACAGUAAAGGGAAAGAAAAACACCCUUGCCUCUUAUUUCACUAAACUAAUAUUGACAAAUUGACUCAAUAACCUUCUCUUUAAACUAGUUCUCAGAUCGAUCAAAAUUAUUAACUAUCAACUCCAGAGAUCAAAACCCAGUUUCUAAAAUCCUUAUAAAAGCUCCCUUAAAAGAACAAAAAGGCGUUAACCUCUUUAGUGACUAAAGGGAUAAUAAACAAAAGGAGCAAACUUGACUGAGAAACUACGGAAUACCCAUUAAUCAGUGAACCAAGGCAAACGUUUUGGGACCAUCAAGCUGCAUUUUCAAGGUGGGAAAAAGAAAAGAGAAAUUUUUAAGGAGAUACAAGUUCAGUAGUAUAGAAGGGGGUAAAAAAAAAGGCUAUAUUUUGAUUGCCCCGGUAAAGGGGAAUAUGGGAAAAAGAAUCCAAAAGGAACGAAUUUAUGGGCAAAGAAUUUGGGGGCGAUGAUCUAUUGGAUCUGGGUUAUAAGACAAGGAUUUAAUUUUCUCGGGAAAUUUCUUUUGGACGAAGAAAAAGGAAAUACUUUUUUUUUUUUUUGAGAAAGAAAGAGAAAUAAAAAUGUUUUGGAUGAUUGGAGAGAAAGUUCAAUGAUAAAAUUGAUAUUAUAUUAGUAGGUGGAUUUUAGUAUUUUAAAACAAAAAUUACUCUUUUUUAUUAUAUAUUUAAAUAUUUGAUUAAGAUUAAUAAAAUAUUACACUAAAUAUAAUAUUAAAGUAAAUUAAUUGUAAUUAUGAUCCAAUAAAAAAUAUAUAUGAGAACCUAACUAAUUAGGUAUGAACAAGAUAUUAUAUUUUUACGAGAAAAAUUCGGAUUCUAACAUUAUUGUUGAAAGAGUUAAUCACAAACUUUAAAAUAAUGUAAGAUACAUUAAUUUCAUAAAAAAAGAAUUUUAAGACUACCACAAUACCAAUAAAAGGAAAGGCUUAAUAUACUAACCACUUAAAUUCGAGUCACAUCAUAUAUAUAUAUAUAUAUUAUAUGGGUUAUCUUUCGAUUAUAGUUGAUUAAACAUGUAUUCUAAAUUUAUGUAACAUUACAUGUUUGUAUUAUUCGAAUACACUUUAUUUUCUAAUUUAUUAUUAUAAUUAUAUUUGUAAACUCUUGAAUACAUAAACAUUAGAAUUUUCAAAAUAAAAAAAAUUAAUGUUUGUUGGGUUGAUUUUAUAGUAGUAGUUGUUUUGAGUAGGUGAUAAUUAUGAUCAAUUAUUUGUUUUUAAAUUUGAUUAGGUUGUGCUAAGAUAAUUUCUAGCCUGUUUUUUAAAUUUAUAAAAUUAUUUGUUGAUGGUAAUUUCCCAACAAAAAGAAAGGUAUAGGAGAUAUGGUUGAGCAAGUAUAUUUUAUUUUCAAGAUUUACUAAUAUUAUUAUAAAUAAUACACGAUAAUGAAACUUAAAAUAAAAUCCGAAUUAUAAAUCUACUCUCGUAGCUUAAUAUUAUUAUAGGAUGUAUUUAAUAAAUAUUUUAUUUUUUAUUUAAUAUAAAAAUUUCAAUAAAAAACAUUGAAUAAAAUAAGUAAGUAGGUAACUAGAAAAUACUAAUUUGAUUUUAUUUUUUUAAAACAUUUCAAAUAAAUUAUCUUUUUUUUCUUUAAUGUGAUAUUCAAAGUUACCAAAUGUAUAUUUUAUCCAAAAUUAUUUAAAAUUUAGAAAAAAAAUUAAAAUUAGUAUUUACUUUUAUCAAACAAUAUAAUUAUAUUCAAUACUUAUACUAAUUUAUCAAACAAUUUUCUAAUAUAAAUUUAACACUUAUAAAAUUUAGCAAUAAAAAUUUAGUCCUUAAUUUUUCGACACAUAAAAUUUCAGUUUAUCAAACACACUCUAAGUGUCAGUAGCAUAGAGAAAGUAUAAUUUAUCUAUACUAUUAUUUACACCCCUUACUGAGUUAGUGUCAUGAGUCAAUCAAACAUCAGGUCGUUUAGAAAAAUUACAAAUGUCUUUUUGUAAUUAAAACAAGUUAUAUUAUCCAAUGAUACUUUAGUCUUUUUAAUUUUUAGAAAAACCAAUAAAAAGUUUGCAUGUUGUGAGGUUUGAACUCAAGUUAAUUGCAUGUUAUUUUUGUAUGUUAUUUUUAAACACGCCGUUAUGUUUAAAAUACAUGGUUUUCAUAUGCAUACGCGUGUGAUAGAAUUUCUAGUACUACUAAUGUUGUUGAUUGAGUUGAUAUAUAAUUUUGUUUUCAUUUUGAUGUCGUACAUAUUCCAAAUACUAUUAAUUAGUUUCAAAUCAAACGUUUCAUUAUUUAUUAUGUGUUAUUUUUAAACACACUUGCAUAUUCUAAUUACGUGGUUUCCACGUAUACAUGUGUGAUAGAAUUUACUUAAAUUUUUUAUACCGAUUUCAGAGUAAAAACAAUAAAAGCAUAUUUUAAUGAUAGGAAAAUGAAAAUUGUAUAUAAUAUUAUUUCCUAAAUUUUACGCAUGAACAUUAAAAUAAUUAUAAUAAGUAAACAACACAAAAGAAUCUAUUGAAUUAAGAAGUGGAUGGAAAUGGGGUAAUUUACCAAUAAAAGCCCUUUUUUUUAAAUUUACCGAAAUGGGCCAACUAUUUAAUUAUUUACCGGAAUGGUCCAUUUUCCGCAAAAUCGCGUCCACGUCAGCACGAUGUCAGGGUACACGCCAGGAAAUCGCGUCCACGUCAGCGCGACUUGCUGACGUGGACGGAAAUCGCGCCCUAGAGGACGCGAUUUGCUGACGUGGCAUGAACAGUUUAUGUUUUUUAGCUUGAAAAACUUUGAAACGCCAUAACUUUUGGCUCGGUUGUCCGAUUGAGACGAUUUUUUUUAUUUCAAAUAAAUUUUUGAGAUCUACGUGCUGACAAACUGCUUAGAGAUGAAUAGGGACUAAUUUGUAAAGUAUAAUUUGUUAGUUACGAGUAUAGGGACUAAAGUGUAAUUAUUUCAAAAUUAGCAUGAAAUUUUUGUAUUUAAGAAUAUUUGAAUGUUAUGGAAGGAUGAAUUUGAAUUUGAAUUGAAAAACGAAGCUUAGAUUUGAAAAUAUGACUAUUUAGGUUUUAGGGACUAAAUUGAAUAAAAUGGAAAAUUUUAGGGAACUUCUCAAAAGUAGAAUGAGCUGACUUAUACCUAUUACAGGAUGAUAUAAGACAAUUCUGUAAAAAAAUAUCCGGUGUUUACUUCAAAUAAAUAAGAAAAAUAAUGAUUUGAAUGUUUCAAAAUUCAAUUUUAAACCGAAAAAAUCAAAAUUUAGGGGCAAAAAAGGAUCUUUUUCGACAAAAACUACCGCAAACUGCCUUCAGAUUUGUCAGCGCGUAGAUCUCAAAAAGUUAUUCGAAAUAAAAAAAAUCGUCUCAAUCGGACAACUGAGCGAAAAGUUAUGGCCUUUCAAAGUUUUACAAGCUUAAAAACAUAAACUGUUCAUCCACGUCAGCAAAUCGCGUCCUCGUAGGCGCGAUUUGUGUCCACAUAAGCAAAUCGCACUGACGUGGACGCGAUGUCCUGACACGUACCCUGACAUCGCGCUGACGUGGACGCGAUUUUGCGGAAAAUGACCUAUUCCGGUAAAUAAUCAAAAAAUCGGCCCAUUUCGGUAAAUUUUGAAAAAAUGGCUUUUAUUGGUAAAUUACCCUGGAAAUGGUUGUUGGAAAAUUUUAGUUUAGAAAACAGUUUUGAGUAACAACAGAAAUUUAAAAAUUUAGAAAAUUAAGUCGAUUGGUAAUAUUUACAGUAAUAAAUUUUUUCUUGAAAUGUACUUGUGCUUAGAGCAAAAAGAAUUUAAAUAAUUUCAACUUUUAACUAAAUAGUCUUCUUUGUUAUCCUUGUACCCUAAAUUGCGUCGAAUGUGGGCUUGAACAACACAAACCAAACAUAGAACAAGAAACAAUUUAAUUAUUUUAAGUAGGAAAUUAAUUCUCUCAAAUAAAAAUCAGUAGAAAUUGUAAUUCUUGGAAAAUAUAAUUUAUUCUUAGAAAAAAAUUUCACUAUUCUCUAGUAGAAUAACAAUAUAUGAAACUCGUGUAUUAAUAGCUCUACUAAUGUAAUCUAUUUAUAGGAAAAGACAGAAAAAUUCUAGUUGAAUAAGACUUAAACAAAUAAUAUUUAUUUAAUAGAAAAUCACUUUCUUAAUCUAACUAGAAGGGGGAGCACACCUUAGAUAAAAAAAACAUUAGAGUUGUUGCCCCUCAAACAUUGUAUUGGAUCCAAUUAAUGUGUUUUUUAAACUUUUGAGUCAGCGCAUUAUAAUUUAAUUCAAUCUAAUAUUUGUUUUUAUUUCUCAAAAUAAAUAUUAUUGAUUUAAUUAAUUUAAAUGAAUUAAUUUCUCAAUUAAAUAAUUUUCUCAACCCAAUUCUGAUAUUGGUAAAGUUGUGACAAUUUUACCGUAAAAGAAUCCAUGAGAAAAUAUAUUUAAUUUCUAUUUUCAACGAAUUCAUAAGGACUAAUUAAUUUAAUUUCAUUUUCAAACUUCAAUUAUUUAAUUAUAAUUAAUUAGCUAAUAUUUAAUUGUUUUAAAAAUUAAUUUUCAAGUCAUUUUUUUACUCAAUGAAAAAGCGCAUUCAUUUGUAAAUGCGCCACAUUUCUCUAACUUCAUCAUUUUCGUUCAUUUCUGUUCAUUUGAUUCUACAUGCAAUUAAUUUUUUAUUUCAACGAGCUAGCGGAAUGAUGGAUUUGACAUAUAUAAUUAGGGAUCAAAUAAUUUAUAAUUUAAGUUUCAACUUUUUGCUUAUUAAUUACAAACUUAUUUAAUCACAUAGUCAUUCUAUUAUAGUAUCGUGACUGAGCUCGCUUAAUUACAUAUCAUCACGAAAGCUACCCAAUAAGUGCUUGUCCAAUAACCUUUUCAUAAAUGUGUUACCUACCCUCAUAGGAUAUUUUAAAUCUUUUUGGAAUAAAUUUGUUAUUCUAAUAUAAUCAUAUUUUAUCUUAUGGUAAUCAUUACAUAUUUCUUCAUGAAAAGUCAAUUACUAUAAAAUAGUAAUCAAGUUGUUUAUAACAAAAAUAAACAACCCGUAACCGCGUUUACUUUUCAUCUAUCAUGUAAUGUCAAUUAGAGGAUAUCAUUUACUCUUUAGUUGGACUAUGAAUUCCACUAUUGUGAAUGAUGCUACAUGCUGCAAAAGUCAUAUACUCAACAUACCAACUUUUGGUUCCUUAUCUAUUUGAACUCUGGUUUUUACUUGAAUCAAAGUAUAUGAGCGACGCAUAUAUAGUUCAUCAUCCACUCAAGAUUAAGGUAUGUUGCAUUAUAAAUGUCGCAAGUGAAUAAAUCCAUAAAUGGAUCUAGAAUCUAUUCUACUUGGGUCCUGUUUGAUAUAUUGUCAGCCCAAUCAGCCACAUCUAUAUCUUUAUCUUCUAGGAAUCAUUCGCUUCGGUACUCAAGACAAAGCAUUUCCCCAAUUGGACUUAAUAGAGGACAUAUUAGUCUUUCAACCAAUUUGCUCAUUUUCGAUUAGACUAAGGAUAUGUUUAGGUUCAUAUACU